CACUAGAGUUUUUGCUGUGGAGGAUGUUACUAAGUGUAUCAAUUUCUUGCAAUCGAAAGCUACAAGUUUUGUUAGGUUCCCAAAAGAUACCGAUGAUGUUGGCAAUAGAAUUAACAGACUUUGACAAUGAUAUACUCUUAGAAUUUCAAGAUACUGAAAAAUGGGGCCAAAUUUGGAGUCUUGUUUGCACAGCUGCUUCAGAUGAUAGUGCCGGUACAGCUCUAAUUCUUUUAUCAUUGCCAACUUCCCCACAUGUUUCUCUAAGCAUCCUUCCAUCGAAAAUACCUCUUCGUGGAAUGAAAAAUAACACAGUACGAGCAUUUCGAGAUUGUGAAAUCUCUCCAGUACAUUCCAGAUUGGAAAACAAGCUGAGUCAUCAGCAGCAAUCCCUAGAUCUCUAAGACUGCCAAAAAGGUGUUGUGGGAAAUCGGCCUGCAAAAUCAUCUUCACGUCUUUUCCGCAUAGUGAUAGUUCCGUCAAGUUGGGUAAGAUCUGAUCAUCAUCAAUCAUAAUAACUAAUAAGGUCAAUUGAUGUUUUCUCAAAUGAUUUUGAGUAAUCCAAUCAUAAGCAGUGAGUUUAUAGUAUUUGUUUUAUAUUAUAUUUUAAAAAAAAUUGUAUUAUUGAUAAAAUUUAUUAAAUGAUUUUUUAUAUGUUAAUUUUAGAGGUAAAAAAGAAAUUAGGGAAAAAAGGUUGAUUUAUACUGACUCGAAAUUAUUUUAUUGCACAAUAAUAAAUUACUAAUUUAUUUUGUAAGUUCUUCUAUAUGGAAAGACUCAAGAUUCUUUUACAAAUGCUAUACCUAAAAAAGUUUAUAUAAUCAUUAAUCUACCACAUUGAUCCCUUAGUCUAGACUAGCAAAGAUUAUUGUAUAAUAAAAGUUUUCAAUUUAUUGAGCAUUAAUUUAUCAAAGUUAAAAAUAAGCUAUAGAUAAAAAAUCUAGAAAAUGGCUUCAUACCUUUUCCAACGGCAAUAGGGGCUGUUGUGCAGGAAUACCAAGUUGAUCAUUCCCAUUAUUCUGCGAUAAAUCUGCCGUGAAUAUCUUUAAUCUGUCACAACGAUACACUAAAAGAAUUUCUAGGGCGGGCCAUUCCGAAGUAUGCAUUCCAGGGUACAAACAUCUAAGUUUUGGUAGAUCAUGGAGUAUCAAAGUGGUGAGCUGUGGAAAGACAAAAUAAGGGAUCACUUGAUCUGCUCUGUUUUCAGAAAUGAUCUCCUGUAAAUCCUCACAGGAGCGUAUUUCUAGGCGUUGGAGCUGCUUAAGGCUUCCGAUCAUAGACGCUGAAAAUAUGUAUUUUAAUUUGUGACAACCCCACACAAUCAAUCGUGUUAAACUUUGAAAGUGAGGAAACACUGCAGCUGGAAUUUGAUUGUAGUGCCAAAUCUUGUCGACAUUAAUUUCAGAUAUCUCCAAAGCCUCCAAGUUAGGCAACGCAACCUAAAAAGAUAAGAAUUUCUUGUUGAAAAUUUCUCUUUGAUUACAAAUUAAUGCAAGUCAGAAUCAAUUUCCAACUGACAGCUGAGUAUGCAUUCUAAUUCAUACUACUUGUUAAGAGCUCAAUUAGUGAGUGCGUGAGAUUAUUUUUUUCCCCAUUGUUUUCAUUUUCUUUCAAUUCUCUAAAUGAUUUAAUUAUUUUCCACGUUUGACAUAAGAGAACGCAUGAUAGAAUAAACUCUGUUAUAUAUAUAUAUGAAUAAAAUGUUAGCCUACGCACCUUCUCAUUGAAAAGCAAAGUUGAAAUAUCCAAAGUGAUUUCGCUGGAGCAAUACAUAGUCGUCGAUUCCUCUUGCGACACUUGUCUGUUCGGUGAUGCUGAAGGAGUCUCCACCUCACGGCAAAAACUUGUAACCUCUGGAAGAUUCCCCAGACUCAAAGAUCUUAAUUGAGCAAACUCUAUCUUCUCAAUUGCAUUAUCAACUUCUUUCCCAAUUGCAAAAAUCUCUUUCAUCUUGCUGCAAUUAAUAACUGCAAUUCUCUCAAGUCUUGGAAGGCAUUUUGUAGUAGAGAGCCAAAAGAUAUUACUCAACUUAUCACAAUUAUAUACUUCUAUGUUUUUGAGUUCGUUGAAAGACUCUACUUUGAGCCGAUCAAUACAUAUCCUCUCCAUGUUGAUCAAAUUGUGAAGGGCAAGUGACUCCAAAAGAGGAAAGGCAUCACAAGCGACCAUCUCCCUUGAAUCGACGAUACAAAAGAAGUCAGGAUUAUUUUGAACCCAGAGGACCUUCAAUUGUGAAAAGCCCUCCGUGUCCAAAUUGAAAAGAACAUUCUCGAUGCCUUGCAGCUUGUCCAACCGUAAGUAUUGAACGUUAUUGAUGCCUUGCAAUUUCAUGGAGCAAAUGUCCAUAAAAUCAAGCUUGAGCUUCAAUGCUCUUGAAAUCUUGCGAUUACUGUCGAUCAAAAAGUGCAGCUGACUUUUAAACCAAUGUUGUCCAAAAAGCAUGGGAUGCAUGAAUAACCCAUUUCCAAUAUGUAUUUUGAACCUUUCGAGCUUUCUGGCCAAAAAGCCUUCUGGUAACAUACUCUCAUUUUUAACAUCAAUUUCUAGAGUAGUUAGCCGAGGUAAAUGCAUCAAUUCGUCAAGGCUAGCAUUACUUCUUUUGCUGUUGGCUCUUUCAACCUCCCAUUCAAUGAAGCAAUUACCCAUAUACAAUUCUUCUAAUCGGAUUAAGCUUGAUAUGACAUUUGGGGCAAUAACUUUCAGACGGAAACAGUGUUAAAUCUAACAGCCUUAGCUUAGUCAGUUGACCCAGUGCUUUAGGCAACUCUACAAUAUCAGAUUGCAAAAAGCUAAGGAUUUCUAGAUUUUCCAACUUUCCAAUAAUGGCUAUGUCUAUGCCUCCGAAAAUGCUUUGAUUAAGACAAAGUGUCUGAAGAUUUACUAGAAGACCAAUUGAAGAUGGCAAUGACAAUAACCGCAUUCUAGUCAAAUCCAAAACCCGAAGCUUUUUCGUCCUUUUGAAGAAGUUCUCGGGAAUAUUAGGCACAGCAAAAGAGUUCUUGGGAGACAUGAAUAGAAGUUCAAGUUGUAGAGAUUCCGACCCUUCAGGAAUGUCAUUAACAAUACUAUCUUUAAAAGAAAUUGCAAAAUAUUUUUUAAUUCAUCUGCAUUUGGCCAUUUCCAAUCAUCCUCAUUUCUCACCACAAAUGCAUUCAUGUCACGAAAUGCAAUUGAAAUGGCAACAUCGCGAACAACAUCGUGCAUAGAAAUGUAUUUACUGCCACCAUCCUCAAGCAACAAACAAGAGUCUCUUAGUUGAUGGACCCAUGCAUGUAAUUUGUUAUGUGCAUCUUCUAGCUUAUGGACACUUUUAAAUACACCCAAGCCCAUGCUGUAUUUGAACAAAUCCAUAAUUGGUGCUGGCGUAAUAAGACUACACAGUAAAAAAGUUUUCUUGAGUUGCUCACCUCUUAAGUACUUGUAACUCAGCUCAAUUGUUGAGUAUGCCUCUGCUGGUACUCCUUCGUCGAAGCUUGCCUCUGAAGGCGUUUGGAGUUCUUGCAAGGCAUUCUUCCACACAGGCAGCUCUUUUUUUCUCAGUGCCUUUGCUACUGUGGUUAGGGCAAUAGGCAAACCUCCGCAUGCCUUGGCUACACUUGUUGCUGUAGAUUUUAACUCACGAUUUUCAACAUAAUCACCAGCCAUUAUCUUGAACAAUCUCCAGGCUUCUUGUUCAUUUAAAAUGCCAAUCGAGAAGUUUUUUUCAGAUCCCAUCCUUAACAGCACAUCAAGAUCUCUUGUUGUGAAUAAUAAUUUACAUCCUCUGUGCUCAACUCCAAAAGGAAUGCCAAUAGUCCCCAAAUCAAGAGGAUUCCAGAUGUUAUCGAGAAUCACAAGGAUCUUCUUCUCAUUCUUCAAUCUUUCAUAUAGUCUACUAGCUCUUCUAGACUCAGCUUCCUCGGACAACUCUAGGCCUAACGUUUCCGCAAUUUCCUCUUGGAUCUUUCUUAUGUCUGGACAUUGGGUAACCUCCGAAAAAACCACCAUAUCGUAAAGCUUGUCUUCAAUGGCUCGCCUUGCAAACUCCUUCACCAGUGUCGUCUUUCCAAUGCCGCCCAUGCCGUACACCCCAAUGAUGCUGACAUCAACAUCGAUCAAUGCAUUUUGUAUGGCCUUCAAAGUAGAAAGUCUUGAUUCGAAGGCUUCGUAGCCUUUGUGAGACUUGAGCCAUAUAUCCUCCGGAAUGGUACGGUAGGAAAUUCCAUCAACAAAUCUCCCAGCUUCUUCUCGGAGUUUAACAAUGGCCUUCACCUUUGUUUCUGCUUUCUUGCUAAGCUGAUAGCGGGUCUUCAAAUUAGGACACAAGCCCAUGAGACAUCGUUUAUUUGUUGUCUUCUCAUCAUCAAUGAAUUUGGCUGCCUGCUCAAUGAUGAUGUUCGCACUAACCAGCCACUUCUCAACCUUCUCUUCAAUAUUUUCCCCUUUUCUUUCAGCCUCAGAAACCCUGUGCUGAAUGCUUCUCCUUUCAUCCUUGAGCUUGUCUAUUUCUGCCUUGAGUUUCUCAACGUUGGCUUUAUAGUUACGCAAAUAACCAAGUCGGCGUUCUGUUGGAGGAGCCAAGCAUUUCACAAAUUCUAAAACAAUAGUAACAAUGCUUUCCACCAUCCUGGAUCCCUUUUCUUUUUUUCGAAGUUUCUGACAAGAAAAUAAACAAUGAGCGAAACACAGAGAGAGUGAGGAGAAAAAGAAAAAGAAACGCAAAGAUGGACAGUUUAUCUGGUUGUGGAAGCGGAGAAAUGAAAGAAAUCGUAAUAGCUGUUAUGGAUCUGCUGAGAAGAUGGAAACAAGGAAAAGGUUUCUAGUUCAACAACUGGAUUGCGAGCGGAGAGACUAAUUAACAAAGACUGGAGAUUACAACAAAGCAGAUGCCAAGAGAAAAGUUGAUCCAGUGAAAUUCAAGAGAGUUGACAGCAAAAGGGAGCAAAGAUUAAUAACAAAACAGCAGUGACUACAAUGAACAAAAGCAUAUGCGUUUCUUGAUUGAGAAUGAGUGCAAAGAAUGAUCCUUAAUCAAUAAAAUAUCUAACAAUAUCUUCACCGAAAGUUUGAGACAUGUGAUCCUUAUUCCACUUCGUCAAUUACACUCCAGACCAAUGCUGCCGUCAUUAUCGAACGGUCGAUAUCCAACACUUGCACGAAGAUUCCAAGAAGUUGCGUGGCUGCCGACUUUUAGAUGCAAAGCCUCAUUGUGUCGAUGUUACACGAAAGAGAGCAGUCCGGGUAAUUGCCAAAACUUAGAACUAAACAGUAGCUUAGUCAGAAAAUCAAACGCCAGUACCGGUAAAAUGACCGAUAAAAAUAUAAAAAAACAAAAAUUUUAAAGUUUUACUUCAUUGCUUUUUUAAUCUUAUUACUAUUUCUCCUUGCACUUCUAAAGAAACCAAAGCUUUAAAAGAAAUCAGCCAAAUCACGAAGAUUGAAAACUAAAUCUAUGGUUUUAGAUUUUUAUUUUAUUUUUUUAGAUAAUAGAUAUUGUUGAGUAAUGAAAAGUACCAGCUCAGCUAUCCCCGCUUCCCUCACCUUGGGGCGAAUCUCCCCAGAUGAAUGGCACAAGCAGAUUCCUGGUAAUACAUCCUGUACGGGGCAUAUGCCAACUAGAAACGAGUACCGACCAGAUGUACAUACCGACCAAGUACUCAUUAUUCAAAGAAAGAGGACACGAACUCACAAACUCACGACAAUUUUGUUAUGCCCCAAACCGUUGGGGAGAACAUGACGCCCCACGUUUACCCACGAUUCGGUGGUUGGAGACCCAUGAAGGUUUGUCAUCACCCGAAAAUGAGGGGCAUGAAUAAGACUCAGAAAACAGGGGAUGAUUGCCUAUAAAAGGCCAAGAAAUCGAUGAAAAAUGGGAGACACAAAUUGAGAGUAAAGGGGAAACUCUGUCAAAUUAUAAUCAGAAAUUCAUAUAUCCAAAUCCUUGAUACAUUUGGUAUUGAGAAUAUUGCAACUAAUAUGUACAACACAAAUCAUUCACUUUUCUCGUAAACACCUUGUACUAACUUAAGUAUCGAAGGGUUUAUGCCCAAAAAACCAUCGGCGUCUCUGAUUUGUUUCUGUGAACGCAGGCCUGGAAGGAAGAAGACGGGUGAUUUGGGUCCCAGAAGCUCGGGAAAUUGCUGAAGCUAAUGGAUCGCAGCCUCUGUUCCUUUGCCAAUACAAGCGUUGGUGAACCAAUCUGGUCGGUCCAAAGGCGACUAGAUUUCAGCAUCAACAGAUAUUAUUUUGAUGAAUUUUUUAAUAUUAGAAUAAUGUUAGGAAUUCCAAUAAUAAAAUUCUAACUUGAGACCCAAUUGUUAUGUGUUAUUUUUUUAUUGAAUAAUGAAUUUCACAACUAAUAAAAUUUAUAUUUCCAUCAUCUAAUAAAUGACUACCAUAUCAGUUGGGACUCAAUUAUUAGGAUCCUUAACAUUGCUCUUAGUAUUAAAUUGGACAUCUUAGCUAAAUCAGAUUAAAAAUCAAAUUAGUUUUUAGGCUUUUAUUCAACAUCUCUUUUUUUUUUUUUUUUGUCUAUUGGAAGUGAACGAAAUAAAAAUACAACAGGGUCAACGACUGGGCAAUUGGUAGUCAAGUAGAAGCAAAUCAAGGCUAAAUGGGAAAGAGAAAUGAUAUUUGUGCAAAAUAAGGAGAAAAUCAGUGUAACAGAAGAGAAUCAAAGUGCUUUUGAGAUAAAAAAUUGAAACAAGAAAAGGGUCGCUUGAUCCAAUGAAAAUGCAAAGAGCUGAUGGCAAAAGGGAACAAAGUUAAAUAAGAAAACAGCUAGCGCUAGCAGCGACCACAAUAAACAGAAAAUUUGAGAUGGAUUUACAAUAUUUCUGCCUUUCUUUAUGCUUUAAAAAAUAUUGCUCUAUCAAAAAAAAUAUUGAACAUUUUUAUUAUUGGAGUCACAAAUGACCUACACAAUAUAGCAAGUGACUAGGAAUAAAUAAGAAUAUAUAACUCUCUCUAAUUCUCACUCUGGCUUUUAAUUGUCACUCAAAACCCAGAAUUCAUCCUUAAAGUGUAGGCAAAUCAAGGAUGACACCGUUUGGUUGUCAUACGUGCCUUUUAGUUUUCGGAUGACAUGGCGUACACUUCUUCUGUAAACCCAACAAGACAUGUCGUACUCUUUUGUUUUGAGAUUCUAUUUCAAACUUUUCAUGCUAUGAAUGAAAGAUAAACUCCAAUCAUCAAAAUAUUUAGUGUUUGUUUGGUAAUGUAAUGUCAUAGUUGUGAAUUGAAAUUAUUUCUAUAAAAUAAAAGGAUUUGGGUCAUUGUUUGUUAUUUUCUGACAACAUUUAUUAAAUAUUAAAAAAUAAAUUUAUAUUUAUUAGGUAUUAAAAAUAAAUAAACAAACAAAAAUAAAAGUAAAAGUUUAUACAUUACGUAAAAUAAUGACAAUAUCAAUAUUUCGCACUCUAUAAUUGAGUGAUGUGUUGUCCAACUGGCAUACAUUGGUCCCAAACGGAGACUUAAAUAUCAAAGUCCAAAGUUAUUAUGAUGAUGACUUAUAAUCGCCAAACUUGACAUACGGGUAAUCAUGCAUUAUAAGGUGCUAAUUUCUUCCGAUCGGAACCUUAUUUUUCAUUUACAAAUAAAUAAAUGAUGUGACUUCACGGUUGGCGGGGUCCUUUGUGUCAUUUGGGCAUUUCACUAAAUGAUUGAUUGUAGCAGGAAGAUUCCUGGAAGUUGCCAUUUGCCAAUGCUACUAACAUUUUCAAACUUGGAAAACCCUUCAAUCAAUCUUUUAGUGGUAGGCUCUGGUAACUUGGUUUGAUUAUGACGUAUAAUUAUUUGAUAAUAAAGUUAGAGGAUGUAUUAAUAUAAAAUUUGUUUAUUGGUGUUGAAGUUAAUUAUCUCAUUAAUAAUAGUAUAAAAAGUUAAUUACUAAGAAACACAUAGCAAUAGUUAAUUGGUGUCAUAUUAUUGGGAUUCUGGGAUACAAUUUUAUAUCAUAACUUUGUAAGUGUAUACUUACUCAUCAAACUAAUAAAAUUAUUUAAAAAUUUCAGUUGGAAAAAAUAAAUUAUAUUAUUUUCAUUUCAAAUAAUCUAUAAGUUAACUCAAAACAUAAUCAAGCUGAGAAUUAAAAUAAUGCUACUGUAUGAGAGGAUUUUUAUUUUUUCCCGAAGUUUCACUAGGAAAUUAUUGAUACAUAGCUUUAUUCGGAUCAUCUCAGUUCAAACGACAAAUAAUUGAAAGACUAAGCUAAAUAGACCAGCCAACAACUUUGUACAAGAGAGUUCAAAAAUUAAGGUCAUGGUAUUAAGGUGUUCUAUCUUGAAAAGUAUAGAGUAGUAAUAAAAUAAAAACUAAUAGUUUUUGGUAAGAUAUGACAUUUAAAUAAUAAUUUUCACAAAAAUACAAGGAAUAUUUAUAAAUUACUUUUAUAGUGAGGGGACCCUCACUCUGUUAAAGUGAAAAUAUCAAUAAUAUACAAAAGACAUAUAUUUUAACACAUUAAAAAUUGUAUUUUUUUUAUCUAUUGGUGUAUUGAAAUAUGUGUUAUUUAGUUUGUUAGUGAUAUCAUUACUUUGUUAAAAUGAGAAUGUCGUUACUAGAGAAUCAUUAUGUAUACAUAUAUAAAGUGCUUCUGUCCAAGACCUAGACUUUAUUAAAAUUUGAGAAAGCAAAUAUAUUUUAUAUGGUAUAAUAGUGUAAUAACAUCACACUAUUAUAUCAUAUAGAGUAAUAGUUUUUCGAACUUUAAUAAAAUUCAAGAUUAUAGAAUGAAUGAUUUUUAUAUAUUAUAAAUUUUUUUAUCAUAAAUGGAGGACAAAAUUAACAUAUUUUCAAAUUAUAAUAAGCAUUUAUCAAAUAAUUUAACAUUGCAAUUUCUCCUAACUAGUAUAGUAAAUAAUACGACCUAGGAGAUACAUUCAAAGCAUUUCAUAAGUUAGUUGUUAAUAAUAAAUUAUAUAUGCAGCUCCAAUCAUCAUUGUACGGUGAGUAAUUUCCAGUUAUAAAUAGAUAUUACUCCCUUCCCAGCAAUUUUUGAUGACUUAAUUUAGUGGGAUCAAAAUCAACAUUGAAUUUUUGACCAGCUGCCAACAACUUGUGAGCAGUUCACAGUGGGUACUGCACAUGAUGCCUGUUUCUCCUUUUGCAUCUAUUUUUGUUGUUAACAUUAAUUUCAAUAGCAGCUCGUUAAUCCCAUUUGUUGAUUUGGGACUAGAUAAGAAUUUAUCUUGGAACUCCAAUUCUCCAAUUAUUUUAGUUGACAAUAUAUUUAACAUUAUUAAUUGCAUAUUAUUUAAUUAUCAGUAUAUAAUAUUCUUUAAUUUUCUAAUUUUAUAGGAUUAGACACAAAAUUGAUUAUGCCUUUUGAAAUUUAAGGGUUAUGUCAAUUGAAUAGAAAACUUGGAGGUAAACUUGUGGAUGUUUUUGUUGAUUAUCAAUUUAUGCAUGAAUUUUUGUACGUUUACUUUGGUUUAUAAUUAUUACUUUUAAACAUUUUUAUUGGUUUGAUUUAGGGUCAAUUUGGUAAUCCUGUAGCUUUUAAAAUAAUUACAAUUAGCUAUGCUGUAGAAAUUGAUCAAUCGUCAAGAGAAUCAGCUGAGCAUUUAGUAAAAUUUAUUUUUAAAAGUACUUUUAGUUUUAAAAGCGUUGUAUGAAUAAAACUGUUACACUAAAAAUUAAAUGUAUUGCCCACUUGGGUAAAUAAAGCUAUAUAUUACAACUGUUACACUAAAAAUUAAAUGUAUCUUAAACCCAAACUUCUUCUUCUUCUUUUUUUGACUAACAAAAUUAAAAACAAUAGUGAACACAUUCUUUAAUAAACAAUAAGUAAUAAAUAAAAUCGUGUUAAAUUUCUUAAAAACUUUCUUUCACGGUUUGCUAAAUAUUUUUAUUAGUAUUUUAAAUAAAUAAAAAUAGUUGAUUUAAUUUUUUUAAAUAAACUUAUUAGGUUCAUGUAAAGAUGUUUUUGUUAUUUUAAAAAGUGUAGAAAGUACUCCUAAAAAAAAGCGUAGAAAGUAAAACUUAAUUUUUUAAAUUUAUUAGCUGAGUGCAUAAAUAAUUGAGUGUUCAUAAUGAUUUUUAAAGUAUAGAUAGUCGGACCCUAAUAUUUUUAAUAAAUGGAAAUUUUGCUAAUAUGUUAAUGAGAAUUAAAAAGAUAAUUAAGGGAGGCAAUCGAGACAUUCAGGAUAGUUAGGAUGGGACAUGAUUGUGAGCGGUUAGAUAUUGGUCCUAAUUUUGAUCACAAAUAUAUAAACAGGACGAGUUUAUCUCUACUUACAUUCCAUUUGAUAAUUAAGAUGAGAGUGGAAUUGUCAAAUCCCAAAUCAUCCCGGACCACUGCCACCAAGGGUACUCUCACUAAUAAUAUCUAAAGAAAAAUCUACAUCUAUUUCAUACUUUUUUUUAAUGGAAAGAGCCCUCAUGGGGCUUGAAAUGGUAUCCUAAAUAAUAUUGAGAAUAUCAGGUCAUGAUUGGGUUUGUGACAAACAAAUACUACAUAGUUGGGAUACGUAGUUAUAAUGUCCCAAUUUAUGUAGUAUCUAUCAUUUAGCGCACAUAUAAAAUAUUAAUCAGCUUAAUUAAUUUAUAAAAUUUAAAUCUAAUUAAUAAGUGAUACAUAAAUGCCAAGUGCAAUACUGUAUAUGCAAAUCAUGUUUGUGGAUCAUUACAAAAUUGGCUCUUGAAAACAAGCAAGAAAGCUUAAUUAAGAACUUAAAACAAAAGAAUUAGAUUGAGAACAGUCAAGCCUUAUUUUUUCAAGGAUGGAGCUUAUAAAUCUUCAAGUACCAACAUACGCUUGGCCCAAUUGUUGUUAUUAAAAUUUCAAUAUACAUAUAUAAGUAUGAUAUAGCAAAAAUUUGAUGGUACAUAUGUCGGAAUAUACUAGUUCAUGGGUGCAUUUGAUUAUUGUUUCCAUAAAUUUGAACCAGGAAGGACGACACGAUAAAAUUUGAUUUUAUGGUAUGGUUGAUUUCAUAGCUCAUGCACUCAUUUCUUAAGAUAAUCAAAUUUUCUCUGACAUCUUUUUCAACUGUCGAAAUAUCAAUUAUGAUCAAUCAAAACGAUUUCAAAACCUUUCAACGAGACAUAUUUCUAAUACAAUAUUGUGAAAAUUACACUAAAAAAUUAAUUUAUUAUAUAUUAUUAUCCAACGAGCACACAAAAAUGAUUUCGUACAAAUCUAAAAUACUAAGCAAUUUUCAAAUAGAAUUUACCAUGUACUACAAGAAAAUAGGGUAUAUGUGACCCCUACUGUGAAUGCAAAAGCAGCCAUUACGCAUAACCCCGAGUUGCUUUUGUUACCCUUUAUGUGACGGCCACACUGCUGUCACAUAUGUUACGAACCGCGUGACGGUGAAGAGCCGUUCGGUAUACUAAUAUUUUAGAAUUUUAAAUUUAUUUCCAGUUAGAAAACUAUUCGCUGGACUCCGUGUUGCUGGCCACCAUCGUAAACAUAACUGGUUGCCAGCGAACGGCGUAAAACGCCGGCCAUCUUCUUCUUCAACGUAUUCUCCCUUCAUCUUUUGAGGUAAGCUUGUGAUUAUGAGUUUCUUCUCUUACUUAGCUUGUAAUUAUAGAUUUUGAUUUUUUUUAAUUCGUAUUGUAGCCGUUAUUGUCAAUUUUUGUCCCGCCAGCAAUAUUUUUUUAUUCCUACAAGUUGAACCCCUGUGUUCUUGUUCCAUUGGUGAGUUUGCUCACUCAAAUUAAUUUUGUUCUGCGGAAUUUACAAAGUUCAAAUGGAUUCAUUUGAAUUACUAUUGAAUUUAGCUUUAAUUCCAACAUCCAUUCUAAUGUUUUGCAAUUAGAUUUAAUUUAAUUUUAUGUUUAAAGCUUCUACAAUGAAUAGCGGAGCUUGGGUUUUAGUUUCAUUUUCUGGAUAACUUGUUUUAGUUUAUCUUGUAUGCUCACCAAAUGCUUGUUAUAUUGUCUGAUAAGUUAUAUACAUUGCUGAUUCUACAUUAAUAAUGUUACGUUGUAUUUUCAGAAAUUAUAAUACAAAAGUUUUUGCAAUGGCGUGCAUCUACAAACUGAAUUGACUUGUAGAAUAAGAGCUCGGAGUAGUGUUAUGUUCUUGAAUAAUUGAAAGUUCAUAUUGUGUAAGAGCAUGUAGAUGUAAAGCAUCAUUACCAUUUCUACAAAGUGCUUUCAUUCUGUUCAUAUGCUCUUCUUGAACUUUGAAAGGUGCCUCGUUCAAGUCCUAGCUAUAACUACUAGCUUUGAUUAAUUAAGUUCCUAUACUAGCUGAAACAGAUUUAUUUAAUUAAUUAAUUGUGUAUGUACUAAUUAUAUUGAAAGUAUAUGAAUUUUUUUUUUAACAUGAAUGACUUCUAAAUGACUUAAAAACCUAAAGGAUGUGUGAAACAAUGCUCAUUUCAUUUGAAUGAGCCCAUUAAUACUUUUAUGUCUAUGAUUUUCAAUAUUGGCUAAAGCAUUUCAGUUAAGUGGUUUACCUAACAGAGAAAAAAAUUUAAUAGAAAACUUCAGAGUUCUAACAGAAAUAUAGUUCACUAUGCAGAUAUAGUUAUUUUACGGUAUACAAAUCAAGUUGUCCUAAUCUCAAUGUCCUAUGACCGAUUUUAUUUUAUAUAGUCAUUAAUUUUUUCCUUGGUUUUUUGUGUUUAUGAGUAUGAAAUAGUGGGAUUUGGUGUACCUUAGCAUCUUUUGAAAAUUCUCUUUCAGUGUGGCCAACAGAAAUAUACAUAUAAUCAAGUUUCUUAAUCGUGUAUAUUAGUUUUGGGUAUGAAUGUUCCUAUUCUAGUUCGAGGCAAAGCUUCUUCGUUUUGGUCUUCAGAUUUCCAGUAGGUUAAGUUAAUCAACUAUCAUAACUGGCUAGCUAGUUAUUGUCUGCCUUGGCGCCAUUACCCAGGCCAUUAUAUUGCAUAGCAUAAGGAAUAGUGAUUAGGGGAUUAUUAGUGAUUUGUUGAGCUUAUUAUCGACCAAACAAACAUAUUCGCCUUUGCCCACAACUUAGUUUGAUUAGUUAUUAGACCAUAAAGAGCCUUGAUCUAUUCAUUGGCUUUAUUAUUUUUAUUUGGUUUUUCUUUCAACAAUAUUGUUGAUUUCUUAUAAAAAUAUUCAUUGGUUUUUAAACACCUAAUCAUUGGCUAUAUGAAGCUAAUUAAAACUGAGGCUUUGGAUCAAUUUCUUCUAACAAGAUACAAAUGAGCAUUAACCUAUCUCCUAUGAGUAAAUUUUUUUAAUAUCCUUGAUUUGUAAGGAUCUGGAGGCCUGAAAUCCUCUAGAUUUUUUUUAACACUGUCAAUGUUCUUUUUAUUCUGAGAAGGAAAUAAAAGGUUUUAUCUUUCAUACCCAAAUAGUAAGCUGGCCUUGUCUUAACAUGGCCUCCCGAGGACUUGCAAGAUUCAUAGUGCCCCCCACCCCAAAAAAUAAAAAUAAAAAACACAAAUAGGAAGAUUUUGCAAGAUUCACCACCAGGUUUUUUUUAAUUUGUUAAUUGUGUGUACGUGCUAGUUAUAUGUUGAAAGAAUAGGAAGAAGUAUUUCAACAUGAAUGACUUAAAACUUAUUGCUCAGUAAACAUAAUCUGCAUGUAUUUAUCGUUUGUAUUUUUUAUGGUUUUGCUAAAGAAAUGAUAUGUGAAAUAAUGCUACAUUGCAUCAGGAAUAAAUUGAAGAGAUUUAUGAUAUUUAUGUGUUAUUCAAAUUUCAGAUUCAAUUUUAAACUUUUGAUACGUGCAUUGAAAGCUUAGACUUGUUUAAGAAAUUAUUAAUAGACACAUGUUUUUAUUAGUGUCAUCUUUGGAUGAUAGUGAGGAUCAUAUGUCUAUUAAUAAUUCUUGAAUUGUCCAGGCUUGGACAGUUUGGGAAUGCAUAGUUCACUCUGGUAGCUAGUAGCUGAAGUUUUUUCCCACGUAAAAAUGGGUUUUUCAGUAGCUGCUCCUCGUGUUCUCUGGGUACGUACUAGGUGAAUGGGUGUCAUGUGUUGUUUUGGCAUAACGCAUAAACACUUAUAUAGCUAUGUCGUGUGCUUGGAGAAUUAUAGGGAGAUGGUGCCGAAAUUUUUAUAAACGUGGAAGAAAACUUUAGGUACUUGAGAUUGAAGAAACUUAUGCAUUCUUGAGUGGGAUAUGUAGGAUUACUUACCUUUUGUAAAUAUGAAGGGAAUGUUGGAUAUAUUGGGGAUAGUGUAGGAGCUGAGUUGGAUGAAUGUAAUUGGUGAUGAUUUUGCUGAGCUGACCUUGGUUUUGAGCUUGUAAUUUUGUUUGUAAAUGGAGUGCUAUCUCCAAUGUUGGUUUAUAAAUAUGUUUCAGGACUUGCUGACCUAAUUUUUUGUUUCUAGGUUACAGGCUUUAUAUAUCUGUAAUUGAUGGCGAAGUGAAGUUCCCAGAACUUGGCGAGGAUGUUUCUUUACAGAAGGUAUUGGAAACUGUUUUUUACAUUAAUUAUUGUUGUAUAUAUACUUUGAUUUUCACAUCUUUUUCUCUGAUUCUUGUGGCUUUGCUUGCUUUCAUAUAUGUAAAUUCUAAUGAAAUUAACCAUAAAAUUGUAAAAUGAUCUUUUUAUUAUAUUGCAAAACUGUGCACACACGAAAAUAUAUUGUUUAGUAGUAGAAAUGAAGAACUAAAAUGAUUUACUUAACUAAUUUUUGUAGCGCAUUAAAAGGAGAUAGUCAUGGACAUGUGUUGGGUUGGUUUGCCAAAUAGAUAUCCAAGUCAUAUACUGAUGGGGAUGAAAAAUUUAUAGAUUUUGCAUUUGAGAAUGUUGUUGGUGGUACAAGAAUUUAAUGUCCUUUUAAGAAGUGUUGUAAUCUAUAUUUCGUUAUAAGGAAAGUGGCUGAUGAUGAUAUGGUUGGAAUGAUACAAUGCAUCACGUAAUCAAAUGUUCAAGUUACACGGAGCAUUGUUAUGGACUAUCAGUGACUUUCUAGCAUUGCCAACUUGUCUGGGUGGAGUAUUAAAGGUAAAUAAGCAUGUCUUGUUUGCCAACAAAACACUAGAUCUAAUUGGUUGAUACAUAGUAGAAAAUUUUGUCACGUGGGUCACCGUCGAUUUUUACCAACAAAUCAUAGGUUUCGAAAAUAUAGUGUCUUUUGAUAAAACUAGAGAGUAGGGACCAGCACAUUCUCGGUUGUCUGGAUCUGAAGUGAAAAAGCAGUUUAAUAUACUUACUGAGUAUAAGAUUGAAGACUUGAAAAUAGGAGAAUGAAUAAAAUGAGAGAAAUGAUAAGAUUACUUGGAAGAAGAAAAGCAUAUUUUAUGAACUACCGUGUUGGGAGUUCAAUUUGAUUCAUCAUAAUCUUGAUCUCAUGGGCUGUUUUGAUUUUUGUUAUGAACUCAGAUCAAAAGUUUAAUGUGAUCAAAAUUUCUUAAAAAUAGUGAAAACGACUCCUAAUAAUAUGGAAGAUGGCUAUAAAAGAUAAAAGGAAAGGCUUAAAAAGAAAAGCCAUGCCUGUCCAAAAAAAAAAAAAAUCAACAAAAAUCAAAACGGUGCGUUUGAGAGUGUAUAAAAUACAUUUAGAGUGGGAGUUGUGUUGUUGCUUGAAGGCAGAAAGAUAUUUGUCGACGAAGCCAAAACCAAAGAUGAAGCCCAUAAAGCUCAAAACUCCACCGGAGCAAAUUCAGACAAUUACGAGGGUUAUGUUUGACAUAGUCAAGGAAGACGGUCCUCUCACCGUUGCCGAAACUUGGGAACGCGUCAAGGUGUGUGUAUCUGUUAAAUUGAAUUUCAACCGUUUGAUCUGUAAUUAUAAUUAAUCCAAUCGAUCUGACAGUGAUCACUGACCAUAAUACUAGUAGUUGUUUUACAUUUUCAGCAGGCUAGAGCGGGUGGAUUGACGGGCAAAAGCUCAGGCUCGUCUGCAAUCACAUGGGCCCUCAUAAGCAAAUCCUGUACACAACUUGGUUCACUAAACCCAACAACUUGAAGCAGCCAAAAUCAGGGAAUGAUCCUUCUCCGUCACAACCCUAGCUGCCUUAACCUUGUAGUGACACGGUGAAGAUGGAAGCCCCUCAGCAUGUAAACUUUUCAACAGCGACAGAGCUCUUAUUCCAGAGGCUGCACAGAAGAGCGACCUGAAUCCUCUUCAAAACUUUCAAAUUUUUAUCAAGUAAAGCUUUCAAAAUUUCUCAACAAACUGAUUAUUUGGUGUGGUUGCCACAUUUUGUGCAACUGCUAUUCGUCUUCAAGUACAAAUUCCUUGCCUUCUAAGUUAGGGAACAUAGAUGUGGAGCAAACAGGGAAAUAGAUGUGGAGCAAACAGGGAAACAGCAAUGAUGGCAAUUAACAAACUAAUAGCAGUAUUACAUUUGAUUCUUUAGCCCAAUUUUGUUCCUUCUGUCAGCCAUUCUUCAAAAGUUUUUGAAAAUUAGAUGUGAAGCAAAAAAAAAACAAAUUUAGACAACAGAAGCCCUGUGCUCAACAUCAUAUAUAUACCUUGAAUACCUAAUAUACUAAAUUUCACAUAUAAAAUACUAGAGAUUUCAAACAGUACCAGCAAUAGAAUAAUGACAACGACAACAAUAACAGAAAAUUACAAGAUUGCUGACAAAAUUUAUGUGAUUUACUGUGCCUUUAUGCAUGCAAAAUGAAACUGAAGAUAAAAAAUUUAGGGAAAAGGACACAGAGACCCCCAACGUUUGAAUAAGGGACACAAAAUCCCUUAAUGUUUCAAAAAAGACACUCAGACCCCCAUUUGUUAACAUUAAAUUAUAAUUUUACCAUUGUACCCUUAUAGCAUAUUAAAAAAUAAUUAUUCAUUAUCCAAUUUAUUUCUAUAUUAUUAAUAAAAUUACGAAUAUAACUUCAUUACUCAAUUUUUCCAUUUAAUUUUUAUCAAAUUUUAUCUUCAAACUAAAUAAAUUUAAUCCAUUGCUCAAAAAUAAAAAUAAAUUAAAUUGAUUAUUAAUAUAAUAAAAAUAACAAUUCUCCAUAUGUUAUUUCUUAUAAUUUCUUAUAUAUAAAUUAAAUUGAUAAUUUCUUAAAAAUAACAAUUCUCCAUAUAUAAAUUAAAUUUAUUUUAAUUUAAUAUAUGUUAUUUUUAUAUUAAAUAUAUGUUAUUUUUAUUAUAUUAGUAAUCAAUUUAAUUUAUUUUUAUUCUUGAGUAAUGGAUUAAAUUUAUUUAGUUUGAAGAGAAAAUUUGACAAAAAUUAAAUGGAAAAAUUGGAUAAUGAAGUUAUAUUCGUAAUUUUAUUAAUAAUAUAGGAAUAAAUUGAACAAUGAACAAUUAUUUUUUAAUAUGCUAUGAGGGUAUAAUGGUAAAAUUAUAAUUUACUGUUAACAAAUGGGGGUCUCAGUGUUUUUUUUGAAACAUUAGGGGUUUUGUGUCCCUUAUUCAAACGUUGGGGGUCUCUGUGUCCUUUUCCCAAAAAUUUAUAAACUAGAAAUUUAUAAUAAUCUAACUUAUUCUCGUUACUAUUAAAAAAUAAGUAAACAUAUCAAUAACAAUAUAGUUUAUUAUGAUUAUAAUUCAUUCAAUUAAAAUAAAUAAUUUAUUCUUAUUUCUAUUCUCUAUUCUAAUUUCAGUAAAUUUUGAUUUUAGUUUAUUUUAAUUAUUGAUUAGUUGUAAACUUAACUGGAAAUUUAUUGCAUAUAUUACGAGAAGCAGUACACACCAAUGGUAAAUUGAUACAUCGUUUUUGAGCUUAAGAUAGUCAAAUGAAAGAAACACAACGUAGGGUUCAUGAAACACUUUCAAAGCUGCUGAUGACUUAAAGUGAAUAACCUCAGCAUGUAAACUUAACUUCAAAGGACGGAGCACAAGUUUCACAGAAAAACAGCUCUUAUUUCUGAUGCUGCGAACACAGAGGAGUGACCUCAAUCUUCUUCAUCACUUGGGAAUUCUGCAAUUAUAGAGCACGACAUUGAGCAUGAACUAGAAAAAAUAUUUAUUUUCUACAAUUUUCAUAUAACCUCACUAACCAAGAUUAAUUUUGUGGUAAUGUAUUGGGUCAUUAAUUCAUAUGUUUUUACUGUCAUCACUUUAGAAAAAACUAAUUUCUCAAUGUGAAAUGGCCCAUAAAAGGUAUUCUCAUUUAAAAACUAAAUUUGACAAACCCCUCGAUUAAAGCAGGGGAGAGAAAAGAAAAAAAAAAAGAUCUGAAGGCUUUCCACAUGAAAAUGUUGUCACUUUGGAUGAUAUUUUCAAGGGAUUUCAUUCUAAAAAUAAAAUACCUGGGACCUUAUUCUUCAAAUUGACAGCUCGCCCAGUACUAAACGCGUAUGAGAUCAGUACUGGGACAAGUAACGAGACGACCCCUCCAACAGCUGAAAAUAAAAUUCGCAUUCAUCAAUUUAAAUUGAAAUUCAUAUUAUGAAAUUAAAACUAAUGAUUAAUGAAUUUUCAAGGAAUUUAAUAAGAUUCUCAUAUAUAAACGUGAUAAAAAAUUCACUCAUCAAUAACAAAUAUUCUAACAUUUUGUUGAUGUAAUUGUUGUAUGGUUGUGUUAAGGUCAUUAUUAGACCAACGCAGUUUGUCAUCACUCAUUCCGUACCAGACGUUUACUCUCGGAGGCGUGAUUGAUUCUCCUUUGGUGAAAUCUUCAUCUUCGGACAACCAAUCACAGUAAGAUAUUCCAAAGAUGGGAAUUUGAAGGCGUAAUUGCCAGAGGAGAAGCUUGUGAGACUAUCUAAAUCAAACAGGGACAACGUAGUCAGUUUGCUGAAAACAAUCUCUUCUUUUAAAUAUGCUGUUUCAUUUCAAGACUGGCAAAAUUCAUUGUGUAAUCAAAGUUUUCAAUGAUCCAACUAAUAUAUAUAUAUAUGUAUGUAUAUUCCUUCUCUAGUGCAGACAUUCUCAUUUUUUUUUUUCAUGUGGACCAGUUUUUAGAUCCCCUGGUUUAAAAGAGUUAGUUUUUAACUCUUUAAAACCGCAUGGCUUCAUAAUUUAUUUAAAAACUAACUCUCUUAAACCGCACGGUUUAAAAGCGUGUCCACAUUAAAAAAAAAAUACGGACCCCCACACCUGAGAAUGAUUAUAUAUAUAUAUAUAUAUAUAUAUAGACACACGCUCUUAAACCGUGGGAUUUGAAAGCUUCUCCGCAUGAAGAAAGUAAAAAAUAAGGGCAUUCCCACUAGAAACAAACUCCAUAUAGGUAUUUAUUAAACCUCCUGAUCUGUGAGUGAGGAACAACAAAUAUAAUUGAUAAAAAAAAUCUAAAAUUUGGUUUCAUACCUUCUUGAACGAGAACAGGGUUGUUGUGCCGGAAUACCAAAUUGAUCAUUCUCGUUAUUCUGGGACAACGUUAUUUUAUCACAAUUACAGGCCUCCAAUGUUUUUUAGUGCUGGCCAUUCUGAAGUAUGCAUUCCAGGGUAUAAACAUCCGAGUUCUGGUAGACCUUCGAGAUUCAGAGUGGUCACUUGUGGAAAGACAAAAUAUGGGGUCACUUGAUCUGCUCUGUCUUUGGAGAUGAUCUCUUGUAAACCCAUACAUAUCCGUAUCUCCAGGUGUUGGAGGUGCUCAAGGCUUUGGAUCAUAGAAGCUGAAAAUAUGUAUUUUAAUUUGUCACAGCCCCACACUAUCAAUCGUGUCAAACUUUGAAAGCCGCAAGUUGAUUGUCAUGCAAAAUCUCGUCGACAUUAAUAGCAUUCAGCUCCAAAGCCUCCAAAUUUGGCAACACUACCUGAAGAUAAUUUUCUCUUUAGAUCCAAUAUCCGUAUGGAAAGCACUUGUUUUGACACAAUAUCCAUAUAAGAAGCACUUAAUUAAGAGCUUAAUUAGCGAGUGUAUGAGACUUUUUUUUUUUCAAAUGCCAGUGCAUGAUAGAACUAAAAAAAAAAAAGAAGCAUUAGCCUACGUACCUUCUCGUUGAAAAGCAGAGUUGACGUUUCCGAACUGAUCUCGUUGGAACUGGCUGUCAAUUCCUCUUGCGACUCUUGUCUGUUUGGUGAUGUGGAAGAAGUCUUCACUUCACCGCAAAACCUUGUAACCUUUGGAAGCUUUCCCAGACUCAAAGAUCUUAAUUGACCAAACUCUAUCUUCCCAUCAACAUCAACAUCAGCUUCUCCUCCAGUUGCAAAAAUCUCUUCCAUGCUGCUGCAAUUGAUAACUGCAAUCCUCUCCAGUCUUGGAAGGCAUUUUGUACUACUAGAGAGCCAGAAGAUAUUACUCAACUCAUCACAAUUUUCUACUUUUAUGGUUUUGAGUUCAUUGAAGGACUCUAUUUGAGUCGAUCAAUACAUAUCCUCUCCAUAUUGAUCAAAUUUUGAAGAGUAUGGGACUCCAAAAGAGGAAAGGCGACACAUGGUUCUCUCUCCAUUGAAUCGACGAUACACAGGAAGUCUGGAUUAUUUUGAACAUGGAGAUGCUUCAAUUGUGAAAAGCCCUCAGUGUCCAAUUCUAAAACAACAUUCUUGAUUCCUUGCAACUUAUCCAAACAUAAGUAUUCAACGUUAUUGAUGCGCUGCAACUUCUCGGAGCAAAUGGCCAUAGAAUCAAGCUUGAGCUUCAAUGUUCUUAAACUCUCAUGAUUACUGAUCAUAAAGUGCUGCCGACUUCAAACCAAUCAUUCUCAAUAACCAGGGUAGAGUCGAAUGAUGCAUCUCCUAUUGAUAUAUCAAACCUUUCCAGCUUUUUGGAAAAAAAGCCAUCCGGUAAAAUGCUAUCAUUUUUAACAUCUAUCUAAGGUGGUCAAUCGCCUCAUAUGCAUCAAUUCGUCGAGGGUGGCAUUACUUCUUUCACUAUUGGCCUUUUCAACUUCCCAUUCAAUAGGGGAAUUACCCAUAUACAGUUCUUCCAAUCGAGUGAAGCUUGAUAAGACGUUGGGCACAAUAAAUUUUAGUUGCAAAACAAUCUGUUAAAUCUAACAGCCUUAACUUAGUCAGUUGACCUAGUUCGCCAGGCAACCGUACAAUAUCAGAAUUUAAAAAGCUAAGGAUUUCUAGAUUCUUCAACUUUCCAAUUAUGGCUAUGUCUCCCAACAUGCUUUGAUCUAGACAGAGUGUUUGAAGAUUGCUAGAAGACCGAUUGAAGAUGGCAAUGAAAAUAAUCGCAUUCGUGUCAAAUCUACAACUCGAAGCUUUUUCAGCCUUUGAAAAUGUUGUCAGGAAUAUUGACCUCAACAAAAAGUGUUUGGGAAAUAUGUAAAAAUUCAAGUUGCAGACAUUCAAAUUCCUCAGAAACUUCAUGAAUGCUACUAUUUAGUAAAAGAGAUUGCAUAGCAUUUUUUAAGUGCAUCCUCAUCUGGCCACUCCCACACAGCCUCAUUUCUCACCAAUAAAGCAUGUUGGUCUCGAUUUAAACUUUAACUCAAUUUGAAAAACUGAGCAAGUAUGCGUUACAGGAAAUCAAAAAAGCUCCACAUACCCAGAUCAUGAUCUCACGUUGAAUCCAGGUGGGAGAUAUAUUUAUGAUCAAGCCCAACAAUCGAAGGGGGCAAAAAAAAAAAAAAAAAAAAAAAUCUACCAGACAUAUGAUCAUAUUGACCACGAGCUUCAUACGCCGUGGAUUUAUUAACAAAAGUGGAAUUAAUUAAUCAUGAGCAUGUGUUCUAGUUAAGUCAAAAGAGAACUUAAUUAAGAACGCAUAUAUAAUUCAUAAUCAGCACAUAAAAAAUCACUAGUGCUUGCCCCUCCUGCCCUUGCCGUGCUUGCCGUGCUUGCCCCUGCCCUUGCUCUUUCCAUGCUGGUAGUAGCCGCCGUGCUUGCCGUGUGUGUAUGCACCGUGAGCUCCAGGAUAUGCGUUAUUAUCUGCAACAAAAUAAGAAAUUAAAUCAUAAGGCUUAUAAUUAGCUCGCUCGCUAAGAGUGAUUAAAAUAAUACCGUGCGGAACGGAUGGGCCAGGAUAUCCCGUUGGUGUGUAACCACUGGCGAGUGCUGCUCCUGUAGGCGGGUAGCCGGCACCGGCUGGGCAGCAUGAUCAGCACCUUCCAUGAUUUUGAUGAUCACCUAAUAAAUAAUAACUUGGUCCAAAAUAAACAACAAUAAAUAAUUGUGAUUAAUAAAAAGUAAUAUAUUCUCUAAUUAAAAACAUUAAUGAUCAUUGGAGAGCAAGCGAGAAAUACUUACUGAAUGCGAUGGGACAGACAACAUCAUGCAUAGAGAAUUGUUCAUCUUCAACGAAUUUGGCUGCCCGGUCAAUGAUGCCGUUAGCACUAACCAGCCACUUCUCAACCUUCUCUUCAAUCUCUUCCCCUUUUUCUUUUGCCUCUGAAACUCUGCGCCGAAUGCUCGUACGUUCAACCUUCAACUUCUCCAUUUCCGUCUUGAGAUUCUCAAGGUGGCAUUGUAGUUCCGCUUGCGCAAAUAAACAAGUUGGCGUUCUGUUGAGGAGCCAAGCAUUUACAAGUUCCAAAACGAGAGUAACAAUGAUUUCCAGCAUCUUGAAUCCUGACAACAAUGUAGAAGUGAAGAAGGCCAAAGGACAGUCAAAACAGAGAGACAGCGUUACGACAACAGUUAUGAGCUAAAAAUAAAUAACAAACAAACAGAAGCAAAGUGUUUUUCGAAUGAGAAGAAGGAAGCAAGAAAAACUUAAAACUAGUAUAAUAAAUUUAUACUAAAACUAGUAUAGUAAAACAAGAAGUCAAGAACCAGCAACUUUUACACACAAAAUAAAACCUUAAAACUAGUAUAAUAAAUUUAUCAUCAAGUUGCAGCCUUCUUAUUCAACAAUUACAGCAUUAUCUUGAGCUCUGUGUUUCUUUUUUUAAAAAUUAUUCAAAAAAAUCUGCAUUUUUUUUCAACGAUAAAAAUUAUAUUUUUGUCUCAUAUAAUAUAAAAUUAAAAAAAAAACAAACAUAUAUUAAAGGUCUGUUUGGGAUUAUUUUUAGAGGCUCAAAAGUAAUUUUUUAAAAAGUUAAAUGCUAAUUUUGGUAUUUAAUAAAAUUUUUAGAAGUCACCUUUGGUAAAAUCAUCAAUCCUACAACAAAUUUUGAAAGCAAAUAGUUUUUCAAAUUUUUAUUUUGAUAAUUAAUUUUAUACUUAAUAUAAUUCCAUAUACAUCCCUACAUAUAUUAAUUAUCCUUAUUAAUUAGAAAAUAAAAUUAUUAACUUUAAAGAUAUUAUCAACAAUUACAUUGAGAUAACAAACUAAAAAUAAAAUUAAUAAUAUAAAAUAUUUAUUUUAGUAAUCAAUUAUUAUACUUACAAGAUAAAAAAUAUUUUAUUUAAAUGUUUAUAAAUGUACAAAUAAAUUUUAUUUAAUAUUAUAUUCAAUUUAGUCAUUUACAUUGUCAAUAGGACUUCUAAAAAUAAAUUUUCCUAAAUGUUUAACUAAUUCUCUUCAUAGUGAUUAUUUNUUUUAUUAUAUUAGUAAUCAAUUUAAUUUAUUUUUAUUCUUGAGUAAUGGAUUAAAUUUAUUUAGUUUGAAGAGAAAAUUUGACAAAAAUUAAAUGGAAAAAUUGGAUAAUGAAGUUAUAUUCGUAAUUUUAUUAAUAAUAUAGGAAUAAAUUGAACAAUGAACAAUUAUUUUUUAAUAUGCUAUGAGGGUAUAAUGGUAAAAUUAUAAUUUACUGUUAACAAAUGGGGGUCUCAGUGUUUUUUUUGAAACAUUAGGGGGUUUUGUGUCCCUUAUUCAAACGUUGGGGGUCUCUGUGUCCUUUUCCCAAAAAUUUAUAAACUAGAAAUUUAUAAUAAUCUAACUUAUUCUCGUUACUAUUAAAAAAUAAGUAAACAUAUCAAUAACAAUAUAGUUUAUUAUGAUUAUAAUUCAUUCAAUUAAAAUAAAUAAUUAUUCUUAUUUCUAUUCUCUAUUCUAAUUUCAGUAAAUUUUGAUUUUAGUUUAUUUUAAUUAUUGAUUAGUUGUAAACUUAACUGGAAAUUUAUUGCAUAUAUUACGAGAAGCAGUACACACCAAUGGUAAAUUGAUACAUCGUUUUUGAGCUUAAGAUAGUCAAAUGAAAGAAACACAACGUAGGGUUCAUGAAACACUUUCAAAGCUGCUGAUGACUUAAAGUGAAUAACCUCAGCAUGUAAACUUAACUUCAAAGGACGGAGCACAAGUUUCACAGAAAAACAGCUCUUAUUUCUGAUGCUGCGAACACAGAGGAGUGACCUCAAUCUUCUUCAUCACUUGGGAAUUCUGCAAUUAUAGAGCACGACAUUGAGCAUGAACUAGAAAAAAUAUUUAUUUUCUACAAUUUUCAUAUAACCUCACUAACCAAGAUUAAUUUUUGUGGUAAUGUAUUGGGUCAUUAAUUCAUAUGUUUUUACUGUCAUCACUUUAGAAAAAACUAAUUUCUCAAUGUGAAAUGGCCCAUAAAAGGUAUUCUCAUUUAAAAACUAAAUUUGACAAACCCCUCGAUUAAAGCAGGGAGAGAAAAGAAAAAAAAAAGAUCUGAAGGCUUUCCACAUGAAAAUGUUGUCACUUUGGAUGAUAUUUUCAAGGGAUUUCAUCUAAAAAAUAAAUACCUGGGACCUUAUUCUUCAAAUUGACAGCUCGCCCAGUACUAAACGCGUAUGAGAUCAGUACUGGGAAAGUAACGAGACGACCCUCCAACAGCUGAAAAUAAAAUUCGCAUUCAUCAAUUUAAAUUGAAAUUCAUAUUAUGAAAUUAAAACUAAUGAUUAAUGAAUUUUCAAGGAAUUUAAUAAGAUUCUCAUAUAUAAACGUGAUAAAAAAUUCACUCAUCAAUAACAAAUAUUCUAACAUUUUGUUGAUGUAAUUGUUGUAUGGUUGUGUUAAGGUCAUUAUUAGACCAACGCAGUUUGUCAUCACUCAUUCCGUACCAGACGUUUACUCUCGGAGGCGUGAUUGAUUCUCCUUUGGUGAAAUCUUCAUCUUCGGACAACCAAUCACAGUAAGAUAUUCCAAAGAUGGGAAUUUGAAGGCGUAAUUGCCAGAGGAGAAGCUUGUGAGACUAUCUAAAUCAAACAGGGACAACGUAGUCAGUUUGCUGAAAACAAUCUCUUCUUUUAAAUAUGCUGUUUCAUUUCAAGACUGGCAAAAUUCAUUGUGUAAUCAAAGUUUUCAAUGAUCCAACUAAUAUAUAUAUAUAUGUAUGUAUAUAUUCCUUCUCUAGUGCAGACAUUCUCAUUUUUUUUUUUUCAUGUGGACCAGUUUUUAGAUCCCCUGGUUUAAAAGAGUUAGUUUUUAAACUCUUUAAAACCGCAUGGCUUCAUAAUUUAUUUAAAAACUAACUCUCUUAAACCGCACGGUUUAAAAGCGUGUCCACAUUAAAAAAAAAUACGGACCCCACACCUGAGAAUGAUUAUAUAUAUAUAUAUAUAUAUAUAGACACACGCUCUUAAACCGUGGGAUUUGAAAGCUUCUCCAUGAAGAAAGUAAAAAAUAAGGGCAUUCCCACUAGAAACAAACUCCAUAUAGGUAUUUAUUAAACCUCCUGAUCUGUGAGUGAGGAACAACAAAUAUAAUUGAUAAAAAAAAUCUAAAAUUUGGUUUCAUACCUUCUUGAACGAGAACAGGGGUUGUUGUGCCGGAAUACCAAAUUGAUCAUUCUCGUUAUUCUGGGACAACGUUAUUUUAUCACAAUUACAGGCCUCCAAUGUUUUUUAGUGCUGGCCAUUCUGAAGUAUGCAUUCCAGGGUAUAAACAUCCGAGUUCUGGUAGACCUUCGAGAUUCAGAGUGGUCACUUGUGGAAAGACAAAAUAUGGGGUCACUUGAUCUGCUCUGUCUUUGGAGAUGAUCUCUUGUAAACCCAUACAUAUCCGUAUCUCCAGGUGUUGGAGGUGCUCAAGGCUUUGGAUCAUAGAAGCUGAAAAUAUGUAUUUUAAUUUGUCACAGCCCCACACUAUCAAUCGUGUCAAACUUUGAAAGCCGCAAGUUGAUUGUCAUGCAAAAUCUCGUCGACAUUAAUAGCAUUCAGCUCCAAAGCCUCCAAAUUUGGCAACUACCUGAAGAUAAUUUUCUCUUUAGAUCCAAUAUCCGUAUGGAAAGCACUUGUUUUGACACAAUAUCCAUAUAAGAAGCACUUAAUUAAGAGCUUAAUUAGCGAGUGUAUGAGACUUUUUUUUUUUUCAAAUGCCAGUGCAUGAUAGAACUAAAAAAAAAAAAGAAGCAUUAGCCUACGUACCUUCUCGUUGAAAAGCAGAGUUGACGUUUCCGAACUGAUCUCGUUGGAACUGGCUGUCAAUUCCUCUUGCGACUCUUGUCUGUUUGGUGAUGUGGAAGAAGUCUUCACUUCACCGCAAAACCUUGUAACCUUUGGAAGCUUUCCCAGACUCAAAGAUCUUAAUUGACCAAACUCUAUCUUCCCAUCAACAUCAACAUCAGCUUCUCCUCCAGUUGCAAAAAUCUCUUCCAUGCUGCUGCAAUUGAUAACUGCAAUCCUCUCCAGUCUUGGAAGGCAUUUUGUACUACUAGAGAGCCAGAAGAUAUUACUCAACUCAUCACAAUUUUCUACUUUUAUGGUUUUGAGUUCAUUGAAGGACUCUAUUUUGAGUCGGAUCAAUACAUAUCCUCUCCAUAUUGAUCAAAUUUUGAAGAGUAUGGGACUCCAAAAGAGGAAAGGCGACACAUGGUUCUCUCUCCAUUGAAUCGACGAUACACAGGAAGUCUGGAUUAUUUUGAACAUGGAGAUGCUUCAAUUGUGAAAAGCCCUCAGUGUCCAAUUCUAAAACAACAUUCUUGAUUCCUUGCAACUUAUCCAAACAUAAGUAUUCAACGUUAUUGAUGCGCUGCAACUUCUCGGAGCAAAUGGCCAUAGAAUCAAGCUUGAGCUUCAAUGUUCUUAAACUCUCAUGAUUACUGAUCAUAAAGUGCUGCCGACUUUCAAACCAAUCAUUCUCAAUAACCAGGGUAGAGUCGAAUGAUGCAUCUCCUAUUGAUAUAUCAAACCUUUCCAGCUUUUUGGAAAAAAAGCCAUCCGGUAAAAUUGCUAUCAUUUUUAACAUCUAUCUAAGGUGGUCAAUCGCCUCAUAUGCAUCAAUUCGUCGAGGGUGGCAUUACUUCUUUCACUAUUGGCCUUUUCAACUUCCCAUUCAAUAGGGAAUUACCCAUAUACAGUUCUUCCAAUCGAGUGAAGCUUGAUAAGACGUUGGGCACAAUAAAUUUUAGUUGCAAACAAUCUGUUAAAUCUAACAGCCUUAACUUAGUCAGUUGACCUAGUUCGCCAGGCAACCGUACAAUAUCAGAAUUUAAAAAGCUAAGGAUUUCUAGAUUCUUCAAACUUUCCAAUUAUGGCUAUGUCUCCCAACAUGCUUUGAUCUAGACAGAGUGUUUGAAGAUUUGCUAGAAGACCGAUUGAAGAUGGCAAUGAAAAUAAUCGCAUUCGUGUCAAAUCUACAACUCGAAGCUUUUUCAGCCCUUUGAAAAUGUUGUCAGGAAUAUUGACCUCAACAAAAGUGUUUUGGGAAAUAUGUAAAAAUUCAAGUUGCAGACAUUCAAAUUCCUCAGAAACUUCAUGAAUGCUACUAUUUAGUAAAGAGAUUGCAUAGCAUUUUUUUAAGUGCAUCCUCAUCUGGCCACUCCCACACAGCCUCAUUUCUCACCAAUAAAGCAUGUUGGUCUCGAUUUAAACUUUAACUCAAUUUGAAAAACUGAGCAAGUAUGCGUUACAGGAAAUCAAAAAAGCUCCACAUACCCAGAUCAUGAUCUCACGUUGAAUCCAGGUGGGAGAUAUAUUUAUGAUCAAGCCCAACAUCGAAGGGGGCAAAAAAAAAAAAAAAAAAAAAUCUACCAGACAUAUGAUCAUAUUGACCACGAGCUUCAUACGCCGUGGAUUUAUUAACAAAAAGUGGGAAUUAAUUAAUCAUGAGCAUGUGUUCUAGUUAAGUCAAAAGAGAGACUUAAUUAAGAACGCAUAUAUAAUUCAUAAUCAGCACAUAAAAAGAUCACUAGUGCUUGCCCCUCCUGCCCUUGCCGUGCUUGCCGUGCUUGCCCCUGCCCUUGCUCUUUCCAUGCUGGUAGUAGCCGCCGUGCUUGCCGUGUGUGUAUGCACCGUGAGCUCCAGGAUAUGCGUUAUUAUCUGCAACAAAAUAAGAAAUUAAAUCAUAAGCUUAUAAUUAGCUCGCUCGCUAAGAGUGAUUAAAAUAAUACCGUGCGGAACGGAUGGGCCAGGAUAUCCCGUUGGUGUGUAACCACUGGCGAGUGCUGCUCCUGUAGGCGGGUAGCCGGCACCGGCUGGGGCAGCAUGAUCAGCACCUUCCAUGAUUUUGAUGAUCACCUAAUAAAUAAUAACUUGGUCCAAAAUAAACAACAAUAAAUAAUUGUGAUUAAUAAAAAGUAAUAUAUUCUCUAAUUAAAACAUUAAUGAUCAUUGGAGAGCAAGCGAGAAAUACUUACUGAAUGCGAUGGGACAGACAACAUCAUGCAUAGAGAAUUGUUCAUCUUCAACGAAUUUGGCUGCCCGGUCAAUGAUGCCGUUAGCACUAACCAGCCACUUCUCAACCUUCUCUUCAAUCUCUUCCCCUUUUUCUUUUGCCUCUGAAACUCUGCGCCGAAUGCUCGUACGUUCAACCUUCAACUUCUCCAUUUCCGUCUUGAGAUUCUCAAGGUUGGCAUUGUAGUUCCGCUUGCGCAAAUAAACAAGUUGGCGUUCUGUUGGAGGAGCCAAGCAUUUUACAAGUUCCAAAACGAGAGUAACAAUGAUUUCCAGCAUCUUGAAUCCUGACAACAAUGUAGAAGUGAAGAAGGCCAAAGGACAGUCAAAACAGAGAGACAGCGUUACGACAAGCAGUUAUGGAGCUAAAAAUAAAUAACAAACAAACAGAAGCAAAGUGUUUUUCGAAUGAGAAGAAGGAAGCAAGAAAAACUUAAAACUAGUAUAAUAAAUUUAUACUAAAACUAGUAUAGUAAAACAAGAAGUCAAGAACCAGCAACUUUUACACACAAAAUAAAACCUUAAAACUAGUAUAAUAAAUUUAUCAUCAAGUUGCAGCCUUCUUAUUCAACAAUUACAGCAUUAUCUUGAGCUCUGUGUUUCUUUUUUUAAAAAUUAUUCAAAAAAAUCUGCAUUUGUUUUUCAACGAUAAAAAUUAUAUUUUUGUCUCAUAUAAUAUAAAAUUAAAAAAAAAAACAAACAUAUAUUAAAGGUCUGUUUGGGAUUAUUUUUAGAGGCUCAAAAGUAAUUUUAAAAAGUUAAAUGCUAAUUUUGGUAUUUAAUAAAAUUUUUAGAAGUCACCUUUGGUAAAAUCAUCAAUCCUACAACAAAUUUUGAAAGCAAAUAGUUUUUCAAAUUUUUAUUUUGAUAAUUAAUUUUAUACUUAAUAUAAUUCCAUAUACAUCCCUACAUAUAUUAAUUAUCCUUAUUAAUUAGAAAAUAAAAUUAUUAACUUUAAAGAUAUUAUCAACAAUUACAUUGAGAUAACAAACUAAAAAUAAAAUUAAUAAUAUAAAAUAUUUAUUUUAGUAAUCAAUUAUUAUACUUACAAGAUAAAAAAUAUUUUAUUUAAAUGUUUAUAAAUGUACAAAUAAAUUUUAUUUAAUAUUAUAUUCAAUUUAGUCAUUUACAUUGUCAAUAGGACUUCUAAAAAUAAAUUUUCCUAAAUGUUUAACUAAUUCUCUUCAUAGUGAUUAUUUCCAAACAUAACUACCAAAAAUUACUAUAAUAGAUACAACAUUACCAAAAAAAUAUUGAGAUAGAUUUUAAUUAGGUAAUUGACUUAAUUAUGAAUCAAUUUAUUAUUUCCAUAUGUGUUAUCAAAACCAGCUCAAUAAUGAGAUCACUCUUUUUCUUAAAUAAAAAUAUUUGUGCCAAACAAUUGUUGCAAAAUUUCAAAUAUAAAUUACAAACAACAAAAUUUUCUAAAAUCAUAACAAUAAUUUAUGUUGUGAAUACAUGUAACUAAACCACAUUGAAAUUUUAUUGUUAGUAAAAUUGUUUUUCACGCAAAUGCAGUGACGGAUUCAGUUUCAUGUUUCACCCUCAAUAACUUAAUUUUCAUAUCUAACAAAUCAUCCAUAUUAUUAACAAUAUCAUCACCAAACAUAAUCUACCUAAACAUAAACUAAACAUAACACAUACAUAUAACUAUAUACAUACCGAAUCAGGAAAACAAUGAAAGCUACACGUAUCCGGCUCUACAAUUCCUUCUUGAUACCCUUGUGCUUCUGAAAUAAUCAACCAAUUAUAAAAAUUAGCUUAGGCGCAACUUUACCCCUUUUUUGGAAAACUUAACGAUAAAUAAAGUAUACAAAUCUCUAAAUUAACUUCGUCCCCAUGAAAUUCAGCAUAAAUAGAAAUAGAAUUAUAGAAACCUUACUACCUUUUAUGAGAAAUCCAACUUAUAUAUUUGAGACCUCUCUCUCUAAACACGCGCUUCCUCUCUCUGUACACUUUCCACCUUUGAAUUUUCCUUCACUAAGUCUACCUAAAUGAAUUUAGCAUUCUUCCAGUUUCUUUAGCAUUUUUUCUCCGUGAAAAUAGGUGAAAAAGAGAAAGUGGUUUGAUUAUUUUAAUGUAUGACAGAUCUGGUUUCCAUCUCUGUAAUUUAAGUUUGUCAAAACGAGAUAAUCAACUCUUUGUCGAGUCAGUCAAAUAUAAAAGACAAAUUACUAAACCAAGCAGAGCCCAAAAAAAAAUAUUUCCAAUUAAAUAAUCAUCAAGUCUUUUUCAAUUAAAUUAGGGAGUGCAGAACAACUGUCGAGAGAUAAUCAUUGUUUAUGGAGCCAUAUUAUAUUUUCGAUUAAAAUAGUUGCGCGUGAACAAUUGGCAGAAUUCGUAUAAAUUGUUGUCAGGUCUAUUAUAAUUAACAAGCGGAAUGGCCAAUGGAUGAAGAACCACUGUAAUUUCGUUUAUGAAUUCAAAAUGCUAAAGAAACUGGACAUCAACGCUAAAUGUCAGCCUGCGGCCCUUGCCUCAGUGUCUUUCAGGCGUUACUCUGGGUAGUUGAUAUACUGACCGUCCCUUUAUCAAUUAAUAAUCGAAAUAGGUUAAAAUAUGAAUGGAUUGGAAUGGUAUGACUUGGAAUUAAAAUAUGGAAUGACGAUUAGAUUAAUUAAUUUAUUUAAAUUGAGAAAUUAGAAUCAUAAUAAAUUAUAUUGUUAUUGAUGUAUUUGUUUUAUCUUAAAAUUGCGAUGAGUUGUUACAAAUUACUAAUAUGCCUUUGAUUUUGUAUUAUGAUAAUUAUUAUUUAUUAUAACAUUUGUCAUAUAAUAAUAAUAAUAAUAACAACAACAACAAUUAAUAUUGAAAAAUUUUUAUUGUUAAUAAUAAAUAGGCAAUUAUCCACCGAUCAUGUGAUCUUUUGGACGUUUUAAAAAAUAUACAAACACUUUUUUCUUUGCAGAAAUCCACCUGAAAUUUACAAAGUGUUUCAAUUGUUCACUGUCAUCUAAAUUUUGUUAGAAUUUUCUUGACGUUGUAAGGAUAAAAUUGUUAUUUUUACCUUGACUUCCAAAGAGGAUGUCUUUCAAACAUGAUGAAAAUAAAAAAAAGGAUAAAAAAUUAUCUGUAAACUAUCUGAUCUUUUAGCCAUUAUACAAAAUAUUAAAAAAAUAUACGAACAUUUUUUAUUUUUUUCAACAAUCCAUCUGAUAGUUAUGAAGUGCAUUAGUGCUCCACUACUAUCAUAACCCUUUAAAAAUAUCGCUUAAACACGAGAACCUAUUGCCUAAAAUUAUUUUUCAAGAAAAUGUAACUACAGAUUUGGUUUUGAUCUUCAUGACUUUUAAGUGUACAAGAACAAGAUGAACGAACCUUUGUCGAGUUGAUGAAUUAAGAUAAAUCAAUUACAAAUCGAGAACAAACUUACGGGUGACAUUUUAGUAUUAAGCAAACUAUAAUUGAUCAUCCAAUGAUAGGCUUAUUUUCAAUUAAAUUAGAGUAAAGAUAGACAUUCCAAAUUUUUUCUCUCAAAUUUAAUCCUAGAUAAUGUGUUAUUAAUUGAGUGCUUGGUAAUUCUUUCAAGAUCUAAGUGAAUUAAUUAUAUUAUCUCUCCAACCAAUUGAUGAAUAUUAUAUUAUUUGAGAUAAUUUUUUUUUAUCUCAAAUCCCAGCAAAGAAAACAGAACAAACGGAGCAAAAAUAUUUUUAGAAACCUAAAAUAACAAAAAAAAACUUUUUCUUGUUUUUCUUAUUUUCCACUGUUAAACUUCAAAAUGAACAACUUUAUUCUACCAUCUCUCAAAUAAUAAUAAUAACAACAAUGUCAUCAUCAUCAAUAAUAAUAAUAAUAUAUUAACUUUGUAGGAUGGAGCUCUCGCAAAUCUUCAAGACACAAAAUGUGCUUGACCCCAUUGUUGUUAUUAUAAUUUCAAAAUCAUCUGUAUUAUAUAAUAUUAGGGAAUAUGACAUAGCAAAAUUGAUGGUACAUAUGUUGCAAUAUACUUGUUCAUGUGGCGACACAUUGAAGUAAAGCACAAGCAAAACAACGAAAAAUGUAACGGGAGAGCUCUCAUUAUGUAGAUUUUCAAUAGAAGUAAUGCAAAUUUCACAAGGGCAAUGGCCUUAUUUCGAAUGCUGCACCUGAGGAAUGACUUGAAUCUUCUUUAGAACUCAAGCAUUCUGUAAUCAUAGGGUAUAACAUUUCAACAAAAAUAUUAUAUAGGUCGUUCCUUUAUAUAUUUUCUGGGUACACAUACAGAAAUAUUAUUUUAGGUACAUUUCUCACAAUAAAGCCUGCCCAAUCUAGCAUUUUCGUAAGUUGGGUUUCUUAUUUACAUGUUUUUUCCAUUGGUUAAUUAUCACAAACCUCCACUGAGAUUUAGCAUGUUUUUAGUUUGAUAGAUUGUAUUCGCGUAUUCUCAAAUACCUUUUAGUUUACCACUUCGUAUAAAUUAAGUUGGUGAGGAUAAAAUCAUAAAAGUACACAUUAAUGAUAAAAAAAUUCAAGUAAACUUGAAAUUUUCAAGGGGUAAUUUUUCGGGACCUCCCCUGAGGUUCGGUGUAUUAAAAGUCUCAUAGAAAGUAUUCAUGUAAUUAUAAGAACCUCCCCUGACGUUAGUACACAGUUAACUUGACUGUUAGUGGACUGAUAAAAAGUCAAAAAUGCCAUUGGCUACAAAAAUGAGUGCAACAAUUUGGAGUUAAAUAGUAAACACCACAUUGGAGCACUAAAAAGUCUAUAAUAAUCAUGGAAAAAAAUCAUUGACAUUUACAUAAUAUAAAAAAAAAAAGUAAAAUAUAAAUUAAGAAAAUCAACAAAAUUGUCAACGUAUAGAAUAUUUACAGCAGCAGUGGCUAUAAAUACAACCGUCGUCAAAUUAAAAUAUCACCAUUAGUAAACUACUUCAAUAAGACAAUAAACCAUGAUUCACUCUUCAAAGCAUUCAAAAUACACAACCCGCACAAUAGAAUCACAUACGCACACCUGCUAAUGAAAUAUAAGAACAAACAGGAAAUUGAACUGACAUGGCUAAGAUACUCCUUCCCCAUAGCUAUUAGAAAGAUAAUGAGCGAUUUAUGAAUCAUGAUGCUUGCUUUACUUUCUGGCAGUGUUAGCUUCAAAUUCAAUGAUAGUAAAUGAACAAUGGUUCAUUCAUUAUGAAAGUAAGUGUAAAGCUAGGAAUUUAUAAUAUUCAGAUGUUGGAAUUGGAAAAAUAUUCCUUAAUCGUUUCAAUUGAAGCCAAGGAAGAAAAGAAAUGAGUCUUCUUUUUUCAGGAGACAAGCCAUAUGAAGAAGGCAGACCAGAGCAUAAGAACGAAUGCUACUGCCACAGUAAAAGCCUGGAUCAAUGGGUAAUGGUACCUGCCAUGUCAAUUUCAAGACAAACAAAAAUCAAUUAUCAUCCCCAGACCACAACACCACCAAACCAACCUUUUGAAUCUAAAAUAACAAGUUAAUAAAUCAAAGAUUUCAAUUCAUUUAAGUUUGAAAUCAACUAAAAUAGAAAAAAAAAACCCAAUUUCUUUUUUGUUCAAUAUAACUCAUUCAGCAUCUUCUUCAACACAUUUUUAUCAUUCUUCAUCAUCACAACAAUAAAAAGAAAAAAAAAACAUUGAGUCCAACAUGCAAGUUUUUUUUUUGGGAAACUAACCGUUUUUAGGUUCCAAUUCUAGUAGUCUUAAACAGUAGCCGCCGACGAAAUUCGCUUGGCGACACCCUUUUGCCACCAUUGCAGCUUGUCAUGUUCAUACUCAGCUUAAAAUUACUUGAAGGCAGCAGGGAUUUUAUAGUUACAAAAGUUUCUUCAGAGCUUUUCAAGCUUGAAAAUGGCUGAGAGUUUCAUUUCAUGAGAGAGAAAAUGGAGUUUUCAUUCAUCUUAGAUAAAUUGAAGAUAAUUUGCAUUGUGGGUAAUAAAUUGAUUGUCAGUGCCUAAAUUUGGGUCAUCGACACAACUUUGGAAUUUUUUUUAUUUUUCUUUGAUUUUUAUUAUGAAACUACUAAUUUACCCUCAUAUACUAACAUAUAUGAAAUGGCAUACUAACGUCAGUUAUGUCAAGCAGCUCCCUGUAAUUACGUGAAUAUUUUUCAUGAGACUGUCAAUACACAAAAUCUCAGGGGAAAUCCCUAAACAUUACCUAAUUUUUAAGUUGUGUUCUGAAAUUGGUCUCAACUUUGUAAUGUGUAAUGCCCACAAAAAAAGAAAAGGAAAAAUGGUCAUCUCUUUCCUCCAUUCGAACUGAAGCCAUGAAACGCAAUAUCCCUUUCAUCUUCUCUCUAAUGCUUUGAUUAAAAAACUUGCUUACGAACGGGAGACCAUGACACUGAAUCCGAAGACAGAAAUACCUGAGAUGACUGAUUCACGCCGGCGAUGUGGAAGAAUACCGACCAGUGACUUUCGCCGUCGACCCACAAACAAUCCCAGUGUUUUCGAGCCGCGAAUGAGGUAUGAAUAAGAUUAUUUCCGUGCGUGUCAGUUUUGUAAGGAGAUUUGAUUAAAAAAAAGAAUAAUGGGUCUCGAAAAUUUUUUGAGUAUUUCUGUUGCUUAAAUUUUUUUCCAUCGAUUAAUGUUAGUUGUAGGUGAAUGAUUGUUGCAAACGCAUGUUCGCUUGUGAUUGAUUGAAAAUGACUUGUUAUUUGUUAUGCUGCCAUGUGACUCAUUGAAAAUGCCUCUGAAAUUUUUUUAUUUGUUUAAGGUACUGAUUCUGAUUAUUGAACAGGGAUUCAUGCUAGUUUUUAUUAAAUUAAAGAUGAGAUUAUUUUUUAAGAGAUCUACCAAACCUUCUCUACUAUAGAUUUGGCUUCUGACAUACCUGGUUCGCUGGAGAUAAUUGUUUAUAUAGUCAUUGCUGCUCGUAUUAAUCAGGAACAUUGAUUAGCAAUGUACUGGAAUAGAGAUUGGUAUAAUUUUGGAAAAUUAGUCGUAGAUGCAACCUGAUUAUGGUCUCAAAUAGUGUGAUCUGUCAAUUCCGUUUGCUCUAGCCUAACAACCUUGAAUCUGAGCUAUGCCACUAUACAAAGUCCUGACCUAAUCAAGCUUGUUAGCCAAUGUCCAAAAUUGCAGUGUCUUUAGAUAAGCCCUGUCUUACUUGUUUGAGUUAUAAAUGAAAAUUGAAGUGUCUUUGGAUAAUCACGCUGAAUGUUCAAGUUAUUGAAGAGAAGGGACCCCCAGAUUCAAGGCCGGAGCUCCCUGUUGAGAAGCUUUACAUAUAUGGGAUUGUCGCUGGGCGGAGGAUCGAUAUGCCCGGUUUUGUUUGGAAUAGGGAUGAAGAUUUUGCAUUGAGGCUUUCUUGAUAGAUCAUUCUGCAAAUCAAGCUCCAUGUACCUAUCUUCAGACUCUUGGAUAUGUAUAAAGCAGGUGCAUGCUCUAUAUGUUACUCAUUGUAUCACGAUUAUUUUUCUAUUGCUUAAAAUAAUUGCAGUCCUUGAUGUAGUUGGAGACAACUUAUGGAGGGUAUACAGAGGCUCGAGAGUUUGAUUGCCAUUCAUUUGACACUUGGCUGAGCUACAGCAUACCAACUAGUGAUUAAUAAAGAGAAGGUAUGAAGGUCCUGUUGCUGGUGGUAUUAUCAAUCAGAAUUGUUAUUUUACUUAGUCAUAGUUACCAUGUAUAAGAUUCGUAGACUUUUUGCAUGUUUAUGCAUUCGCAUCAUCUUUUUGUUAAGCUAGAGAUGGUUGAUUUGUGUACUCAUUUGUAUCACUUGUAGCCCUUGAGGAAUAAAAUUUAAAAUUUUGUUGCAUCUCCUGUACUAAAUACUAAUUUUGUUUGCUUUAUGUAUGGGAAAUGGUUCAUUAUCUUAUUUCUUUGAUGUGUAUAGUGUUACACUGUCUAAAGUUGAAAAGUAUUUCUAUCACUUGUGUAAAAAACAAACAAUUUUUUUUUCACUCUUCUUAUAUUGAAUAAAAGAAGGACACCAAGAUCUUCACCAAGAUUGAACGAAAUUUGAUGCAGAAAGCAUAGCAAUUAGGCCAGUGCAAAAUAGCUUCCUUCUGAUUCUCUGAUAUUUGACUUAAAUCUUUUGUUUGUUUCAUUCAUCAAAGUCAUUUUGGAAAGUAGCAGGCGUGAUUUGAUAUUUUCAUUGUAUUCACAUCCGUUGGCACCAAAACAAACAUGCUGGUACUAACCAACAAUUUUUUAUUUUUAGUGUACAAAUUAUUAUUUUUAAGACAAAUAAGCUGGUACUAACCAACAAUAUUUUAUUUUCAGUAUACAAAUUAUUAUUUUUUUUUCUAAAUUAGGGGUAUUAAGAAAAGGUAUGCUAGCACCAGGGGAGGUAUUUGAAAAUAUACAAAUACAAUCUAUCAAACUGAGAAUACACCGAACCGGCAGGUUUCUGAUAAAUCCUUUUUUUCUUUUUCCUCCAUUCACUAUAGGUUCAAUUUAGACGCUGUUGACCAAACAGAAGGUUUGGGUUGGUAAACGCACUGGUGUUAAUGCCAACAACCCAAGGGGCUUCAUGGUCCUCUGGGCCGAAAUAGCGUAAUUAUUAAUUCUCCUCCAGUGAAAAUCUUCAUCUUGGGACAAAUAAUUACGAAUUGACAUUAUAGCUGUGGAAAUUUGGAGGUGUAAUAACCGGAAAAGUAAAAAUCUUAAGAGACUUUUUAAAUAAAAAAGAUACAACACCUUCAAUUUGCUAAAAGUAAUGGUAUCAUUUCUUGUACGGAUAAUGGAUGAUUAGAUUUUGUUUUUUGUUAUCCGACGAAGGAUAUUCAGUUGUUCUUUAUGUGUUCACAGGCAAGAGCAUGAGCAUAUUCAUGGUUUCAUAUAUGCUUCUUGCAUUUUCUAAUUAAGUACUCUCUUUCCUUGCCUUCUUAGUUUUGAAAGAAAGAUGUGAAGCAAAGCAAACCCAGUGAAAUAUACAGAGAAACAGAACCAUCAGAGGAAAAACUAAAUAACAGAACCACAAUUGAACCAAACAAAAUCAAAUAAACCGAGGCAACGGAUACCCUGAAUCAGGCAUCCCUUUUUCUCGAAAGAAAAUAUGUUUGCAUGGGUGGGAACCUAAUAAUUACUCAAGAGUUGGAGUUGGAAAGAUUUGGUAUUCAUAUCUUCACAAUUCAUAAGCUUUAAUGCAGAAUCGACAGCUUUAUAUUAAUUUAUUCAACCAAAAACGAUAAAGUAGGAAAACCACAAUAAUCCACCAACUUUUGCUACUUUUAGGAAUAAUUUUUAGUCAACUUUCAAAAAGUGAGAUGACGAUCUUUGAGUUGAUAAAUCUUGGCCUGCUGCUUAGUACCCUUCCAACAUAUAAAGUACUAGAUGUUUAGCUGAGAAAAUGACGAGAUCAUUUAUCAAAUUUCUUGCGCAUAUAUACAUAUAUAUACAAGAAAUAAGAAUCAGAGUGAUUAUAAGACCUUGCAAUGAGGCAAUAAUACAUCAUCAAAUCUAAAAAUACACAAGAAAUUCGUGACGUAUAUAUAACAAUAGACCUCUCAUUGAGUCAUACAUAUUGAGAAUAAAAUGUCAAAAUGCAUACAAAGAGCUUAUACAGAAAAUGAAUUUACACACAUUUAGAAUAAACUGUCUUUGAACUUCCGAUGGUCAAACAAAGGAAACAGACAGGAAAUGACACACACUAUCAUAUAUGUAGCGACACGAUGAAGUAAAUCACAUGAAGAUGGAAACGGAACCCCUCACAACAUAAAAUUUGAAUAAAGGGGGAAAAAAAGGCUUCAUUUCAAAUGUUGCACAGAAGAAGAGUGACUUGAAUCUCCAUCAAUAUCCAAACAUUCUGCAAACAUAGUGCUGAGAAUUUUAACAAGAAUAACUGUAAUAUCCCAAAUCUCCUAAGGGUAUUUAAGUCUUUUUAAUUUUUAGUGAUCCUUUUUACCCUAGUAUAAAUAGAACAAGAUGUCUUUUUCAUUAUAAGAGAGAGAGAAAAAGAGAGAUCGGUUGAAAAAGAGAGAUGGAGAGACAAGAGAGAAAAGAAAAGAAAAAAAGAGAAGAAGAAAGUCUUCUUCUUCUUCUUAGUUUUUGCCAUAGACAACACAUGGGAUCAAGUUGUUAUUGUUGGGAGAAGUUUUGGAGGUACGUUUUAAUUAUUGGUUUCUAUUAAAUUGUUGUGGAGAAGCAUGAUUGUAAUAGAAGUAGAAAUCAAAGAUUUUACAUAAAUAUGCUGACAGCGAAUUAUUACAGAAAUCAUAGUAAUUUGUACAAAUUGAUUUUGAUUCUGAUUUUUGGGUAUGUUAAACUAGACAUCGUCUAGAAUGUUUUGAAACUUGUUUCAAGUUAAUCGGAUAAGAUUUCAAUUAAUUAUGAUUUUUCAAAUUCAAGUCUGAAAACCUGGAAAUUUAUGAUUUCAGUGAAUAACGUGAAUUACGAAAUUAUUUUUACCAUAGUUAGACUUCUUCAAAAAUUAUGAAAUUUGGACCAAUGCUUUUUAUAUAUGUCUAGUAUGAUUCUGGAAAUUUUCAUGAUUUUAUGAUAAAGCAAUAAAUUGUUUUGUAUUUGUAAAGCAAGUGUGUUCAAAACAGAAAACUGUUUGACAGUAUUGAUGAUGUCUGAAACGUGAAUUAUUUUCAAUAGUUUUUGAAGGAAUUAUGUUAUGAAUUAUGCUAAUCUUCUCUGUAUCGUUCCAAUUUUAUUGGAUGGGAAUUGCUCUGAUACCAUUUGAAACACCCCAGUCCGAAAUCCAAGGGCAAAUAUGUCCACAACUCACAUAUGAUUUAAAUAACUCUUUACAACUGAUAAAAUUCGAGCCUCAAAUACAAAAGCCAGCGGAAUAACUUAAAAACUUAACCAAACCAUCUACUAUCCUCAAUUCAAAACCAUCUUCUCACUCAUCACGAAUCAAUCCUGACUUCUGAAAAUUGAAUCACAAUAAACUAUAAUGAGUACAAAACCCAGUAAGCAAACUAGUUUUUCUUAUACGGAAAAUACAUACAGACUUAUACAUAAUGCAAUGGUUGAUAUGUCAUGAUCUUUUGGAAAUACUGUAAAAUAAAUUCAUAAAAAUCUCUUUCUGUCGCUUUCAAACUUUCUUAUUUUCUUUCGAUGAAAUACGUAUCCUACAAUGUGGCACUUUGUGCUGUACGUGGCACUUUGCGGCGCCCUGGCCCUCAAGAGGUGGCCCCCGCAUAGUCCCAAGAGGUGACCCCCACACAACUUCAAGAGGUGGCCCCCAAUGCAAAAUCUCAUAAAACAUAAAUUCUGUUUGCUAAAAUCCACUUUCUCAUUCGUAGAAAACUCAAUGCAUUUUCGUGCUCAUGCCAAUGAACCAUCACACAUACAUAUGCCCAUGUACAUAAUCACGCUCAACACAUGCCAACACAUCACAUAAACACAUGGGCAAAGACAUCUAAAUCCAUAUCCGUAUAUAUAUCAAAAUAUGCUUUUCACACAAGUCAAACAUAUAUAUUGUUUAGUGUGAUUCGUUUUAAAGUCUAGUUUACUUACCUCUUGGCAUCCUCAUGUAACAAAUGCGUACUGAUACCAUUAACCUAAAAUCAUCAAUAACGCCUCAUAAGAUAUAAUCAAAUCUCAAUCACAAACUGUAAUGUCCUCAAAUAUCUCAAUUUAAACAACUCCUAAGCUCAACCUCAAAUGUCCUCAAUAAUCGGCCCUCAAAACAUAAAUCCUUUACAAAUACUCUUUAUCAGUUGUAAAGAGUUAUUUAAAUUAUAUGUGAGUUGUAGACAUAUUUGCCCUUGGAUUUCAGACUGGGGUGUUUCAAAUGGUAUCAGACCGAUUCCCAUCCGAUAAAAUUGGAACGAUACAGAGAAGAUUAGCAUAAUUCGUAACAUAAUUCCUUCAAAAACUAUUGAAAAUAAUUCACGUUUCAGACAUCAUCAAUACUGUCAAACAGUUUUCUGUUUUGAACACACUUGCUUUACAAAUACAAAACAAUUUAUUGCUUUAUCAUAAAAUCAUGAAAAUUUCCAGAAUCAUACUAGACAUAUAUAAAAAGCAUUGGUCCAAAUUUCAUAAUUUUUGAAGAAGUCUAACUAUGGUAAAAAUAAUUUCGUAAUUCACGUUAUUCACUGAAAUCAUAAAUUUCCAGGUUUUCAGACUUGAAUUUGAAAAAUCAUAAUUAAUUGAAAUCUUAUCCGAUUAACUUGAAACAAGUUUCAAAACAUUCUAGACGAUGUCUAGUUUAACAUACCCAAAAAUCAGAAUCAAAAUCAAUUUGUACAAAUUACUAUGAUUUCUGUAAUAAUUCGCUGUCAGCAUAUUUAUGUAAAAUCUUUGAUUUCUACUUCUAUUACAAUCAUGCUUCUCCACAACAAUUUAAUAGAAACCAAUAAUUAAAACGUACCUCCAAAACUUCUCCCAACAAUAACAACUUGAUCCCAUGUGUUGUCUAUGGCAAAAACUAAGAAGAAGAAGAAGACUUUCUUCUUCUCUUUUUUUCUUUUCUUUUCUCUCUUGUCUCUCCAUCUCUCUUUUUCAACCGAUCUCUCUUUUUCUCUCUCUCUUAUAAUGAAAAAGACAUCUUGUUCUAUUUAUACUAGGGUAAAAAGGAUCACUAAAAAUUAAAAAGACUUAAAUACCCUUAGGAGAUUUGGGAUAUUACAAUAACAGACAAAAUAUUGUGCUUAUAUACUUUUCACAAAACUAGACCAAAUCAGUUCCCUUUUUGGUUUGUGAAAACUUGAUAUUUUUGAAAAUUCUAUCCAAUGCUUUCAAACAAUAUUUCCACAAUAUAGUUGUUCAUAGCUAACCUUUGAUGGUGUAAGGAUUUGUUGUAGGCAUAAUGGGCUAAUUAUAUAUAUAUAUAUAUAUAUUUUACCCGCUGAAUGAUAUUCAGCUUCUUAAUUAUGUGUUCAUAGGCAAGAGCAUUUUCUUAAGUACUUUCGUUGCCUUCCAAGUUUCCAAAGAACAAACAGAGCAGAAACAAAUAUAACGGAACAGCAAUGAUGACAAUAAAUGAUUGGCAAAGAAAGAAAGAAAAAAGUUCGCAUGAUUUCAAGGAAUUAUAAUAUCUGAAGACAUUCAACAUGCAAGUGUUGCCCCUUUUAAUGAAAUUUCAUCAUAAAAUGCUUGCAAGGAAUUAUAAAAUUUUAGAGAACAAGCGAAUUCUCAAACAAAAUACUCAAAUUAAAUUAAAUUAGACCAAAAGACAAUCAAUGACGCAAAAUCUUCCCAUAAAAGCCUGAACGAAUCAUGAAAAGUGCAUUCCAUAUUGACAGUAAACCAAGUGACCCAUUCUAAACAAUUGAGAUGAAAUUGUGAAACAACCCACGAGAUCAAAUAAAUAAAAUAAGAAUUAAUUACCAGCUGGGACUUUCUUCUUCAAAUUCGUAACUCCAAGUCAUAAGAAGCCUAUGAAAUUAGUCGUAAUCCACAGAGUAUGACGACGACCCCGCCAACAGCUGAAAAUAAAAUUCUUAUUCAUUAAUUUAAACUAACUUUAUAACAAAUAUCUUAUCGAUAUUUUAUUUAAAAAGAAAAAGCAAAUUUUGUAAAAUUUUUCCAUGGGAGAUAGAGAGUAACAUGUAUAUCCGUACCUUCUCAGCAUGUAAUUGUUGUAUGGUCCUGUUAAGAUCAUUAUUAGCCCAGCGCCGUUGAAAACCCGCUGUCUCUCCAUACCAGACAUUUACUCUAGGAGGCGUGCUUGAUUCUCCUGUAGUGAAAAUCUUCAAUUUGGGACAACCAAUCACCCACAACGCUUGCAAAGAUGGGAAUUUGAAGGUGUAAUUGGCAGAGGAAAAACUUGUGAGGCUAUCUAAAUCACUCAGUUCCAACGUCUUCAAUUUGCGGAAAACAAUCUCUUUACUGCUCUGCCCCCACAUAAUAAAGUAGCAUUAGAGUACUAGACAAGCUCACCACGUCUAAGCUAAGCGGAGAAUAGACUUCAUCAACAACGCUUUCGUGAAUAUGUGUUGCAUUACAACGCUCCAAUGUGAUCCUCAUCCAAUACCCAUUAUUUGUGAUCCUUAUUCCACUGCGUCAAUUACACUCCAGUCCAAUGCUGCCAUCAUUAUCGAACAGUCGAUAUCCAACACUUGCACGAAGAUUCCAAGAGGUUGCCUGGCUGCUGACUUUUAAAUGCUAAGCCUUAUUGUGUCCAUGAUACACCAAACAGAGCAGUCCCGGGUAAUUGCCAAAACUUAGAACUAAACAGUAGCUCAGGUCAGAAAAUCAAAUGGAGUGAUGAUAAGAAGCUGAGGCACACCAAUCGAUUGCCUAAGCCUAACAGCAGAUUGGAGGAAUAUGCAUGGACACAUGCGGCUCGACGUCCACGCCAUGCAACACGUGCAUGAGUAGUGUAAGGCACGUGAGAAUUGAUUUGCUAUUAAUUGGGAGCUGAAUAAUUGAUGAUUUGGAGCUGACCUUUUCAAAAGUUGUUGCUGAUUUGGAAAGGAUCUCACGCAUGAGUUGUUCUUUUCUUUGAUUUGAUAUUUAUUCCAAAAUAAUAAAAGUUGUUUAAAUCAAUAUUAACAACUCGAUCUUGUAAGCUUUGAUUAAGCCUAACUACACGCUACAAAGCAUAAUAAUUAGUUUUGCAUUACAACUAUAAAUAAGCUCCAUCAGUGAAUAAAAUCAUCAUCAGACUUUUAUCCAAACACUACUAGCAAUUGUGGUAGUUCUCACUCUAAGAAGAACAAAUUAUUCACUUGUUAUUUCUACUAAUUCUGACUGGGACCUAUCAAGAUGAAACCAUAAAAUUUGAUUUUAUUGUAUGGUUGAUUUCAUAUCUCUUGCAGUCAUUUCUUAAGAUAAUCAAAUUUUCUCUGGCAUCUUUUGCAACUGUAGAAAUAUCAAUUAUGAUCAAUCAAAACGAUUUCAAAACCUUUCAAUGAGACAUAUUUAUAAUACAAUAUUGUGAAAAUUACACCAAAAUUUUUAUUUAUUAUAUAUUAUUAUCCAACGAGUACACACAAAUGAAUUCGUACAAAUCUAAAAUACUUAGCAAUUUUCAAAUAGAAUUUACCAUGUACUACAAGAAAAUAUGGUAUAUGUGACCCCUAAUGUGAAUGGAAAAGCAGCCAUUACGUAUAUCACUAACUUUGUAACCCCGAUACCUUUUAUGUGACGGCCACACUGCGGUCGCAUAUGUUACUAACCACGUGACGGUAAAGAGCCGUUCGGUAUGCUACUAUUCGCUGGACUCCGUGUUACUAGCCACCAUCGUAUAAUUUAAUCUCCCUUCAUCUUUUGAGUUAAGCUUGUGAUUAUGAGUUUCUUCUGUUACUUAGCUUGUAAUUAUAGAUUUUGAUUUUUUUUUAAUUCGUAUUGUAGCCGUUAUUGUCAAUUUUUGUCCCGCCAGCAAUUUUUUUUUAUUCCUACAAGUUGAAGCCCCUGUGUUCUUGUUCCAUUGGUGAGUUUGCUCACUCAAAUUAAUUUUGUUCUGCGGAAUUUACAAAGUUCAAAUGGAUUCAUUUGAAUUACUAUUGAAUUUAGCUUUAAUUCCAACAUCCAUUCUAAUGUUUUGCUAUUAGAUUUAGUUUAAUUUUAUGUUUAAAGCAUCUACAAUGAAUAGCGGAGCUUGGGUUUUAGUUUCAUUUUCUGGAUAACUUGUUUUAGUUUAUCUUGUAUGCUCACCAAGUGCUUGUUAUAUUGUCUGAUAAGUUAUAUACAUUGCUGAUUCUAUAUUAAUAAUGUUACGUUCUAUUUUCAGAAAUUAUAAUACAAAAGGUUUUACAAUGGCGUGCAUCUACAAACUGAAUUGACUUGUAGAAUAAGAGCUUGGAGUAAAUGAAAGUUCAUAUUGUGUAAGAGCAUGUAGAUGUAAAGCAUCAUUACCAUAUCUACAAAGUGCUUUCAUUAUGUUCAGAUGCUCUUCUUGAACUUUGAAAGGUGCCUCGUUCAAGUCCUAGCUAUAACUACUAGCUUUGAUUAAUUAAGUUCCUAUAUUAGCUGAAACAGAUUUAUUUAAUUAAUUAAUUAUGUACUAAUUAUAUUGAAAGUAUAUGAUUUUUUUUUUAACAUGAAUGACUUCUAAAUGACUUAAAAACCUAAAGGAUGUGUGAAAUAAUGCUCAUUUCACUUGAAUGAGCCUAUUAAUACUUUUAUGUCUAUGAGAAAAAAAUUUAAUAGAAAACUUCAGAGAUGUUUCCAGAUAUUAUCUAGAAUCACAAGAAUCUUAUUCUCACUCUUCAAUCGUUCAUACAGCUUGCUAGCUCUUCUAUAUUCAGCUUCAUCGGACAACUCCAGACCUAACUUCUCUGCAAUUUCCCCUUGAAUCUUUUUUAUCUCUGGAGUUUAUGAAACCUCUGUAAAACCACCCGAUAAAACAGCUUCUUUUCCCUGGCUUGCCUAGCAAACUCCUUCACCAGUGUGGUCUUUCCAAUGCCGCCUAUGCCGUACACCCCAAUAAUGCUGACAUUCGCCUCCGUCAAUGCAUUUUUUAUAGUAACCAUUGCUAGACUUAAGCCAUAUCUCCUCCGGAAUGGUACGGUGGGAAACAGUAUCAAACUUCUUAACUUCUUCUCCAAGUUCAAUAAUGGCCUUCACCUCCGUCUCUGCUUUCUUGCUAAGCUGAUAGCGACUCUUCCAAUUAGGACUCAAGCCCUUGACACAGCGCUUAUUCGUUGACUCCUCAUCUUCAAUGAAUUUGGCUGCCCGGUCAAUGAUGCCGUUCGCACUUGGCAGUAACCAGCCACUUUUCAACCUUCUCUUCAAUCUCUUCCCCUUUUUCUUUCGCCUCUGAAACCCUGCGCUGAAUGCUCGUAUGUUAAACCUUCAACUUCUCCAUUUCCGCCUUGAUAUUCUCAAAGUUGGCAUUGUAGUUCCGCUUUCGCAAAUAAACAAGUUGGCGUGCAGUUGGAGGAGCCAAGCAUUUUACAAGUUCCAAGACGAUAGUCACAAUGAUUUCCAGCAUCUCGAAUCCUGACAAAAACGUAGAAGCGAAGAAGGCCAAAGGAAAGUAAAAACAAAGAGACAGCGAUAGGACAAGCAAUUGUGUUUUUCAGAUGAGAUGAAGGAAACAAGAAAAGGGUUUCUAUCACGACGUAAAGAGCUAAAAGAGCUGAUGGGUACAGAAUAAGAAAUGAGACUGAGGAGUGAGCAAAGCUAAAUAAUAACAGAACAAGAACAAUGACGAAUAGAAGAAACAGUAGCAAAGAGCCGUUUAGAUGAUUAGAAUGAAAUUAAGCGACUGGAAAGAGUGGAUGGUAGACUAAAGAGAAAGUGAUUGAUUAUUUUUGGAGGCCUAUUAACGUAAUGACAGACCCGGUUUCGAUGUUUGUAAUUUGAGUAUGAGGUAAAUCGAUUCUUUGUCGAGCCAGUCAAAUACAAAGGCAAAUUAGUAAAACAAGAGCCAGCAACUUUUACUCACACAUAAGCCAAUAAUAUAUUGAGAUCACGCAACAUUGCAAUAAAGUUAUCAUCAAGUUGUAGCCUUCUUAUUCAAUCAAUUAUAGCAUUUUCUCUAGCUCUGUAUUUUUCAAAAAAAAAAAAUUAUUCAAAAGAUGUCUGUCAUGAAUUUUUCAAUGAUUAAAAUUAUAAUUUUUGUUUAAUAUAUAUAACGUAAAAUUUUAAAAGAAUCAGACAUGCAUUAGGGUAAAAAUAAAAAAUAUGGAGGUAGCUUUUAACUAGGUAAUUGGCUCAACUAUGGAUUAGUGUGAGAUCGCUAUUUUUCUUAUAAAAAAAUAUUCCAGCCAAAACAAUUUUCGCAAAAUUUUAAUAUAAAUUAUAAAAAAAAAAAUUCUAAAAUCAUAGCAAUAAUUUAUAUUUUGAAUACCUGUAAAUAAACCACUUAGAAAGCUGUCGAAACACGAGAACCUAUUGCAGUAUUGCUAGUAAAAUCAUUUUUCAAGCAAAUGCAGUGACAGAUCUGGUUUUGAUCCUCGUGACUUUUGGGUGUAAGUACGGGUGAACGACUGUCUAGUCCAGAACAACUUGGGCGCGACAUUUUAGUAUUAAGCAAACGGAACUUUUUUUAAUUAAAUUAAUCUCAAAGUGAUAGGCUUCUCAUGAAUCAUGUAAUGUUGUCGUUUUUCAAGACAUGACAAUGCACAUCACUUGUUUGUCACAAUGUCCAAAUAAAUAAUUUUUUUUUUUAAAAAAAGUUAUUUUCAUUCUUUCUUUUCAAGUAUCCUAAUUCCUUUAGCAGUUUGAUUCCUCUUUUCCUGAAAUUUGUUCCUUCCAUUAAACUAAUAAUUUAUUUAAGGGUAAUUAAGCGUCAGCCCCCAAUUGUUUAGUAUUUCAUACAGCACACCCACAUCUUUCGACCAUGCGCACCUCUUCCCUAUUUCUGUCAAAAAAUCAACUAUCAACUAAUUGUAACUAUUUAGACUGUUAUAAAUUUAAAAGACUAUACUACCCUUGUUUUGAAUGAAUUGGGUAUAUAAGCACUAAAAUAUCCUUACAACUUGUAAAAUUUAUAUCAAAAAGCAAAAAUUUAUUAUAAUAUUUUUAAAAUUAUAUGGAGACGAUUUUUUUUUCUGGAUUACGAACCCAAGAUUAUAAACCUAGUAAAUUACAAAAUCAGAGGCAAAACAUGAUUCCAAUGUGAAAGAAGAAAAUCAAACACACAUUCAUCAAUACAUUACAAAAUAAGUCCAAUAAUCCCACCAAAACAAAUAAAACCCAAUAAGAAAGAAACCCGAAACUAAUGAUACCAAAAUCCCUGACAACAAAUUUCAUUGUAAAAUUCUAUUACAAAAUAAAUUCAUACUAAGAAAAUUCAAUAAAAAGAAACCCAAUAAUCAACAAUCCUAAAACUAAAGAUAUCAAACCCUAAAUUAAAUUAUAGAGGCGGCGAAGGAAAAAGGGUUUUUUUUAAUUAUAUAUAUUAUUUUAAUCUUGUAUUAAUUACCAUUCUACCCUUCUUUCUGUUAACGUUAGAUUUGAAAGAAAUGGGGGUGGUGGACAUGGUCAGAAGAUUGGGGGCACAAUGCAAAAUGUCGAAACAAUUGGGGCUAACGCUAAAUUACACAUUAUUUAAAUUAAAUUAUCCUAGUUGUAUUUGACUGUGACUGUGACCGGAACCGUUACAAUCACUUAGUAUUUUUAUUAAUUAAUUAACAAUUUGUUUCAUCAUUAGACGGUACUAUGAUAGUUUUGUCACUAUGUUUGUUACCAUCUCUUAAAUCGUGUAACAAAGAUUUCAUGAAAAAUUAGAAAACAGCACGACAUGAUACAAACUUUUUUUUAAUACAUGUAGACCUUAUUUUUUUAAAAUGAACAUACAAACUCUUUUUUAAUACAUGUAGACCUUUUUUUGUAUUUAAAAAUAGUUACACAGAUCCUGAAUUUGUGUGUCCCUCAAUAAAUUUUCAUGAUCAUUUUUUAAAAUAAGGGAUUUUUGUGAUUAUUUUGCCACGUCCAAGGAUGCCGCUAUUCUUGUCACCAAAAAUUAUUCUCAUUAAGAGUCAUGAUUAAUUGGACGUCAGCAAUGAGGGCAUGUAAUGAAAAAAUUUUGUUUUGCAUGGGAUCCAAUAAUUUUAAUUACCAUGGUGGUGACAGACCCAGCUGGAAAAUCAACUGAUUUUAGAAUUCUGUUGAAAAUUCUUUAAAUGAUCACUAUAUCUCUAGUUCGAUUAUAUCCUUAAGCUCAUUGAUUCUUUUGUAUUGAUUUUGUUACUUCUUUUCUAAGUACUUAUAUUUAAGCAUUGAAAUAGGAUUGAAUAGACAAAGACGAUAACUUGAGCUGAAAAUUUUUCAAGUAUGGCGGAGGGGAAAGUGAGAGAGCCGCUAUUGAAGAAGAAAUAUUAUAAGAACUGCUCAGGCUGUAAGGUUGAUAAGCUUAAAGAGUCGGAACGAGGCUUACCAAUUCGUAAGCUUUUAAUUAUUUAAAUGUUUUAUUUAAAUAUAACUAGCAAUUAUUUAAUUAAGGGUAAAAUAUGUAUAUAUUAUAUGCUCAUCAAAUACCCCCAAACUUAGAUUUUGCUAGUCCUCGAGCAAAACUAAAACUUAAAACAAAAAUAAAAAUAACAAAACAAAAAGUAAAUCCUAACUAAACCACUUUCGCAGGUAAUCACGAUUGCAUUUAGCAUAUGCAACAAGCCUUUAAACCCCUAGGCGGCCCUAGUGGACGAGUUAUAGUCUCGUGAGGGCUUCAGUGAUGAUACCCACAAACAUCAUUUUUAAAAAAUAAAAUAAAGAGAACAAAAAAUUUUUAAAUAAAACAUGAAAAUAGCCUCAAAGAUUGCAUAAAUUAUAUAACUCAAAGAAAAUUUCAAAUAUUGGCAAAGUUCUAACUUUAAUUCAAUAAUCAAUCCCAUCUCUCUUUCGAUUCUUGUAGUGUGUGUGUGAAAUCAAUUCAAUCAAAUCCAUUCGCAAAAUCUUCAAUAUCAACAGCCUUCGCCUCAAACAAAGAAAAGAGUAGGUCAAACUAAUCUUAUCAUCUUAAUCUCCAUUUUUUUUUUCACAUGCUUUUAUGUGCAUUUUCUUUUGAUUUUUUUUUUGUUCAGCACAUGCACUUGGUUUUUUUCUUCUUUUUUUCUCAACCAUAGUCAGGAGCUUUCACUCUACCCCUUAAGGUAACCUUCUUCUCAUGGUAGAUUAUCCUCUACAUACUGGUGGUACAUAGGCCUAAAUUACUCAAGGAUAGCUUCACUCUUAAGGGUUAUAGGUAGCUAUUUCUGACUUUAGCGCCCGUGUAUACUAUUUUGUAUUGUGGAGAUAAGAAUCAAGACAAACAGUCAUUUACUCUAUCUAAAAUUCUCAACUCAGGCUGCGUCAAUCUCAAAUUUCAAGUCAAAAUUAUGAAAGAAUUGAUAUUAGUGCUCAUGGUUUAAAGAAUCUCAAUCAAGAGGAACUAACACAAGAAUCAAGUAUAAACUAAGACAAUAUUCAACCCUUUCUAAGAACCAUAUUCAUUGUCAAUCAAAUUCUUAUCAUUGGCUUUUCACAUAAAAACAAAUAACAAUACAAUUUUUUUAACAAACAAAACACACACUAUUCCCACCCCCAAACUUAUUUGGAACAUUGCCUCAACGUGUCACAAACAAAAGAUAUGCAUGCAAACAAAUGAGAAAAAAAAAAUAGUAAAAUUAAAAUAAAAUAAAAUAAAAACAUAAAUAAUAAAAAAGAAAGUUGGAGAGAACACACCUGGAUGGGCUAGGAAAGCUUAAAAGAAAAUGCCAAAUGAAAGAAGACGUUAGAAGAAAUAUAAAUAAUAAAAUAAAAAAACAAAAUAAAAAAAAUCCUACUAACUAACAAAUUAAUGUAAACAACAAAUCAACCAGGAUCAAUAAGAAUUUGGUGAAAAUCAAAGCAAUUAUACAGAAAAUACCAGAAAGCAUAAUUGAUUAAACACUGGAGCAUUUUAUCCAUAAAAGGAUGAUGGUAAUGAAACUCCUCAAUAUCGCACUGCUUUGAUCUCUUAUGUUCCAAGAUUUCCUGAGAGUUAUCUGAAGUAGUAUAAAAAUCUAAUAAUUUAAGCACUUUAGAUCUUACCACCUUUUUCAUGUCAAAAUGUGACCUAUGUUGCACUGCUUUAGGACGUAGCUCCAAUUUGAAUGGUUCAAUUUUCUCUUCAGGAGGAAGUGGCUCAAUCUUUUCUGUCCACUUAAUUAGAUCUAUGAUAAGAGUCGAAUCAAGUAAAGCAUUAACUUCUUCAAUACCACUAUCAACAUCAACAGAGAAAUCAGAGUCAGUUGUGCAUGGUAUUAAUAGAUUGUCACAGUGGUUAGAAAUAAGUGAAUCAUCAAUUGAUGCUUCUAUCAUAUCUACUUCAACGACUUCAUCAUCUUCUUGCGCCUGCUUGGGAACAUUAAAAAUGUUUAAUUCCGUGGUCAUGUUACCAAAAGACAAUUGCAUGUUUCCAGUCCUGCAACUAAUAUGAGCAUCAGUUGUAGCUAAGAAAGGACGACCUAGAAUAACUGGGGUGUGUUUCUUACGAUCCUGUACAUGCUGAGUAUCAAUAACAAUAAAAUCAACAGGAUAAUAAAAUUUAUCAAUCUGUAUCAACACAUCCUCUAUAAUACCACGAGGUAUUUUCAUUGACCUAUCCGCAAGUUGCAAAAUAAUAGAAGUUGGGUUUAACUCACCUAAUCCAAGUUGCAUGUAAACAGAAUAAGGCAAGAGAUUAAUACUAGCACCCAAAUCCAAUAAUACUUUAUCAAAACAUUGGUUCCCUAUAACACAUGAGAUAGUAGGAGAACCAGGAUCCUUAAAUUUUGGUGGCAUUGUACAUUGAAGUAAAUUGCUAGUUUGUUCAGUUAAAAAUGCCUUUUUAGUAACAUGCAAAUUUAUAUUUUUAGUGCAUAAGUCUUUCAAAAACUUGGCAUAUGAAGGAACUUGCUUAAUAGUAUCGAGUAAAGGGAUGUUUAUACUUACCUGCUUGAAAAUUUCCAUAAUCUCACAUGUUGAAGUCCCUUUCUUUACCUUUGCUAACCUUUGAGGAAAAGGAGCCUUGGGAAUGUAAGCUGGCGGGCCACUCUCUUCUGGAUCAUUUGGUGAUGAGUCUUGUGAUGGAAUUGGAUCUGAAGAAGUAGGCUCAUAUGUCUUUCUUGUUUGAACCUCUACUUUGUUGUCAAACAAUUUUCCUCUUCUUAAGGUCAUAAUAGAUUUUGCUUCUUCAUGCUGAUGACUUGAACUCGAUCCAACUUCAUGCACUCCUUUGGGAUUGGGAAUUGGUUGACUUGGGAAUUUUCCUUUUUCUCUCUCAGCUACAAUAGUUGCUAAUUGACCCAAUUGAUGUUCAAGUUUUAGAAUAGCUUGAGUGUUUAACUGAAAAGCUUGUUGGGUUGACUGAAUGAAACUUUGAAAUGUAUCCUCUAAAGAAGGUUUUCUUUGUUGGGGUGCAACAAAUUGAGACAUAGGCUGUUGGGUAGGAGGAUAUACUUGGUUAGGAGGGACAAAUUGUUGAUUGGGCAAGCUAAAUUGUUGUCCUCCUUGGUUGGACAAAGGUUGAUUUUGUUUCCAAGAAAAAUUAGGGUGAUUCCUCCAAUUAGGAUUAUAUGUGGAUGAAUAUGGAUUAUUGGAGGUUUUCUCAUAUGAUUGUAAGGCAUGUACCUCAUUAGCUACACUAGGAUGAUGAUUCAUGGAUUGGUUCAGAGCUAAGGCAUCUACUUUCCUAGAAAGUGUAGCUAGAGUGGAUUUCACAUCAAAAUCAUCCUUAACUUUAUAUAACCCCUUUCUAGAAACUUGAGAUGAUUUUUCCCUUUGAUUUGAAAAAUUCCACUGUUGAGAAUUUUCAGAAAGUGAAUUAAAGAAAUCCCAUGCAGCCCCUUCAUGUAGGUUAAAAAAUCUCCCACCAUUCAUAGACUCUACCAUAUGACGAUUCGACAUGGUUAAACCGUUAUAAAAGCAUUGUAUAAGUCUCAAUUUCUCAAAACCAUGGUGGGGGCACUUAAGGAGUAAAUCAUUAAAUCUUUCUCAACACUCAUAAAAUUGCUCACCCUCUCUUUGAUAAAAAUCACUUAUUUCUCUCCUAAGGGCAUUUGUUUUAGACAUAGGGAAAAACUUGGUAAGGAACUUAUUACUCAAUUCAUCCCACGUAGUUAUAGACCAAGCAGGAAGCGAAUUCAACCAAGCUUUCGCUUUGUCUUUUAAUGAGAAAGGGAACAUACGAAGCCUAAUUGACUCAUCAUUAAAAUCUUGAAAACGGAAUGUAGAGCAUAUGUCAAGAAAUUCCUUAAUGUGCAAAUAUGGAUCCUCUCUCUCUAACCCAUGGAAAGAUGGUAAAAGUUGAAUGACUGAGGGCUUAAGUUCAAAGUGUGUUGCUGUAGUUUGUGGCAACACAAUACAAGAUGGUUGGUUGGUUGCAAGUGGUGAAAAGUAUUCUCUAAGGGUUUUCUCUGCUUGCACUGGUGGUAGUAUUGGCAAUAAUCUAUUUGGGUCAUCCAUGACUUGAGAAGAACUAGCUUGACUACUAUCAAUUUUCGACUCUCUUUUAACCAAACGAUUUGUUGAAUCACGUUCCCAAACACUCAUAAACUAACUAGACAAGGAAAUAAAAAAAAAAAAAUAGACCAAAAAAUGAGAAUAAACGAAAUUUAAAAAUAAAAGAAAUCAAACAACCAAACAAUGAAUUUAAAGACAAAUAAUUUUUUUUUGUGUUUUUUUUAAUUAAAAAAUAAAAGACAACCUAAAUUAUAACUAGUGGAAGAAUCAAAUCAACCUAGAUUAAACUGACUUUCUAGCACAAUCCUCGGCAACGGCGCCAAAAACUUGUUGUGAAAAUUUUAAUAUACUCGCAAGCGCACGAAUCUAGAAAUUGAAUAGUGGUAACGAGGUCGAUCCCACAGGGAUUGUUAUAAAUUGAAAAGUCUAAUUUAAAUCUAAAAUUAAUAUUAAUUCUAACCUAGUUGAGCAAAUUGAGUUUUAAGAGAAAUUAAACUAAUUAAACUAAGAAAACAAUUAAAGUAAAGGAGAAUUCAAUAGGAUAGAAAUUACCAAGGUUUCAGAAUCCACCACUAUUCAACUAGUAAUUAUCUAAAUAUUCGUUAAUCCCCAAUUUUAGAGUGACAACUCGAAAUCAAUCUGUCAUCUCAUGGAUAUAACAAUUAAGCCCAAAUAAUUAAAUCUAAUAUAGGUUCUUUUUCCGCUUAAUAGUAUGACAUCUAAGUAUCCCAUGUGAACAUAUUGAAUAACAAAGAGUCAAAGUUUUCCUAAACACUCUAUGUAAACAAUUUAAUGAAAGACAUAGAAUCAAAGAUAAUCAUGUAUGAACUUUAUAAAUCCAAGCAUAGAUUUAAUCGAAUAUUAAUCCUAACAAUCAAUAAUACAUGACAUAAUUGAUGAAAAGAUUUUAAUAACAUCAAAUUAAUCAUGUGAAAUAAAAACCAUAAUCAUUAAAGAAUAUAUAUGGGAAUUAAAUAAAUAAAAAGAUAAUUAUUUUAUUGAAUAGGGUUUCAUCCUUAACCUCAAUAUAAGAAAAUUAGCUGGACAUACUUGAAUUAAGAGUAACAAAAGAGAUAAAACCAGCCAUGAAAGUCGAACUACUGCAGAUUUUCUUCUCUUUGUCUCGUGUUUCCCUCCUCUGGCGGCUCUCCCCUUGCAAAAGCCAAAGUUCGGCUUUUAUAUUGUAACACCCUCCAAAAUCCUCAAAUCAAAAGGAUUUAAAACAAGCCAAGCACAACCGACUUUGAGCCCAUGCACGUGAAGCCCACUUGGAAUUUUCAUUCUUUUUGUAAUGCCAUGCAAUUGCUUCUCACGUGCAGGCCACUUUAGCUUUAAAUUUCUUCUUUGUUUGCACUAGCAUGGAGAAUUCAAUUUAUUGGCCUCGGCUUCUUCGGAUUGAAUUUCAUACAUAUUUACUUAACUGCUUCCACAAAUUGACUUGAUCUUCAAUGUUGUCCAGUUGUUAUUCUUUAUGCACUUUUCAUCCAUAAUCUCUAAUUAAUUCCCUAUUCAAUAAAACAAUUCAACUAAUUAAAAAUAACAAAUAAAUAUAACUAGCAAUUAUUUAAUUAAGGGUAAAAUAUGCAUAUAUUAUAUGCUCAUCAGCUUGCAACUAGUAAAUUUUUCAACUUCAACUCGAUAUAAUGAUUUUGGAGAGAACCAUUUACAAUGAUUUUCAAUUCUUUUGUGAUUUUUUUUUUCCGUUUUGCCGGUCGCAUCUUUCUUUCCCUUCCUUUAUUUUAUGGUGAGUGGAUUAUUAUUGCCUUCAGCGUUGUGGUUAUUAGUGAGAAAAUUUAUAUUUUCCCAUCAUGCUUGGUGAUUUUCUGAGAAAUAUAAGAAAAAGACAAGUUUUAUAUGUCAAAUAAUUCAUUGCUUUUUCACAGCAGUCAUUUAUGAUUUCUUUUCAGAUUAGGGAUUUUCACAUUGCAAAAAAGGAGGAAGAUAUUGGAUUCUAUGCUGGUUACGUGGGUGAGUUAUUCUAUGUUUUUUUUUAACGUAUUUAAUAAAUGACACACAGUAUGGAGUCCGUCUUGGGUACGAAUGUCCACACCUUAUAAAGUGCUGACUCACGCCUUUACAACUCUGGGAGGACAUUCUACCGAGACUUUACAUCACUGUAAACGCACUGUACAAGAGCUUUACAAUGCGGACCCGCGUCUUUACAACUUUAAAGGGCCAAGUCCAUGCUUUAAAAAGUACAUAUGUUCGCACCUGGAAACGAUUUACAUAUGUAUGUAUAUAUGUAUAUAUGUGUGUAUGUGUGUAUAUAUAUGUAUGUAUGUAUGUGUGUGUGUGUGUGUAUGUAUGUACGACCAAUAAAACAGUUCAAAUUCCUCAAGAAGUUAUCCUAACAAACAUCUUAAUACCUUGAUGAAAUUGAAGGGUCUUCAUACAUGCUUGGCAGAGCUCUAACAUCUGUUUUGUGGGGAAUGGUGGCUGACCACCGUGGUCGAAAGCCUGUAAUAAUAAUAGGAAGCAUCACAGUGUUAGUGACUUCUAUUUUCAUAUGAUCAAGCUUGAAAUUGAUGAUACUUCGGCAAUUUCUGGAUUUCUUGUCUGUCUUAAAAUGCUCACAGGGUUAUUUUUAACACUCUUUUUGGGCUUAGUGUGAAUUUCUGGAUGGCCAUAGCUACAAGGUUUCUCCUUGGGGCUUUGAAUGGUUUCCUUGGACCAAUAAAGGUAUUGAUUGGGGGUAUUUGUUGAUAAUUCCAAUUUAAUUCCUGCAAAUAAUUGUGCUCAAACUUCUCUUACACCACGAGGCAUAUGCAUGUGAAAUAUUGUGCGAUCAGCACCAAACUUAUUACGAAACUAAAAAUGUUACUUGUUUUCUGUACUUGCUUUCGCAUGCAUCACCCCCACAAAACUGCUUGACGAUUGUCCUCAUUUUGAACUUACUAUAGGUUUCAGUCUCCUUGUUUUUCAACUUACUCUGUACCCUUAAGGAUUAUUGGGCCAAUAAUCAUAACACGAAUUGCAGGGGGUAAAAUUUUGAGCACCUCAUGCGGCAUUUGGACCAUUUGAUAGUUUGUUUGAAACAUAUCUGUUUAUAAAAUACUUUUCUUCAUGGUUUUGGUCCCAUAACUUUCUAUGUAUGUACAGGUUUUAUCGAUACCGCUUUUGACAAGUUACACUUACAUAGCAAUGUUAUCGGGUUCAGCCUUGCCUUUUUGAUAAACUGUGCUUCUGUGAUGAAGAAUGUUUUAUCUGUAAGUGGAUAUCCUAAUCAUUGAUCCAUAUACUUAGGUUAUAUUAUCCACCAGCAAGUAUGUAUAAAUUAUUUUAUGUCUUAUUUAUUAGAAUUGUUGUAAUUCUUUUUUACUUUUCCUAAAUUGUAACAUCAGGUGUCUAUAAUAACUGGAUUGUUCCUUCUGCAAAACAGAGCAGUGGUAAAUAUAUUUUCUUUUGUUUGUUUAGUACAUUUCCAUGCUUUCAGCUUUUUCAAAUUUUGUAUGUGCCAAAGUUUAAAUUAAUUGGUUGGUUUAUGGUAUAAUAACAGGUACGAUAAUUUACUAAUGAAAUUUCUCACUAGUUUGUGAAUUACUUGGUGCUAAUCAGCUUAGUUAGCUGCUUAAACUAAAGUGCAGGUAACCAGGUGAUUUUUUUCAUCCUGAAUUCGGUGGAGGCACUUGGAGUAAUAUUGACAUUCAAACCGUUUCUAACUCAACGUGCCCCGUGAGUGGAGAAAAGAUGCGUCUGUUGAAAUAUUCAAAUAUAUGUCAAGCAAAUUAAAGCUUUCAAAAUCUUUCAACAAUUUGAUUGUUUGAUGUGGUUGCCACUUGCCAUAUUUUGUGUUACUUUUCUAAAGGCUUAAAUAUGAAAAUGGUUGUUGGUGCUCACGCCAAUUGAUUGCUGGUAACAUUAAUUGUGCAGUACUUGUCAGAACUACCACAAUUUAUCUUCACAAUGAUGCUAGCUAGAAAGAAAAUUUCAUGUUAAGUAAAAUAUUGAAGCCAUAAAGAGUCUUAUUCCAGAGCCUUAUUAAGUACUGAGUUUUCUGCCAUGCUUUCAAAGUUACAAAUUCGAAGCUUGGGAUUCUGUAACAAUGGAGGAUAAAAAUUAUAUAAGAAUAUUAUUUUGUACAAUUUUCAUACCCAGACAGAAGCGAGCAUUAUUUUUUGAUCAUAACUCAGAUCAAAAGACCUUCAAUGAUGUAUAAUAUGCACAAAAAGCUAGCUCAGAACCAGACAUUAGAACUUAUGAUGAAAGGGAAACAUAGAUGUUGAGAUUGAAAACAUAGAGAAAUUUUUUUAAAAAGUCUGAAAUUUUAUUACUAGAAGUUUGAAUAACAAAAUUAGGGUAUUGGACCCUUUUUAUACAAAUUCUAAAUAUUAUGUAUUUAUCAAAACAGGCAAACUUGAAAUAUUAUUACAUAAUAACGUUCUCCUAACUGAAAUAAGAAAAAUAAAAUAAAUCAUACUUGAAAUCUUAUAUUUAGAGAAAAACAUAUCGUACUAUGUCGAGAGAGAUGACGACUCCUCCAACAGCAGAAAAUAAAUUCUUUCAUUCAUUAAUUUAAAGUAAAUUUUGUAAAUUUAGGUACUUGCACAUUGAGAUUUGCAAUUUAAUUUGACAGGACUUUUCAUUGAAUAAUGAAAUUAAAAACUAACGAUUAAAGAAUUUUUUAUAAUUCUCUAAACUCUUGUGGAAAUGUCAGCUGUAAAUAGGACAAUUUCAAGAAUCUUUAUCUGAAAGCGUAAUUGGCAGAGCAGAAACUUGUGAGACUAUCUAAAUCACACAGACUCGAUGUCUUCAAUUUGCUGAAAACAAUCUCUUGUUUUGAAUUUAAAUUUGGUGCUCCAUCUUCUUCUCCGUCACCUAUUACCACCUCUGUCAUUGCCCUGCAUCCACCUACCUUCAUUGAUACGAGCCGCACUAGAGUUUCUGCUGUAGUGGACGGAUGUUACAAUUCCUUGCAAUGGAAAACCGACAGUUCUGUCAGAUUCCCAAAAGAUAUAGAUGAUCAUGGGAAUAGACUUAAAUGCUUGUAAAAUAGUCUUAGAAUGUCAAAAUAUUUAAAAUGGAGUCCAGUUUGGAGUUGCUUCAAUGAUUAAGUCUGGACAGGAUUAACCAUUUUAUCAGUGCCUACUUCCCCACUUGUUUCUACCAGUAUCCGGCUUGAUUUAAGAAUUUCUCUUUGUAUGAACUAUAACCCAGUAGGAGAUACUACCAAAAAAAACUUAUUUCAAAUGACGCACAGGAGAAGAGUUACCUGAAUCUUCAUCAGUAUCCAGACAUUCUACAAUCACAGAGUAAAGAGUUCUAACAGGAAAAACUGAGAAAACAACGUUCUUCUAUACUUCUCAUAAAACUAGACCAAAUUAGUCCCUUUCUUGGUAUCCAACAUUUUCAAACAAUAUUUCCACAAUAUAGUUUUUCAUAGCGAAGAGUUUUGCUUUGAUGGUCUAAGGAUUUGUUCUAGGCAUAAUGCUCUGAUUAGAUUUUGUUUAUUUUUAAUUUUUUAUCCGAUGAAUGAUUUUCAGCUGGUCUUAAUUAUGUGUUCAUAGGGAAGAGCAUUUGGAAAGAUCAUCAAAAAAAAAAAAAAAAAAGUUUCCAAACAAAGAUAGGUGUGAAGCAAACCAAACUAAAUGAACAAACUAAAAUAACAGAACAGCAAUGAUGUUUUCAAGGAAUUAUAAAAUAUGAAGACUUUUAAUGAAAUUUUAUCAUACAAAGUAUGCAAGGAAUUAUAAAAUUUUAGAAAACAAGGGGAACUCUCAAAAAAAGAAAAAAAAUACUCAAAUUAAACUAGACUAGAAGACAUUCAAUGAUGCAAAAUCUGUCCACAAAAGUCUGAACGAAUCAUUAAAAUUGCAUUCCAAAUUUAACAGUAAAGCCGAUUGACCCAUUCUAAAUAAUUCAGAUGAAAUUGCGAAACAAGCCACGAGAUCAAAUAAAUGAAAUAAAAAUUAAUUACCAGCUGAGGCUUUCUUCUAAAAAUUCACAACUCCCAAGUCAUAAGAAGCCUAUGAAAUUAGUACUGGGUAGAGAACGACGACGGCACCGCCAACAGCUGAAAAUAAAAUUCUUAUUCAUCAAUUUAAACUUUUACUUUAUAACAAAUAUCUUAUCUAUAUUUUAUUAAAAAAACAAAUUUUGUAAAAUGUUUCCAUGGGAGAUAGAGAGUACUGCGUAUAUCAGUACCUUCUCAGCAUGUAAUUGUUGUAUGGUUGUGUUUAGAUCAUUAUUAGCCCAACGCUGUUGAUUCGAUGUGUGUCCAUACUGGACGUUUACUCUCGGAGGCGUGAUUGAUUCUCCUGUAGUGAAAAUCUUCAUCUUGGGACAACCAAUCACUUCCAGAUAUUCCAAAGAUGGGAAUCUGAAGGUGUAAUUGGCAGAGCAGAAACUUGUGAGACUUUCUAAAUCACACAGAAUCAACGCCUUCAAUUUGCUGAAAACAAUCUCUUCUUUUUCAACUCCUUCUUUGUCAUUUAUUACCACCUCCGUCAUUGCUCUGCAUCCAUAUAUACUCACUUUGACGAGUUGCACUAGAGUUUUUGCUGUGGAGGAUGUUACCAAGUGUAUCAAUCCCUUGCAACCGAAAGCUACAAGUUUUGUUAGGUUCCGAAAAGAUACCGAUGAUGAUGGCAAUAGAAUUAACAGACUUUGACAAUGAUAUACUCCUAGAAUUUCAAGAUACUGAAAAAUGGGGCCAAGUUUGGAGUCUUGUUUGCACAGCUGCUUCAGAUGAUAGUGCCGGUGCAGCUCUAAUGUUUUUAUCAUUGCCAACUUCCCCACAUGUUUCUCUAAGCUUCCUUCCUCCGAAAAUACCUCUUCGUUGAAUGCCAAAAAAGACAGUACGAGUAUUUCGAGAUUGUGAAAUCUCUCCAGUACGUUCCAGAUUGGAAAACAAGCUGAGUCAUCUGCAGUAAUGUCUAGUUGUCUAAGAUUGCCAAAAAGGUGUUGUGGGAAAUCGGCCUGCAAAAUCAUCUUCACAUCUUUUCCACUUAGUGAUAGUUCCUUCAAGUUGGGUACGAUCUGAUCAUCAUCAAUCAUAAUAACUAAUGAGGUCAAUUGAUGUUCUUUCAAAUGAUUUUGAGUAAUCCAAUCACAAGCAGUGACUUUAUAGUAUUUAUUUUAUAUUAAUUUUACCCCUAAAAAAAAUGAAUUAUAUAAAAAAUGAAUUAGUGAUAAAAUUCAUUAUAUGAUUUUUUUAUAUGUUAGUUUUAGAGGUAAUAAAGAGAUUAGGGAAAAAAACGAAAUUAUUUUAUUGCACGAUAGUAAAUUACUAAUUUAUUUUGUAAGUUUUUCUAUAUGGAAAGACUAAGGAUUCUUUUAUAAAUGCUAUACCUAAAAAUGUUCAUAUAAUUAUUAAUUUACCACAUUGAUCCCUUAGUCUGUGGUCCCUUAGUCUAGACUAGCAAAGAUUAUUGUAUAACAAAAGUUUUCAAUUUAUUAAGUAUUAAUUUAACCAUGCUUUGCAUAUUUUUCAAAGUUAAAAAUAAGCUAUUGAAAAAAAAUCUAGAAAAUGGUUUCAUACCUUUUCCAACGGCAUUAGGGGCUGUUGUGCAGGAAUACCAAGUUGAUCAUUCACAUUAUUCUGCGAUAAAUCUGCAGCGAAUAUCUUUAAUUUGUCACAACGAUACACUAAAAGAAUUUCCAGUGCGGGCCAUUCCGAAGUAUGCAUUCCAGGGUACAAACAUCUAAGUUUUGGUAGAUCUUGGAGUUUCAGAGUGGUGAGCUGUGGAAAGACAAAAUAAGGGAUCACUUGAUCUGCUCUGUUUUCAGAAAUGAUCUCCUGUAAAUCCUCACAGAAGCGUAUAUCUAGGUGUUGGAGCUGCUUAAGGCUUCCGAUCAUAGAUGCUGAAAAUAUGUAUUUUAAUUUGUGACAACGCCACACAAUCAAUCGUGUUAAACUCUGAAAGUGAGGAAACACGGCCGCCGGAAUUUGAUUGCAAUGCCAAAUCUUGGCGACAUCAAUUUGAGAUAUCUCCAAAGCCUCCAAGUUAGGCAACGCAACCUUAAAAAAUAAGAAUUUCUCGUUAGAUCCAAUAUCCAUAUGGGAAGCACUUGUUGAAAUUUCCUUCUUUGAUUACAAAUUAAUGCAAGUCAGAAUCAAUUUCCAACUGACAGCUGAGUUUGAUGCAUUCUAAUUCAUACUACUUGUUAAGAGCUCAAUUAGUAAGCGUGUGAGAUUCUUUUUAUCCUUUUUUCCAUUUUCUUGCAAUUCUUUAAAUGAUUUAAUUAUUUUCCACGUAUGACGUCAAAAGAGAACGCAUGAUAGAAUAAAAUCUGUUAUAUAUAUAUAAAGAAAAUGUUAGCCUACGCACCUUCUCGUUGAAAAGCAGAGUUGAAGUAUCCAAAGUGAUUUCGCUGGAGCUAUACGUAGUCGUCGAUUCCUCUUGCGACGCUCGUCUGUUCGGUGAUGCUGAAGGAGUCUUUACUUCACGGCAAAAACUUGUAACCUCUGGAAGAUUCCCCAGACUCAAAGAUCUUAAUUGAGCAAACUCUAUCUUCUCAAUUGCAUUAUCAACUUCUUCCCCAAUUGCAAAAAUCUCUUUCAUCUUGCUGCAAUUAAUAACUGCAAUUCUCUCAAGUCUUGGAAGGCAUUUUGUUGUAGAGAGCCAAAAGAUAUUACUCAAUUUAUCACAAUUAUAUGCUUGUAUGAUUUUGAGUUCGUUGAAGGACUCUACUUUGAGCCGAUCAAUACAUAUCCUCUCCAUGUUGAUCAAAUUGUGAAGGCCAAGUGACUCCAAAAGAGGAAAGGCAUCAGAAGCGACCAUCUCCUUUGAAUCGACGAUGCAAAAGAAGUCAGGAUUAUUUUGAACCCCGAGAAGCUUCAAUUGUGAAAAGCCCUCCGUGUCCAAAUUGAAAAUAACGUUCUUGAUACCUCGCAGCUUGUCCAACAAUAAGUAUUCAACUUUAUUGAUGCCCUGCAAUUUGAUGGAGCAAAUGUCCAUAAAAUCAAGCUUGAGCUUCAAUGCUCUUGAAAACUUGCGAUUACUGUCGAUCAAAAAGUGCGGCCGACUUUCAAACCAAUAUUGUCCAAAAAGCACGGGAUGCCUGAAUGACUCAUUUCCAAUAGAUAUUUUGAACCUUUCGAGCUUUCUGGCCAAAAAACCUUCUGGUAAAAUACUGUCAUUUUUAACGUCAAUUUCUAGAGCGGUUAGCCGAGGUAAAUGCAUCAAUUCGUCAAGGCUAGCAUUACUUCUUUUGCUGUUGGCUCUUUCAACCUCCCAUUCAAUGAAGCAAUUACCCAUAUACAAUUCUUCUAAUCGGAUUAAGCUUGAUAUGACAUUUGGGGCAAUAACUUUCAGAAGGAAACAGUCUGUUAAAUCUAACAGCCUUAGCUUAGACAGUUGACCUAGUUCUUCGGGCAACUUCUUAAUAUCAGACUUCAAAAAGCUAAGGACUUCUAGAUUCUUCAACUUCCCAAUGAUUGCUAUGUCGCCCAACGCACUUUGAUCCAGACAUAGUGUGUGAAGAUUUACUAGAAGAUCAAUUGAAGAUGGAAAUGAAGAAAACUGCAUUCGAGUAAAAUCUAGAACUCUAAGCUUUUUCAUCCCUACAAAAAAGUUCUCAGGAAUAUUGAUUUCAAGAGAAGAAUCUUUGAGAGAGAGAUAUAAAAAUUCAAGGUUUGGGCAUUCUAAUCCUUCAGGAAAUUCACGAUUACUAUUAUUUCUUAAAGAGACAGCAUUGCAUUUUCGAAGUGCAUCCUCAUCUGGCCAGUCCCACACAUCCUCAUUUUCGGCCAAAAAUACAUGUUGGUGGCGGCAUGCAAUUGAUAUGGCGACAUCGCGAACAACAUCAUGCAUUGAAAAUUCUUCAUUGCUAUCACCCUCAAGCAACAAACAAGAGUCUCUAAGUUCAUGGACCAAUGCAUAUAAUUUGUCUCGUGCAUCUUCCAUCUUAUUGACUCCUUUAAAUAUACCCAAACCCAUGGAGUACUUAAACAGGUCCAAAGUAUGAAUACCGUUACCCAUUAGACUACCGAGGAGAAAAAUUUUCUUGAGUUGCUCACCUUUUAAAUGGUUGAAACUCAGCUCAAUACUUGAAUAAGUCUCUGCAGAUACUCCUUCGAAGUUCACCAUUGAAGGCGUUCGGAGUUCGCGCAAGGAAUUCUUCCAUUGAUGCGGACUCUUGCUUCUCAGUGCCUUUGCUACCGUACUCAAGGCAAUGGGCAAACCUCCACAUGCCCUGGCGACGUCUAUUGCUGUAGAUUUCAACUCACGAUUUUCAACAUCAUCACCGGCCAUCAUCUUAAACAAUCUCCAAGCUUCUUCUUCAUUUAAAUUGUUAAUCAAGAAGUUGUCUUUAGAUCCCAUUUUCAAGAGGACACUACGAUCUCUUGCCGUCAGCAGUAGUUUGCAUCCUUUAUGAUCUUCCCCAAAAGGAAUUCCAACGGUCUCCAAAUCAAGGUGUUUCCAGAUGUUAUCCAGAAUCACAAGGAUCUUCUUCUCAUUUCUCAAUCGCUCAUAUAGCCUACUUGCUCUUCUAGAUUCAACUUCCUCGUGCAACUCCAGGCCCAACUUCUCGGCAAUUUCCUGUUGAAUCUUUUUUAUGUCUGGAGUUUGCGAAACCUCUGAAAAGACCACCAUAUCAAAGUGCUUGUCUUCCAGAGCUUGCCUGGCGACCUUCUUCACCAGUGUCGUCUUUCCAAUGCCGCCCAUGCCGUACACCCCAAUGAUGCUGACAUUAACAUCGAUCAAUGCGUUUUUUAUAGCCUCCAAAGUAGAACGUCUUGAUUCGAAGGCCUCGUAGCCUUUGUGAGACUUGAGCCAUAUAUCCUCCGGAACAGUACGGUAGGAAAUUCUAUCAUCAAAUCUCCCAGCUUCUUCUCGGAGUUUAAAAAGGGCCUCCUUCUCUGUUUCUGCUUCCUUUCCAUGCUGAUAGCGAGUAAUCCAAUUAGGAAACAGCCCCAUGAGACAUCGUUCAUUUGCUUUCUCUUCGUCUUGAAUGAAUUUGGCUGCCUGCUCAAUGCUCUUGUUCGCAUUAACUAGCCAUUUCUCAACCUUCUCUUCAAUCUUUUCACUUUUUCUUUCAGCCUCAGAAACUCUGCGCUGAAUGCUUUCUCUUUCAUCCUUGAGCCUAUCGAGUUCUGCCUUGAGAUUCUCAAAGUUGGCAGAGGAGUUAUACCAAUAACUAAAUUCGCGUUGUGCGUGAGGAGACAAGCAGUUUACAACUCCUGGAACAAUGCUUUUCAAAAUGUCCAUUUUUUUUUUCUUUUUUGGGGAAGUGAACGAAAUAGAAAUAGAACAGAGUCAACGACCGCGCAAUUGAUAAUUAAGUAGAAAACAAGGCAAAAUUGAAAAAAGAAAUUAUAUUUGUACAAAACAAGGGGAAAAUCAGUGUAACAGAAGAGAAUCAAAGUGUUUUUGAGAUCAGAAAAUUGAACCAAGAAAAGGGUUGCUUGAUCCAAUGAAAAUGCAAAGAGCAUGGCAAAAGGAAACAAAGCUAAAUAAGAAAACGGUUAGCACGAGCAGUGACCACGAUCAACAGAAGCAAAGUGUGUAUGAGAUCAAAAGACGAAAAUCAGGAGAGGUUUUCUUGAUUGAGAAUUGAAGGCAAAGAGUAGGAGCUGACGAAUACGGGGAUCAAGAGGGAAAAACUGCUUGCUCGUAAAACUGCUUUCAAGCGAAUCUGAUAAAAUUAUUUCAGUACAAGUGGGCGACUCCCUUUUAAACUGCAGAAGGAAAAAAAAAAAAAUUCUGAUUUUCAAUAUAUUAAUCUCGUAAUCAAUGAUUAAUUAGUAGAUAAUCUUUCUAACAAAUAUGUGUUGAAUAGAUAUAUUUCUUGAUUAUUCGUAGGUUCGAUAUACUUUAGUAUAGGAAUGAAAGUACAAAUUGUGUCAUAUUAGAAUAAAAAUUAGACCUAAAAAUAUUGUCAUAAAACAUGUGAUCCUCAUCCAAAGGCCAGGUGAACAAAUAUAAACGACAAAUUCUUUUCAAUUAAAUAAUCAUCAAGUGAUAAUAUUCUAUUUCAGUACAAAUAGCGAGUGCAGAACAACUGUCAAGAGAUAAUCAUUGUUUAUGGAGCCAUAUAUAUUUUCUAUUAAAAUAGUUGCGUGAACAAUAGCCAGAAUCCGAAAAAAUUGUUGAAAGGUCUAUUAUUUUCGUUUAAAAUUGUUGAAAGGUCUAUUAGUUUCGAUUAAAAUAUUUUCGAUAAAAAUAGUUGUGUGAACAAUUACCAUAAAUAGUGUUUACAUUUUGGAUUGGACUGAGAAUCUUGAAGAGUGGAAAUCUUAGAAUUGAGAGUAUGGAGUAGAAGUGGGUGUAAGUUGUUUACUUACACUGAAAUAUAAGCAUGGAAUGAAGAUUAUAAUCCAAUUUAUGUAUUUACUUUAUCUUGGAUUGGGAGUAAAUAGUUUCAAAUUAUAAUUUUAUCUUCAUUUAAAGAAUUAUAGUUUUUAAUUACAAAGUUAAUAAAAAUAUAUAUUUAAUGAAUAAACAUUUAUUUUAUUAUAUUUAUAAAUUUAUAAUAAUUAUUAAUAUUCUUAAUUAUGUACAUCAUAUUUUUUAUUAAUUUUAAUUUUAAAUAUAUAAAUUAAAAAUUAUUGAUAAGAGCAAUGUAAAUGAAACAUUUUUACUAUUAACAUAGUACAAAAUUAAUAUUUUCUUAUAAUUAACUAUUUAUUAUUACUAAUUAUUGAUAUUAAAUAAAUAUAAUACUAUUAUUUUUAAAUAAAUAUAAUAAUAUUAUAUUUUCAAAUAAAGAUAGUAUAUAGUAAUAUUAUUAAUUCUCUAUUAAUAUAAUAAUAUUAUUUUAAGUAAUUUAAACUUAGAAUCAAACCAAAUUAUUAUUUAGUUAAAUAUAAUAUUAUUAUUUAAAUAAAUAAAAUAUUAUUUAUUUUAUUUUAUUAAAAAUAAUUAUAGUAAAUUUAAUAAAAGGGGGUUAAAAAAGGAAGGUAAAUAUAAAAUGAAAUAUUAUUUUAUUUAAUUAUAUUAAAUUUAUUAUUAUAUAAAUAAUAAUAUAAUAUUAUUUAGUAUAAAAUUAAUAUUUUCUUAGAAUAAACUAUUUAUUAUUAUUAAUUAUUAAUAUUAAAUAAAUAUAAUACUAUUAUUUUUAAAUAAAUAUAAUAAUAUGAUAUCUUCAAAUAAAGAUAGCAUAUAAUAAUAUUAUUAAUUCUCUAUUAAUAUAAUAAUGUUAUUUAUUUUAUUUUAUUAAAUAUAAAAUAUUAAAUUUAAUUAAAUAAAGGUAGAAAAGGGAGAGGUGGGAGUGGAUUUCCCAUGGGAGUCCCACUCACACUCCCCACUCCAAAAAUGGGUGGGGUCCACGGAGUGGGAUUUCCAACCCCUCCUUAAAAUGGUGAAGUAAACACUGGAGUGGGAGGAAUGCACACUGCUCACACUCACCCCAGAAAAUAAACACCGAAAAGGCCAGAUGAUGAAGAACCACUAUAAGUUCUUUUAUGAAUUUAAAAUGCUAAAGAAACUUGACACCAACGCUAAGCUAACAAGUGCAUAUUUUUCUGUGGCCCUUGCCUCAAUGUCUUUUGGGCAUUGCUCGGGGGUAGUUGAUAUAUUGAUUAAAAUAUGAAUGAAUUGGAAUGGAAUGAGUUGGAAUUAAAAUAUGGAAUAGUAAUUAAUUAAUUAAUUUAAAUUGUAAAAAUUAAAAUAAAAAUAAAUUAUAUCAUCAUUGAUAUAUUUAUUUUAUUUUAAAAUCACGAUGAGUUGUUACAAAUUACAAAAUAUCUUUAAUUUUUUAUCAUAAUAAUAAUAAUUUAUUAUAAUAUUUUGUUGGCCUAAAUGGUUAUAUAAUCCUUGAUUUUGAUGAUAACAAACUACAUAGAGUACAAUAGUAAAUUUAUUUCUCACAAUCUCACAAGUUUUUGAAGGGCAAAAAUCAUUCAAGUGGGAUCAAGAUCAAGAUACUCAAUAGACAAUGACAAUCAAGGACGAAUACUAAGGGUACUAGUUUAAGCCAUCUUUAUUGUUAAAUUUCUUGUAAAGCCAGUGUAAUUUAACGUGUGCAUGAUGUAACAUUUAAAAGCUCAAGACAUUUUUCAUGACAUUUUCAAAUUAAAUCAUCAUUUUCUAAAAUAUAAAAGUUUUAACGAUUUUAUAAAAUUAGUUGCUUUUUCCAAAUUUAUGAACUAAAUUGAAAAGUUUUGAGAACUUUGAAAUCAACUAAUAAUGUUUUAAAACAUAGAAAUUGACAUAUUUGUAAAUAUUUCAAACGUUUUGGGUCGUAAUAUAAUUUCAAAAAAAUUAGGUCUAAUCUAUAAAUCCUGGAACAAUAGUGGCUAAUCGCUUAACCAAUAGCGACUAACUACUUCAAGUCCAAAAACAUAGCAGCUAACCGCUUAAAUCAAGUGACAAUCCGCUUGAACCAAAGUUUUCAAAUUUGAUUUGCAACUGUAACUUACCAUAUCAACAUAGUGGCUAAUCGCCUCAUUUUAACGGCGAUCCAGCAAGUCCCUAGAAAAGCCAAUAAUUGCUAGUUUGAUUAUUUAAACUAUAAAAUUCAAAUCUAACAAUUUUUUUUUUCAAUCUCAAUUAAGCUAAAACUUAUUCAUAUAUCUUGAGCUUUCAUUUUGCUUAUCUACAUACAUUAAUCAUUAUAGAGCUAUCAUUUGCUUAUACACUCUUAUAGAGUGUAAUCUUUGUAAUCUUCAAUUAAAUAUCAAAAUUGAGUGAGUAUAAGUGUGGGAAACACUUGGGAAAAGAGGUGUGUGUAUACAUAAUUACUUGUAAAGGUUUAUUGACACCUUAGAAGUCAAUUGUAAAAUUUUGGAGCCUUGGAAGGUUUGGAUAGUAGAAUUCUCAAGUUUGGAUUGCUUGGAGGCGUAGUCAUAGGCGGGUUUGCCGAACCACAUAAAAAUUCAUGUGUUUGUUAUCUUCUCCCUUAUCUUUUUAAUUUCACGUAUAGUUAAAUUUACCAUUAUUAAAUUUCUUGAAGUAUUUGUUUAAUUUGUAUUGUGUUUUUGUUAGUAUAAUUUUUAAUACCUAAUUCGCCCCCCUCUUGGGUUGCUUAGCUAGAAUUUCAUUUGGUAUCAAAGGAAGUUCUCUUGUUAGGACUUAACCAUCUAGAGUAAAAGAUCCAUAGUAAUCCAAAAUGAUCCCAGAUUUGGGGAAGGUUAAUCCCUUACUAGAUCACCAUUCUUUGAUGGGAAUGAUUAUCCAUGUUGGAAAAUUAUGAUAAGAAUUUAUUUGCAAGCAUUAUAUUAUGAAAUAUAGGAAGUUGAUUGUGAUGGUCCAUUCAUGCCUACUGCUAAAAAUGAAGAAGGGAAAGAAAUUCUAAAACCUUCACAAGAAUGGAAUGAGUCGGAAAAGAGAAAAGAUUCUCUUAAUUUCAAAGUCAUGAAUGCUUUGUUUUGUGACUUAGAUAAAAAAGAAUUCUAUAGAGUUUAAGGUUGUUCCAAUGCUUAUGAAAAUUGGAAAAAACAUAAAGUCAUUUAUAAAGCUACAAAUCAAGUCAAAUAGUCUAAAAUUAGUAAAUAUACUAGGCAAUACGAAUUGCUAUAAAUGGAACAAAAUGAGAGUGUUAAUCCCAUAUACACUAGAUUAACAGACAUUAUAAACACUUUAGGAGCUCUUAGAAAGACUUUUUCAAACAGCGAAAAGGUAAAAAAAAUCAGUAGGUCUUUACCAAAAGAAUAGAGACCUAAGAAAAUUCCCAUUGAGGAAGCCAAUGAUAUUUUAUCUAUUGAUGAUUUAAUUAGUUCAUUUAUUUCUUAUGAAAAGGAUUUGACAACUGAAAAAUAUAAUGAAGACGAGAAGAAGAAGAGUUUUUCCUUAAAAGCAUCAAGAUCUAAAAGUGACAACGAAAGUGAGAUCGAAAAUGAAGACAUGGCUAUGAUAGCUGGAAAAUUCAAAAUAAUUUUCAAGAAAUCCAUCGAGCGAAGGAAAUUCAAAAAUUAGAAAGAGAAGAAGGAGGCAAUUAUUUUCUUUAAAUGCAGGAAGCCUAGACACAUAAAACUAGCAUGUCCUUUUCUCAAAAAAUUAAAGAAGAUAGCCAUGGUAGCAACACGGGAUGAUAGCGAUAAGGAGACUAUAGAUGAAGAGUAGUCCCAUGAAGUGUCAAAUUUGGCACUUAUGGUUAUAGGAGAUGAACUUGAUGAGGUAAACCUCUUAGGAUGAGUUGUUUGAAGUAUUCUCUAAAUUGCAUAAAGAUGUAAAGAAGAUUGAAAUGUAAAAUGUUUCUCUUGGAAAGAAAAAAGUAGAACUUUUAAAUGAGAAUGACACUUUGAAUAAAAAGAUUAAGUGCCUAGAAGUAUUUGUGAAGAAAUUGCAUCUUUUAAAGAAAAAACAAAAUGUUUCAUCUAAGAAUAAAGGUUUACUUGUAAAUGAUUUGAAAAAGAAAAAUGAAAUAUAUUGCUUUAGAAUUUGCUUAGUAUUAGUCAAUUGUGUGAUAAAUGUUACAAAGUUAUUUUUAUGUGAUAAAGACUAUAGAGUUAUUUUUUAUAAAACAAAAUGUGUUAUUAAAAAUACAUGUGAUGACAAAGUUUUAUUUGUUACAUAAAGAUGUGUUAAUGUAUACACCAUUGAUAUAGAUAGUGUAUCAACUCAUGAUAAAUGUUUUUUUCACAUUACAUGAUGAUAGUUGAUAUGGCAUGGAAGACUAGGUCAUGCGAGCAUGGAUUUGUUUUCAAAAUUUUUUAAAAAUGAUUUGGUUAUAGGUCUUCUAAAAAUUGGUUCUAAAAAAGAUAAAAUUUGUGAAGUUUGCCAAUUUAGAAAACAAAUAAAACGUCCUUUAAAAAAAAUUCAUAUUUCUACUUCAAAACCACUUUAACUUUUUCACAUGGAUUUGUUUGAAUUUUCUAAAUAUGCUAGUUUAAGUGGUAAAUAUUAUGCAUUUAUAAUUAUAGAUGAUUAUUCUAUAUACACAUGGUAUUACUCUCAACUAAUAAAGAUGACACCUUUAAUGCUUUCAAAGUUUCUAUAAAAAGGUUCAAAAUGAAAAAUGAUAUGUUAUUUCUUGCAUUAGAAGUGAUCAUGGUGGAGAAUUUGAAAAUUAUAUUUUGAAAAUUUUUACAAUAACUUUGGCAUUGAGCAUCAAUUCUUGUUACCAAGAACUCCAUAAUAAAAUGGAGUAGUUGAGAGAAAGAAUAGGUCUAUCCAAGAAAUGGCUAGGACCAUGUUAAAUGAAAAUGUUUUACUAAAAUAUUUUUGGGUUGGAACCGUCAACAUUGUUUGUUAUAUUUUAAAUCGUGCAUUGAUUAGACCUUACCUCAAUAAAACUCCUUAUGAGUUUUGGAAAAAUAGAAAAACAUUGACUAUUUCAAAGUUUUUGGUUGCAAAUGUUUUCUAUUGAAUACAAAAGACAAUCUUGGUAAAUUUAAUCUAAAAUCUGAUGUUGAUAUUUUUCUUGGGUAUUCAAAUACAAGCAAAACUUAUAGAGUGUAUAAUAAAAGAUCCUUGGUCGCUAAAGAAUCUAUACAUGUUAUAUUUGAUGAAUCUAACUUUUCUUCUAUGAAGAAAGUUGUUGUUGAUGAUGAUGCAUAUGAAGAGUUACAAAAACAAAAAGUCUUUAAAAGACAAACAAGAUGAUUUACCGGUAAAAAUCAAGAUGAGCAACAAGAAAAACAAGUUAAACAGAUUCAAAAUGAAGGUAAUUCACAAACACUCUCUAAGGAGCUAAGGUAUGUCUCUUCACACCCUAAAGACUUAAUCUUAGGAGAUCCUUCAUGAGGUGUAACUACUAGAUAAUCACUUAGAAAUACAUGUGAACAUACUGUAUUCAUAUCUCAAGUUGAGCCAAAAUCCUUUUCAGAUGUGGAAAAUGAUGAAUCUUGGAUUAUAGCAAUACAAGAAGAGUUAAAUCAAUUUGAAUGAAACAAUGUAUGGAAACUUAUUCAUAAACCAUAACAUCAAUCUGUAAUAGGCAAUAAAUGGGUAUUUAGGAAUAAAAUCGAUGAAUCUGGUGUAGUUGUAAGGAAUAAAGUUAGAUUAGUAGCUCAAUGAUGCAACCAAGAAGAAGAAAUUGAUUUUGAUGAAACCUUUGCACAUGUAUCGAGAUUAGAAUCCAUUACAUGCUUUUAUCAUUUGCAUAUCAUAAUGAUUUUAUUUUAUAUUAAAUGGAUGCUAAAAGCACCUUUCUAAAUAGUUGUAUUAUGAAGGAAGCUUAAGUGAAACAACCCCCUCAUUUUAAAAAUGAAAAAUGUUUUUGGAUCAUGUUUACAAGUUGUCCAAAGUUUUAUAUAGUUUAAAGUAAGCAUCUAGAGCAUGAUAUGAUAGACUUAGUAAAUUUCUUUUAGAAAAUAGUUUUUCAAUGGGUAAAGCGAAUACUACUCUAUUUGUUAAAUACAAGGAUCAAGGUAUACUUGUUCAAAUUUAUAUUGAUGAUAUUAACUUUAGUUCUAUUAAUGAGUUUCUGUGUAAGGAAUUUUCAUCUUGCAUAAGUAGAGAAUUUGAGAUGAGCAUGAUGGGAGAAUUGAAGUACUUUCUUGGACUUCAAAUUUAAAAGAAAAAAAAGAAUUCAUUAAUCAAGCCAAGUAUUUCAGAGAUCUACUCAAAAGAUUUUGCAUUCAGGACUAAGGACACUCCAAUGAGAACUACAAUCAAUCUCGAUAAGGAUAAAAAAAGUAAAGAUGUUGUAUCAAAAGAUAUCGAGGUAUGAUCAUAUUUUUACUUUACUUUACUACUAGUAGACAUUACUUUAGUGUAUGUUUGUGUGCAUGAUUUCAACCAGAUCUCAAAGAAUCUCAUUUGCUUGCGGUUAAAAGAUUUUUUUCAUUAUUUAUGAGGAACAAUUGAUCUUGGUCUAAGGGAACUCAUAUAAAUUAUUAGCUCAAUAAAUUUUUCAAAGAAUCCCAUUCAACAUUCUAGGACCAAACAUAUUGAAAUUAGGCAUUAUUUCUCACGUGAUCAUGUUCAAAUGAGAGAUAUUGCUUUAGAAUUUGUUUCUAUAGAAAAAUAUCUUGCUGAUAUUUUUACAAAUCCUUUUUGUGAAGAAUAGUUUUCAAAGAUUUGGAUUGAGUUUGGAAUGAUGACAUUUUCACAUCAAUAUUUCAUUGCAUGAUAUUGAGACUACAAAUUUGCUUGAUUUUCUAUCUUGAUUUUAAUGUGUUAUAUGCUUGAAUUUACUUCUUUGAAUGUUUAUCAUCAUAUCUUAUGCAUUAAAAAUGGCUUUUGAAAUACUUCGGGAUCACAAAAUGGUCUCAAAAUUAAUUAAAUUUUGGCCAAAAAGCAAAAUCGUGCAAAAUUUAGGGGAACUAGCUAACCGUUAACAACAAGCGACUAGCCAAUUAUGAGGCAGAAACUAGCUGGUCAGUAGGGUUGGCAAUGGGACGGGAUGGGAUGGGAUUUACCAAUCCCAGUCCCAUCCCGUAUAUGCAAAUGGGAUGAAAAAACGUCCCAAUCCCGUCCCUAUAUUUUUUUUGGGACAAAAAUAUGUCCCAAUCCCGUCCCAAAAGAGAUGGGAUCCUGCGGGAUCCCAUCCCAAUUGGAAAAUUUUUCAUUCUUAAUCGGUAAUGAGACGGGAUGGGACGGAAUUUAUCAAUCCCACUCCCGUCCCGCAUAUGUAAUUGGGAUAAAAAAAAUGUCCCAAUCCCAUCCCAAAUUUUUUUAUGGAACAAAAAUAUGUCCUAAUCCCAUCCCAAAUGGGAUGGGAUCCCGCAGGAUCCCAUCCCAUCGGGAAAAAUUGCCAUCCCUACUGGUCAGCCGGCUUAAAGCAAACGGUUAAUUGCUUGGUUUCUAAAAAUGAAACGGUUAACCGCUUUCUUCAAGAGGCUAGCUGGCUUCACGUUUUAAAUGUUGUUCAUCUUCUUUUUCCCACUUUCAGUUGUUACCCUCUCUCUAUCACUGUCAUCUCUCAUUUCUUUUACUCUCUCUCUAAAAUCUUCCGUUUUUACAUCACUUUUGUGUCAAAUUAAACUUUCCAAAUCAUUUCCCAUCAAUUAAUCUUCACUCAUUUGCUUUUAAAACACAAUCUAAUCACUCUUCUCUCAAAAUCUUAAAACCUAAGUCACCAAUUUCAACAUUCUCAAAUUUGAACCAUUAUUUGACCAUUUUUGACCAAAAUAAACCCAUACAUUCCUUAGAUCUUCUCAAAGAACAUUUUAAUCGGUUCAAAAUCAUCUAUUUCUGUAAAAACUUUGUGAACUCGAAUUUGUGCAAUUUUGGACACAUUUUGAUAAUUUCUUAAUGGCUAGUGGUGAGAAGUCUAAGGGUAAGCAUAUGCCUAAAAUGUAAAAAAAAGAUUCAUAAAGACAUUUUCAAAUUCAUUUCCACCCACUUCCCAAAUCCGCCCCAAUGGAAUGAUUCUCUGAUCGAUUUAUGACAAGGUCAGUCCUCCCAUACUAUAUAUGUUAAUCUUGAUUAAUUAGAAAAUUUGUCAAGUUGUAGCAAAACUCUUAGAACUUUACUUGCUGAAUUGGGUUGGACAAAUGUCUUAGUUCUUAAGGAACAUAUUUGUCCUAAUUUGGUACGAGUAUUUUAUUCGAACAUGCUUAUUUCUACAAAUACUGCCAAUAUGAUUAUUACUAAUGUUAUUGGGAUUCCUAUUAAGUUUACUGUAGAAGAUUUAAACAUGAAUCUCAGAUGAUAGGUUGCAUUUGUAUACAUCUAGGACUAAAAUUGAUUAUCCCUGGUAUUUAGUUGUAGAUGAUGUUUGAAACAUAGAUGUUCGAAACAUAUGUAGGUGAUCUGAUCUAUCCAUGGAGCUUUUUAACUCCUCUCUUAGAUCACAAGUGUUGCCUCUUCAAGUUCGGAUCCUACAUAAUGUUCUUUAGCUUGUGAUCAGUCCUCGCAAGGGACAUGGUGCUGAGGUUACACGCUUAGAUGUUACUUUAUUAGAUAGCAUCCUUGAGGGUAAAAGCUAAAUGUGCGAAUAUUAUCAUUCAGCACAUGCUUAAUACACUGAGUAUAGGAAACCAAUCCUUUUCGGUCGGUAGUGUCAUUACCCACAUCCUUCAAUAUUUUUGGGUCCCUAUAGCUGAACCAUCUCAUAAUGAACCCAAGGAGUUAGGGGAUGAGGUCAUUGCUAGCUUAGGAUUUGGGUGGGUAGAUGACCAAUAGGUUAAAAAUUAGAACUUGUUGAGCAAACCCACAAAGCUGGCUCUUUUUUAUCAUUGCAUCUUUAACGAUGUGCUUCCCCUUACUGGGUUCUUGAUCUUAGUUCUUCCAUGAGGUCACAAGCUCUACAUUGGCCUUCUGAUGCUCCACCAUCAUCAUCUUCAGCCAUUCCCAAUAACCCAAUCCAACAGUUGUUGAAUAAAGUGCGUUCCAUAUCCGAACAAUAAAGCAAAUUUAAGAUAUCGUUCGCAGCAUUCCAGGAUCAUUUUCUUUCUGAGCAACAACGUCUCUUUCUUCAACAAUAACAAAUUCUAGACCAUCACUAGCUUAUUUUCAUUGCUCUCAAAUUUUCGCCACCAUCCUUAUUAUCUUGUUUGCUACCUCAUCAGUGAUUUUCUUUUAUCUCUUUUGCUUCAUUGUUUUAUGCACCGACAUUAUUUAUCAUAUGCAUUUUCGUUUUUAGCAUCAUGGAUACUUGAUGGAUGUUAUUUUACUUAUGCAUUAUAGAUACUUGAGUUGAUAUGGAUUAUCUUUAUGCAUUCUAGUUAUUGAUUGUGGUAUCUUUAUUAAUUAUCUUUAUGGAUUAUCUUUAUUGAUUAUGGAUUAUGUAUAUGGAUACUUGAUUAAUGGUUAUGUGUGGAUUUUCGAUUGAUGAUCUUUGUGGGGGAUAAUUAUUGAUAAUAUUUGUAUAAUAGAGGAGUGAUUUUUCAUGAUGAAGGGGGAGAAGAUAUUGACAUGUAUUUUGAAGUGUUUUGACAUGUUUUUGGCUCAUGGGGGUUGAUUGAGUGUUUGUAGUAUUUUAGUUGCUUUCUGAGUCACUCAAGGAGAGUUUACAAAUGUUGUACAAUUAUUGUUAGCCUAUAUGGUUAUAAAUAUUGAUUUUGAUGAUAACAAACCACAUGUAUUGAUUAAGAAAAGAUUUAUUAAUUGUACUUUUAUAAUAAGAAAAUGAUGUUAUGGAAUUAAAGUAUUUUGGACUAAAAUGAAAGUAUUUUAAAAUCUUUGAUAGUGUUUUAAAUUUCGGAUUUGGACCUGUUUGAAACUAUUUAAAUAUUUUUUGAUUAUUCUAUAAUUUCAUAUAGUUUGGGUGAAAUCAUAAUUUCAGAAAGUUUUGGGAUUGACAAAGCAUUAUUUAAAAUUCUGAAAUUGGACCUAUUUGCAAAGUUUCAUAAAGUUUUGAGCCAUAAUAUAGUUUUAUAAAGUUUUGGGGUCAAACUAUAAAUUUAAAAAAUAUUUCACUGUAGCAGUAACUGUAGCAAGCGGCUUACCGGAUAUGGUUAAACGACAAACUGGAUAUUGGGCAGUAAGCGUCUGGAGCAUAAACGGCUUACCGGAUUUUGUAAGCAGCAAGCCGGAUAUUCUGAAAUUCAAAAUUUUGCCAUAACGGUAACAUAAAAGCGGCUUACCAGAUUCCUAAAUGGCAAGCCGGUUAUAACAGAAAAUGUGCAUAACAGCUAGUUUUUUAGCUCAAACUAUAAGAACUCAAAUCCAAAUCAUUUUCAAGCUCUCCAACAAGCAUAAACAAAAAGCACACGAGAUAUCUUGAGCUUUCAAGUUGCAAAACACAAAACAUUUAAUCAUGUCUUGUUUUUCAUUUUUGAAUAUCUGCUUUUUGAGUGAGUUUUAUUGUAACUUUCAUUUCUUCAUCUCAAUUGUAAGAGUUUGAGUGUGUGAGACACUUGAGUGAAGAGAUUGUUAGAUAAUCUCUUUGUUGUAAAGGUUCAUUGACACCUUGAAGUCAAUUGUAAACAGUUAAAACCUUGGAAAGGCUUGGAUAGUGAAAACCUCAAGCUUGGAUCGCUUGGAGGUGUGGACAUAGGCGGAGAUUGCCGAACCACGUAAAAAUUCGUAUGUUUGUUUCUUUUCUCCCUUACUCAUUAGUUAUUGUGUUUUUAUUGAACUUAUUGCUUUUAAUUUUUAUUAAGACAUUUAGAUUGCUUGUUGUGUGGAUUUGCUAAGAAAUUUUUUAAAAUUCCAAUUCACCCCCCUUUUUGGGUUGCACACUUAUAUUUCAUUUGGUAUUAGAGCGAGGUGCUCUUAUUUGGACCUAACCGUUUAGAACUAAAUAUCAAUGGCAACUCAAAAUGAUUCCACAUUUAGGGAAGGACAGUCCACUACUAGACCACCUUACUUUGAUGGAAACGAUUACCCAUAUUAGAAAACUAGGAUGAGAAUUUACUUGCAAGUCUUAGAUUAUGAAAUUUGGGAAAUCGUUAAUGAUGGUUCUUUCAUGCCUUUGACUAAAAAUGAAGUCGGAGAAGAUAUUCCAAAACCUUCACGGGAAUGGAAUGGAUUCGAAAAGAGAAAAGCUUCUCUAAAUUCCAAGGCCAUGAAUGCCUUAUUUUGUGCACUAGAUAAGAAAGAGUUUCAUAGAGUGUCUAGUUGCGAAAGUGCUAAUGAGAUUUGGCACAAACUUGAAGUUGUCUAUGAAGGCACGAACCAAGUGAAAGAAUGUAAAAUAAGUAGGUGCACUCGACAAUAUGAAUUGUUCCAAAUGGAACAAAAUGAAAAUGUGUACUCUAUGUAUACUAGAUUUACAGACAUAGUGAACACUCUAGGAGCCCUAGGAAAGACCUUUUUAAAUAGCGAGAAAGUCAAGAAAAUCAUUAGGUCGCUACCUAAGGAAUGGAGACAAAAAAGGACUGUCAUUGAGGAAGCCAAAGAUUUAAAUGUAUUACCUAUUAAUGAUUUAAUUGGUUCUCUCAUUUCAUAUGAAGAAGAUUUGGCAGCUGAAAAAGGGCAUGAGGAAAAGAAGAAAAACAUUUCUCUCAAGGCUUCAAAAUGUGAGAGUGAUGGGGAAAGCGAAAUGGAUGAUGAGGAGUUGGCAAUGUUGGCUAGAAGAUUUAGAAAAUUUUACAAAAAGAAUAAUGAGCAGAGAAAGUUCAGAGGCUACAAGAAUAAGAAGGAGAAGAAUGAGUCAAUCACUUGUUAUGAAUGCAAGAAACCCGGAUACAUACGACCGAAAUGUCCUCUUUUCAACAAACUCAAGAAGAAAGCUAUGGUGGCCACAUGGGAUGAUAGCGAUGAGGAAACAAGUGAUGAUGAUGAGCAACAGGAAAUGACAAAUUUAGAUCUCAUGGCCAUUGGGGAAGAAUCAUGUGAUGAACUUGAUGAGGUACGUGUUCUUCCUACAUAUGAUGAAUUACAUAAUGCCUUUAAGGAUUUGCAUGAUGAGCUGAUGAAGAUUGGUAAAAAGAAUAUAUGUCUUAAAAAGAAGAUAAUAGAGCUUAAAAAUGAAAAUGAAUCAUUUAGUGCAAAGAUUACAUGCCUAGAAUUAGAAAAUAAAACAUUGCAUGAUAGCAUUGCAUUAUUUGAGAAUUCUAGCACUCCACAUGAGCACUUAGAGUCACACAUGAAUGACUUGAAAAAUGAAAAUGAAAUGCUUAGAAAGAAGAGCAAUGAACUAAAUGAAAUUCUACUAAAAUUCACAAAUGGGAGAAAGAUGUUGGACAAUUUGCUAAACUCACAAAAAUGUGUAUUUGACAAAAGUGGCAUUGGUUAUAAACCAAAUUUGAAACAAAAAUUUUACAAGAGUUGUUUUGUGAAGAAUACAUCUAUUAACAAUCAAAUUGUAUGUCAUUAUUGUAAUCAAAAUGGUUAUAUGAAAAAUAGAUGUGCAGUGAAGAGAAAUGCAUAUUAUGGUGUGAAAUGUGUUUGGGUUCCGAAAGGAACCAUUGUUAACUCUUAAGGACCCAAAAAGGUUUGAGUACCUAAAACUUGAGAUUUUCUCUACAGGGCUUGAAGAAGAAGAAUAAUAAGUGUUACUUGGACAGCGGUUGUUCAAGACACAUGACAGGGAAUUAUUCUUGGUUUUCAAGUUUUACUAAGAUCGAAAAUGGUGGAGAUGUAUCAUUUGGAGAUAAUUCAAAAGGAAAAAUCAUUGGGAUUGGAAAUGUCGGUAAUGCAUCCUCUACUCUCAUUGAAAAUGUGUGUUUGGUUGAAAACUUGAAAACACAACUUGCUUAGUAUUAAUCAAUUAUGUGAUAAAGGAUAUAGAGUUAUCUUUGAUAAAUCAAAAUGUGUUAUUGAGAAUGCAUGUGAUGGGAAAGUUUUGUUUGUAGGAAAUAAAUGUGUUAAUGUCUAUACUAUUAAUAUAGAUUGUGUAUCAACAAAUGAUAAAUGUCUCUCUGCAUUACAUGAUGAUGGUUGACUGUGGCAUAGAAGAUUAGGUCAUGCAAGCAUGGAUUUGAUUUCAAAAAUCGUGAAAAAUGAUUUAGUUAAAGGUCUUACAAAAAUUAGUUUUCAAAAAGAUAGAAUUUGUGAAGCAUGCCUAUUUGGAAAAAAAAUCAAAACUUCCUUCAAAAGCAAGAAUCAUGUCUCUACUUCAAAACCACUUCAAUUACUUCACAUAGAUUUGUUUGGACCUUCUAGAUAUGCUAGUUUAAGUGGCAAAUUUUAUGCAUUUGUAAUUGUGGAUGAUUAUUCUAGAUACACAUAGGCAUUGUUCUUAGCUAAUAAGGAUGAUGCCAUUGAUGCAUUUCAAAUUUUCUCUAAAAAGGUUCAAAAUGAAAAAAGGUUAUUCUAUUACUUGUAUUAGAAGUGAUCAUGGUGAAAAAUUUGAAAAUCAUGCAUUUGAAAAUUUUUGUAAUGACUUUGGCAUUGAACAUCAAUUUUCAUCACCUAAGACUCCACAAUAAAAUGGAGUAGUAGAGAGAAAGAAUAGGUCUAUUCAAGAAAUGACUAGGAGCAUGUUGAAUGAAAACUCUAUGCUUGAGUAUUUUUAGACCGAAACCGUCAACACCGCUUGUUAUGUUUUAAAUCGUGUGUUGAUUAGACCUAAUCUUAAUAAAACUCCAUAUGAGCUUUGGAAAGAUAGAAAACCCAACAUUGGCUAUUUUAAAGUUUUUGGAUGCAAAUGUUUUGUUUUGAUCACAAAAGAUAAUCUUGGUAAAUUUGAUCCAAAAUCUGAUGUUGGUAUUUUUCUUGGUUAUUCAAAUUCAAUCAAAACUUAUAGAGUUUAUAAUAAAAGAACUUUAGUUGUGGAAAAAUCUAUGCAUGUUACAUUGAUGAGUCUAACCCCUCCUCUACGGAGAAAGUCGUUGUUGAUGAUAAUGCAGAAGAAGAACUACAAGAAGAAGCAUCAAAUGACAACCAGAAGAUGCACCACAUGAAAUUCAAGAGGAACAUCAUGAAGAAAACAAAUGUAGAGCAAAAUGAAGUACUUCUCAAACACUCCCAAGGAGUGGAGGUGUGUUUCCUCUCACCCUUAGGAUGUAAUUUUAGGAGAUCCCUCACGAGGUGUUACCACUAGAUCAUCUCUUAGGAACACAUGUGAGCAUGCUGCAUUUAUUUCUCAAAUUGAACCAAAAUCCUUUGCGGAUGCAGAAAAUGAUGAAUCUUGGAUUAUGGAAAUGCAAGAAGAGUUGAAUCAAUUUGAGAGAAACAAUGUGUGGGAGUUAGUUCUAAAUCCAGAACAUCAAUCCAUUAUAGGCACUAAAUAGGUAUUUAAAAACAAAAUGGAUGAAUUUGGUGUGGUUGUAAGAAAUAAAGCUAGAUUAGUGGCUCAAGGUUACAACCAAGAAGAAGGAAUUGAUUUUAAUGAAACUUUUGCACCUGUAGCAAGGUUAGAAUCCAUUAGGAUGUUGUUAGCAUAUGCAUGUCAUAAGGAUUUUAUUUUAUAUCAAAUGGAUGUCAAGAGUGCUUUCUUAAAUGGUUAUAUUAUGGAGGAAGUUUAUGUGAAACAACCUCCUGGUUUUGAAAAUGAAAAUUUUCCAGAUCAUGUGUAUAAGUUAUCUAAGGUUUUGUAUGGUCUAAAACAAGCACCUAGAGUUUGGUAUGAUAGGCUUAAAAACUUCUUGUUGGAUAACGAUUUUUCGAUGGCUUAAAAAUCAGAAUGCCAAAAUAUAAAACAACAGUUAAAUUCCAUUUAAACUCCAAGAAAAGUAAUUCAAAUUCCGGCCACCGAGCCAAGUUCUCCAACAAAAUUUCCAAAGAUUAAUGGAAAUAUUCCAAUAGCAAGACUUCCAGAAGCAAUACCCUCUUCCAGCGGCAAUACAUUGUUUAGAACUACAACACUAAAACAUAAAAGCCAAAUACUAUAUUAAACUCAUAAAAAGCUUAUAAUUUACAGGAGAAACUGAAAGUAUCAAUCAAUUUUGAGGCAACCAAUUUGACAAUUUAAUAUUAAACUCAUAAAAAGCAUUGCCAGUAGUGAGUUUAAAUAUACCUGCAUCUGUGUCCUUGCCAAUUCAAUGGGGUAGCAACUAAUACAUGCUAAUGAACGUGCAACAGACCCAGCAACUAGGGGAACAUAUUGUGCCAACAUUGGAGCAUUGUCAAUAGGGAAUUUUCCAUCAAAUUGCGAAAACUGUCAUAACAAGGAAGGUAAAUUCCCACCUGAAAAGAGUAAUUAACAGAAAAAAAAGAAAAUAAUCAUCAUAAUGCAAAAAAAUUUCAAUGCCACACUGAUGUAUGGGAUGAAAUAUUUGAAGAAACACAAGCAAUUUAUGUACAAGAGAGACUUAUUGUUGGCAUAGACAACGCUAAACUUGCAUAAGUGCCUCUCCAUAGUCGGGCAAAUCCCUCCUGCACAUGUUUAGCUCUUAUGAAACCUUUGAUAUUAAAGAUCAAAAUUUAAGAUUCACUAACAGUAGCACCAAGAAAUCUAUUUAUUGAAGGCACAUUAACUACACAAUACAAAAUCUCUUUCCAUAAUAUAUGUAAUCACACUGCAAGUAUAAUGCAGUACACUAAAAUGCCAUCAGUUGACUUGUUCUAAAAAAUGUCUAUAAGACAUUCUGUACAAAUCCCAGUUCUUACGGAGUUAUUUUGCCCAUGGAUCAAAUCACUUUAGGACUGGAAAAAUGACGUCAUCUAAAUAGGAAAUUAGGAGUAAUAACAUGUAAUUCCAAUUGAAUUUAGUUUUUCUUCUUCAUAAUUUUCCUGUGAACUAUAACAACUGCUUUCUAGGAUCUCUUUCUUCUUUAGAGAUACAAUAGUUUUACAAAGAUCCAAUAUAAAACUCUUUAGGAUAAAAAUAGUCCAAGGAAAGCUUUUCUCAACAGCAUAAACUAUACACUUUUGGAAAACUUCAGUUCUUUUUAUUAGAUAUAUGUGUAAUUUAUUCAUAAAGUCCUUGUAUCCACCAACCUGGCAUACGAAUUUGUAGAAAACAUCCAGUGUUCCUUUAUAUUUAUUACAUUCUGGAGCUGGUUUAGAGCCUGGAACUGCACACGUGCAUGAUGGGGAAUUUCUCAUAUCUGGAAGCAUCUACAGAAACAAUUUGAAAGACAACACUUGUCACAAGAUCAUAUAACAAAGAGCAAUAAGAAUAGUAAUUGUUGAGUGUUAGAAAAUGUAUAUUUAUAAAGGAGAAAAUCGUCAUUUUACAUUUCAAGUCUUACUAACAACCCUUACUUUUAUGUAUUUAAGCCUCUUGUAAUUUAAUUAUGUGUGUUUUAUUUUAAUUAAGUAUUUUAUGUAUUUUAGGGACAUCAUAGUCAUUUCACAAUAAACGAGAGAUCAAAUGGCAAAACGACAUCACUUUUGAACUCAAGACGGUCGAAAACCUUAGGAGGAGCAUAAAAGGAAAAAUGGUAUUGUUCACAUGUACGAUACUAUUCACGUGUACGGUACUGUAUACGUUACUGUUCACGACAUGUUCACAUAGACGGAAGAUGACGUGGCAUUGACCGAUGAUGUGCAUUGACUGAUGAGGUGUCACGAUCCUGUUGGACUAAAAUUCUUAUGUACUGGAGGUAACGUGGCAGCAUAUAGUGGACUAAAAAUCUCGCGUACGGUACAUGCAUACACAUGAUUAUUUUCAACCAAACCGCGUUACUGUUCAAACCCGGUCAAAUCGUGUUACUGUUCAUCCGCGUGGUCAAACCGCGUACUGUUGACUGAUGACGUGGCGCAAUCCUGAGUAUCCAAACUGUUUUUAAUCCGAUGACCAUGAUUUACUCCAUGUAUCUAUAAAAGGGGCCUUCCCCCCUAAUUUGCAUCUUGAAUCUAUUUUUGGGAUCCAUUUUCUGUAAUUCCUUCUCCAUUUUGUAUUUUCUACGUAUUUUAAUAAAUUACCAUUUUGCCCCUAGUUCAAUUAUGAGUAGCUAAUUUUCUUUCAAACUUGGGUUGAAGGUGAAAUCUCAACAUGUGUCAUGGGCUUUAUUUGGGAAAUUUAUUUUCUUUUCCCCUCUAAUUUUUGUGGAUGAUUUGACUUUUUCGUCGACAAAUAAUAAUAAUCUUGUCUAAAUACCGCAUUGGUUACACCGGCUCUCUAGUACAAUGUUAUUAUUAUUUGGCACGAUAAGCCCUUAGCACCAUAUUGAUUAGAGCGUGGUUCAUGAGGUGUGGAUUCCCCCCUCAUGAUUUAAUUGCAUUAAUAUGGAUUAUUUAGCCCAUGUUGCAUGUUGAUACGGAUCCAGAUACCCAAGUACAUCAUUUCAAUAGAUUUCACUUCAAUUUAUUCUCACCAUUUCAAUUCCAAUUUUAGAAUAAUCUAAAGUUACUUUCACCACAAAUCCAACCACCCAUUUACAAAAUUAAUUCUACACACAAUUAAAAUCUACCUCCUCGUGGGAUCGACACUCGUCACCAUUGAUCUAUACUACAAUAGAUUCGUGCGCUUGCGAGUACAUUAAAAUUUGCACAACACUAGCCUCCACUUAUAAAUGACUUAUUCACCUAAUUAGGGCAUGUCGUCAUCUCUUUGCUUCCUUUUCUUCAAUUUUCUCUCUAUCUUUUAAAUCAUCAGUCAUUUCUCCACUUUAGGAGGCCAUUUUUAUUCUCCACCUUUAUCAUAUUCUCUAAGAUAUUAUCAUUCUCAAUAUCUUAUUAACAAUCUUCAUUUUUAUCAAUACCAAACAUCUCUGUAUUGCUAUCUAGCUUGUGUUAUUCAUUUUGAAUAAUGUAAAAUCUUAUAUAACCUCUCAUUUAUAUAAUGGAUUGGUGAUGAUCUGCUCUCAUGGAUGUAGGCCAAAAGGUGAAACAUGUAAAUACUGUGUGUUCUUUAUAUUUAUGUUUUAUUUUGCUAUUUUCAAUUUGAGGUCGAGAUUGUUUUUCAUGUAUGAGCUUAUCAAUAGAUACCCAGUUACACCAAGUAUUCUGUGAGACUAUCUAUACUAUUCCUUGAGUAUAUCUGAGCCAUACCUAAACAUAUAUUAGCCCUCUAUCAAAUCCUACAAGACUCCAUUGAGCUCUCCCUAUUUUUCCUCCCACCUGAACUCACUAUAUCUACUACUUUUGCUCACUAUCUAGGAUAAUUCAGCUAAACUACCUGGCCCAAAUACUAUAAAAAUACACGUAAACCCAAACUUAUCACAAGCUCCCUUCAAAUAUAAGUUUAUUUGUUUGAAUCAAAUUUAAACUGGGUCCAAUGAGAAUCAGCCAAUUGGUACGAAUAAGAUCUUAAUGAAAAUUUGGUGAACACAUAUAUUAAAUUAUAGAGUAUGAUUGCUACAACUAUUUUAUUAUACUUAGAAUAAGAAAAGAUAAAAUAUUGUGUGCAUUAUUUUAAUCCAUAUUCCAAGAUACUCAUUGCCCAAAAGAUACCAAAAUCAGUUUCAAGAUUCCAAUAUGUGAAUAUAUAUAUAUACAUAUUUUUAAAUUUCAUCCGUUAAUGCAUACAUACGCAAGAUUCAAAAUCCCAACUACAUCCAUAUAAUUUUUAUUAAUUUAUGAAAUUAAUAGUACCUAUCGAAAUGAUGAAUGAUACAUGACCCACCAUAUUGUCACUUUUUAUAUUUUCUUUAUACAAACAUUUAUUCAUAUCUCUAAAUACCCACUUUGUCAUAGAGUUCGGUUAUACGGUUCACAGCUUAUACAAAUAUAGUGGUUGAUUUUUUAAUCAAAUUUUAAAUUCAAUUUCCCAAAUUGGUUUAAAUUGAACUUUAAAGAUAAAACAGUUAUUUUAUUUUAUUUUAUUAUCACUGCUACACAAAAAGAUAAAAAAUUGAUACAGUUUAUAAAUUUGGAGUUAAAUCGUUAUUCGUUAAACAAUGUAUAUUUUUUGAUUUUUUAAAACUAGAGAAAGUAAUAACUGGACAAUUAAAAUUAAAAAAAUCCAAACUUACAUAAUGCUUGCACAUUAUACAUUGUUGCAACGGUUGUUCCAUGGUCAAAUUUACAUCUGCAUAAAAAGUAUCAUACUUUAACACAUGUAUAUUAUAUCAUUCAUAUACUGAUCUAAUAAAAUUUUACUGUAUACAUAUUCAAUUUUGAGAUAAAUCAUGAUGUGUGAUAGGGAUUUUAUUAAGAAUAUCUGAGGAUAUGAAAAACAAGGAUUUUUCUAGUUUAGCAAGUCGUGAGAGCAUAUCAGGAAUAAGGUUGUGGUCUCUUUUAUAUGUUUCACUGAGAAAUCAUAUUUUGAAAACCAGUCUUUGAGCCUAAGCAACUUUUACUUUUCUAAAAGCUUGUGGCUUGUAAUUAUGACUUUGCUUUUCAAAAAGUGAUAGGGGUCCUGUCCUAUCCUUUUUCUUGGUUUGCCUCCUAUUUAAGCUCGGCUUCUCUUGGUUCCCAUAUGCCUAAUAAGGAUAUCUUGUUAGGAUUUGAUAUCAUUCACCAGAAUAAAACACCUUCAAAUCAUUCCUAUUGAAAUUCGAGUCAAGUCCAUGUUUAAACCAUACAUAGUAGCUAUGCUUAAAAAUCAUUAAACGUGUAAGGUGUAUUUGACACAUUAUAUUACAAUAUAGUGUAUUGCAUUAACAUGCAUUGCAUUAAGUUGUAAUGCAAUACUAUGUUUGGGUAAUAUGGACUCUAUAUAUAAAAUAAUAUUAUAUUAUAUAAAUGUUAAAAUUAAAUAAUAUUUAUUAAUAUUUAAGAUUUUAUUAUUAAUUUUUUAAAUUAAGUACUUACUAAUUACUUUUAUAUAUUAUUAUUAUAAUACAAAAAUGACCUAAUAAUAACUAUUAUUAAAUAAUAAAUAUUAAAUUGGUAAAGGAAAUUAUGCAAGAAAACGACGAGCUCGAAGAAUUUCUGUUGCUUGUCAUAAGUGUGCCAGAAUGGAGUUGCGAUAGAAACCCAUGUUCUUUAGGAAUGGUGUCUGAUAACAGGGAAGAUAAGAUUCAAUUCAUUAGGGAUGGCUUGAAUAAGGAGUCAUUGGAUGAUAUCCUUUUGUCUCUUGAAACGCAUCCCAGUGGAUAUGUGCAAGGAGCGAUUCUCCGGUUAUGGCCAUUAUUCCAGAAAGAGCAUGCACGAUAUAGUCUCGGGAAUCUGACUAUAAACGACCCUGUUUGCCAGUUUAUAAGAAAACUGGAUGGGAAGCCCAUCCUCGACCUAUAGAGGGCGUUCAAGCCGUUUCUGGACGUAAAACCAGAGGAAGAUGUGAGCCACAGUCGCAACUACGUGUAAAUAUCCUUUUACUUUACUGUUAUUUUAUUUCAUUUCACUGUUGUUUUAUUGUUUGCAUUAUUGUCUUUAAUAAUUUUAUUACUGUUUGUUUUUUCCUUUUUACUAUUUCCUUUUUGACUCGCGAGCCACGUGCUUUACGCGUUAUUUGACACUGACAUGUUACCUCAUUCACAGCUGUGAUCCAUUGUCACCAAGAUUCUUAAAUGUGAUUUAUCUUUUGUCAAGCACUCACAAAUUAUUUUUGAGAAAGUAUCACAAUGGCAGCUACUCCCAAUAGACAAUUCAAGAACAUUUGUGUGCUUUCUGGAUUUACCUAUGGCAAACAUAAAGAGUUCGUGGAGGCAGCCAUAGAUCUUGGUCGAAGCAUAGCAGCGAGAAAAUUACAUUUGGUGUAUGGAGGAGGUAACCGAGGGUUUAUCAAAAAUGGUCUCAGAAGCAGCUUUUAUCAGAGGAAGUCAAGUGUUAGGCAUCAUCCCAAGAGUCCUAAAACCAUUGGGCAGUUCGUCUGACUCAUCAACUGGAGAAGAGUUAGUCGUCUCAGGUAUGCAAGAAAGAAUAACUGAAAUGCUUAAUCAUGCUGAUGCUUUUAUUUUCCUUCCAGGAGAUCUUGCAACACUAGAGGCACUUUAUGACACUAGCAUCUUGGGCCCAUCUGCACAUCCACCAGAAACCCAUCGGUUUGUUAAAUGUCAAUAACUUUUAUGAUGGCUUUAUCGCAUUUCUUAACCAUGCAAUAAAAAACUAUUUCAUUCCUUCUAAUGUGAAAAAACUCUUUAUUUGUGCUCACACUGCUAAUGAGCUACUUGAUAUGUUACAAGCUUAUAAACCGGAGCCAGACCCCUGGACCUUUGUGUUGGAGCGACCAAAUAAUGAUGGUAACAGUAGCCGCAGUAAGAAGUACAAAUUAGAUUUAACUCUCCGCCUGUAAAUAUUUUCUUCUGUGUUGCACCACCCAGGUGAUGUCUUCUAAACUCUACUUCUUUCCUUUAAAACAUUGAGGACAAUGUUUCAUUCUGGUUGGGGGGAGGGAAUAGUCGACAAUUGUGGAAUCUUGGUUAAGUUUUUACUGAUUUUUUGUUGUAGAAACUAACUGUUGCUAACGUUUUGUGUUGAAGAUGGCUGAAUAUGGAGUGUAGUUACUCUAGAAACGCAUUUUUUGUUGUAGAAACUAACUGUUGCUAACGUUUUGUGUUGAAGAUGGCUGAAUAUGGAGUGUAGUUACUCUAGAAACGCAUCUUCAUUGUUUAAAAAAAAAAAAAAAAAACCGUUUUCUUCCUCUUUCUCCUUUAUAAAUAUGCAGUUUCAAAUUUUUUAGUCGAAGAUGGCUGAAUAUGGAGUGUAGUGCCUCUAGAAACGCAUCUUCUUAGUUAAAAAAAAAAAAAAAAAAAAAUUCUUUUUCUAAUUAAUUUUUUCUACAUCAUUUUCACAUUUCUGCAUGCAUAUUUUCCUUUCAUGUUUAGAAUAGGUUGGGGGGUAGAAUGUUGUUUAAAAAAAAAAAAAAAAAAUUUUGUGUUAUUUGUUUUAACAUUGGAUGACAUGAUUAAUUUCAAAUUUUAGUAUUUGUAUUAUCUUUGGUCUUAAGUGAUGUUACGCUAUGUUUGCUACUUUACAUGUUGAUGUCAGAGACAAAUAUGAGUUGCUUGAAGGAAUGAACAUGUCAUAAAUAAGUGCCAAGUGAGUAGUUGAGCCUAUCAUUUUUCUUGGAGAGUAACCAUUUUGCGCAUUCUCUAUACAGCUUAGCAGUUUAUUAUUUUAUACACGAUCUCUAGAUUUCUUUUAAGUUAACCCUUUAAAAAAAAUAUGGUAAAAUUAAAAAAAAAAAGAAAAAAAAAAGAAAAAAGAAAAAAAUGUGUGUUGCUACAUUGGGAGGCCCAUCUAACUAGUAGAUAUGGAUAAUUAUUUAGAGCCCUAAAAGACGAUGGAAAGGCCAUCUUUGAUCCGUUUGAGCCUUUCUAGCCAUCCCUUUUAUUAAAUAUCCAUAGUUACCCCUUUUGAGCCUUUAAAAAAAAAAAAAAAAAGAACAAAAACCUUUUCUUUGUCAACUUAUCAUCUUGACCCACUCCGAUUUGGAGUAUUACCCAAUGUCUUUUAAGUUCCAUCACCUAUUUAUGUUUGAGAAAAUGUAAAUAAUUAUGUUGUUCAGUGAAGUUAUGCCAAAUAAAAGCAAAAAGAAAAAAAAAAACAAAAACAAAAGUUGUUGUUUCAAAAGAAUAAAAAUAACAAUAAUAGGUGAAAUCCACCUUGCAAGUUCCAAAAAAAAAAAAAAAAAUUCUGCAUUUUUCUCAAACAUACACUUUGUUUUCCUUAUUUCCUUUCUUUGUUAGCCAUAUCCCUAGCCUACGUUACGUCCUAAUAAAAGUCCUUCUUGAUUUUAGGGAACUAUAGUUUGAAGUAGAAGCUAGUUAUAUGGGCUAAAAAGAUGUAGUGAUGCAUAAUAAAAAAAAAAAAAAAAGAUAAAUAAAGUGGGUUGACUAACAUUUUAUUUGACUUGAGAUCGUAUUAUUUCUAAGCUGAGGGCAUAUUUAUUUCAUCUUGGUGAGAGCAUGUGAUAUCAUUUCUUUAUUAUUUUCUCUCUCAAUUACCAUUCAUUGGAGUGACUAUGUUUAUUGGGUUUUAAUUUCUUUGUGAGAGUGUCAUUACUUCCAGUGAGAUUUUGGGGUUUGACAUGUCAUUCUUGAAAGUAGCUAUAACAAAGUCUACUGGGCUAAUUCAUGUGGAUGGUUGAUGUGGGUGUGAUGUUGCUUUAGACUGAAGAUAAUGCUUAUACUUUUAUUUGAUUGCUAUCAUUAAUCUGAUUGAAUAAACACGAGUGUUUCCCAUAAAAAAAAAAAAAAAUCAUUUUGAAUUUGAAUUUUGUUUUCGCUUUAUUUGCUAGGGACUAGCAAUAAGCUGGUUGGGGGGUGUAUUGAGUGUUAGAAAAUGCAUAUUUAUAAAGGAGAAAACCGUCAUUUUACAUUUCAAGUCUUAUUAACAACCCUUACUUUUAUGUAUUUAACCUUCUUGUGAUUUAAUUACAUGUCUUUUAUUUUAAUUAAGUAUUUUAUGUAUUUUAGGGGCAUUAUAGUCAUUUCACAAUAAAGGAGAGGUCAGAUGGCAAAACGGACAUCACUUUUGAACUCAGGACGGUCGAAAACCUUAGGAGGAGCAUAAAAGGAAAAAUGGCACUAUUCACAUGUACGGUACUAUUCACGUAUACGGUACUGUCUACGUUACUGUUCACGACACUGUUCACAUAGACGGAUCGAUGACGUGGCAUUGACCGAUGAUGUGGCAUUGACUGAUGAGGUGUCACGAUCCUGUUGGACUAAACUUCUUAUGUACUGUUGAUGGUGACGUGGCAGCAUAUCAGUGGACGAAAAAUCUCGCGUACGGUGCAUGCAUCACACAGGAUUAUUUUCAACCAAACCGCGUUACUGUUCAUCCGGGUCAAACCGUGUUACUGUUCAUCCGCGUGGUCAAACCGUGGACUGUUGACUGAUGACGUGGCGCAAUCCUGAGCGUCCAAACUGUUUUUAAUCCGAUGGCCAUGAUUUACUCCAUGUAUCUAUAAAAAGGGGGCCUCCCCCCCCUAAUUUGAUAUCUCUGAAUCCAUUUUUGGGAUCCAUUUUCUGUAAUUCCCUCUCCAUCUUGUAUUUUCUUUGUAUUUUAAUAAAUUCCCAUUUUGCCCCUAGUUCAAUUAUGAGUAGCUAAUUUCUUUUCAAGCUUGGGUUGAAGGUGAAGUCUCAACAUGUGUCAUGGGCUUUAUUUGGUAAAUUUAUUUUCUUUUCCCCUCUAGUUUUUGUGGAUGAUUUGACUUAUCGUCGACAAAUAAUACUGAUCUUGUCUAGAUACCGCCUUGGUUACACCGGCUCUCUAGUAUAAGGUUAUUAUUAUUUGGCACGAUAAGCCCUUAGCACCAUAUUGAUUAGAGCGUGGUUCAUGAUGUGUGGAUUCCCCCAUCAUGAUUUAAUUGGCAUUAAUACGGAUUAUUUAGCCCAUGAUGCAUGUUGAUACGGAUCCAGAUACCCAAGUACGUCAUUUCAAUAGAUUUCGCUUCAACUUAUUCUCGCCAUUGCAAUUCCAAUUUUAGAAUUUAUUAUCGCAAUUUCAAUUCCAAUUUUAGGAUAAUUUAAAUCACUUCCACCACAAUUCCAACCACCCAUUUUGCAAAAUUAAUUCUAUACACAAUUAAAAUCCACCUCCUCGUGGGAUCGACACUCGUCACCAUUGAUCUACACUACAAUAGAUUCGUGCGCUUGCGAGUUCAUUAAAAUUUGCACAACAGACAAAUAAUAAUAAUUUUGUCUAGAUACCGCUUUGGUUUCACCGGCUCCCUAAUACAAGGUUAUUAUUAUUUGGCACGAUAAGCCCUUAGCACCAUAUUGAUUAGAGUGUGGUUCAUGAGGUGUGGAUUCCCCCCUCAUGAUUUAAUUGACAUUAAUAAGGAAUAUUUAGCCCAUGGUGCAUGUUGAUAUGGAUCCAGAUACCCAAGUGUUUCAUUUCAAUAGAUUUAUCUUCAAUUUAUUCUCGCCAUUUUAAUUUAAGUUUUAGAAUAUUCCAAAUCAAUUUCACCAGAAAUCCAACCACCCAUUUACAAAAUUAAUUCUACACACAAUUAAAAUCCACCUCUUAGUGAGAUCGACACUUGUCACCAUUAGUCUAUUGUACAAUAGAUUCGUGCGCUUGCGAGUUCAAUAAAAUUUGCACAACAGUAAUGUCUAUGCAUAAUGAUCAUAACAGAAAAGAGAAUUCAUCUAUCACAUUUAUCAUUCCAACCCUCUCAAAAUACUAACUGAAGGAAAGGAGGAGACAAAUUUAACAAAAGCAAACCAAGGGGGAAAACUAGAGGAAAGCAAAACAGAUGACAUGCAUUUUUAAAACAUUUGGAUUCAUUCUCUUAACAAGUUAUCUAACACUUAAUACAUUUAGUACCUAUAGAAGUUAGACGAUGGCAAGAGCUUAGACCAUAAUAGCAAUUGAUGAAAUUUCAUUACGUAAAAUACCACUCAGUUUUGGUAAGACUGUUAUGUGUGCUCAAUAUAAGUCAUUUUGAUAUCAGUACACUAAGAUUUUUUUUCUUGAUAUGGCUGUUCAUGUAUAGAGAAGAUACCCCACUUUCUCUAAUAUCAAUGUUUCAAGCAUUUUCUUUCCUCAUAAGAUACCAUUUCGGAUAGUGUACAAUGCAAAGUAAAGAAUCCCAAAAAGGGCAGUUCACAUACCAUGUUACUUUCAAAAGAUGCUGUACAACAUAGACCCUCAUAAGGGACGCCAGCAGCCUGGGCUUGCAACCUUGUCUGAAGAUGAAGGCAGGAAAUCUAUUAGCUUUGUAGCUUCAUCAUGAAAUCUCAAAAGAUGAAGCAAUGUGAAGACUAGGAUUUCUGAAAAAAACUGGAGAAGAGAUAGAGGAUCCAUGCAACAAGCAUCACUCAAAUUUAGAAAAUAAUUGGGUGACUUUAGCCCACGUUUAAAAUAUUUAUAAUAAUUAGUAAAAGAAUAGUGAAAAGUAGCUGAAUAAAGAAAAUUUAAUUUUUCCAUCUUUUUGCUUCCUUUUCUUUCAUUCUCCGAAAGAAUCAUAGCUUCUCAAGGACUGAGAAUAAUGACACAACAUUUGGAUUUUAUUCUUGAGAUAAAGAGAAACAAUAAUUAACAUCUAUCCACAAUACCAUUCUCAAAAGUAGAAAAAAUAAUAAUAAUACUAACAAUAAUAAAAAAUAAUGAAAAUGACAAUUAAAGGGAAGAAAAUUUUUGAUAUAACAGACAAAAUUAGCAAUGAAUAAGUUAAAUAAAGAAAAAAUGAAAUGAAAAUUUAGGUGGAGUAGAGUCAUUAUAAAACCUUAGUGACAUCGAGAGGAUUAAUAAUAACGGCAGAAACAAUAGCAGCGCCGUUAGCAGAGAAAGCCCUUUCUGCAAACCCCAAACUGAAAUCUUUUAUGGCUUCUGAAUGUCGUAAAGCUUCCUCUUUAGACGAAGUCUCUGAUGAUACUGAGAUAGACAAAACGCUUCCCUCCAAAUCAACCCUAGUCGCCGCCAACCUGAAACGGAAUUAAGAAGCGGCAGCGAGCUGACUGAGGAGAUCGAAAAUACGCUUCUGAAAAGUAAAAUAAAUUGAACAAAUCUUGAAAAUUUGAACAAACACCCAUAAAUUUGAACAAUUUUUACAAAACAAGAAUCAUCAAAACCUAACUCUAGCAAAAAUUGAAAAUUAAAAAACAAAACAAACAAGAACAUCGAAAUCACACAAGCUAACCCUGAAUAGCGCGAACAAAUCAAAGCUUGAAAUUAUGAAAACACAAUUGAAAUCAUGGCAUAAUGGAUUCACAUAAGCGACGAGAAACAACAUGCAAAUGAGAAAUUGGACAUGAGGAGUGGCUAAGAGGCCGUUGUUGAAGAAGUGCUUGCUGUACCAGUGCUUCUUGCUGCUGCUGAUGCUGCUUCAACCUCUAGUACUGCAUUUUCCUUCAGAAUCGAAGGAUUUGUAAACUGUUUGUCGAAGGAUUUGUAAACUGUUUGGUUCCCAAGAAAAUUUCGUUAUGGUUUCUCGAGAAAAUGAAAUAAAAGAAAUAAACAAAGAAAACGAGAGACGAGAGAAGCAACGUUUUAUUUUCUAAGUGUGUAUUCGUUUAAUACUUAGGGAAAAAAAAAAGGAAGAAAUAAAGUUUAAAGUACCCAAAACGGUACAGUUUUGCUAGCAUUUUUUCUUAAUUAUUAAAAACCACCUUUUGUUUUUUAAAUAAAAUAAUAUAUAAAAUUUGAGUCAAAUAUAGUCAAAGUAAUUUUUCUAUCAUAAUUUCUUGAUAGAUUAAAUUUCUAUCACGAUUCUAUCAUAAGUUCGUGAUAAAUGAUAAUCAUAUCAUAAAGUCAUCAUAUAUUCAUGAUAGAAAAUAUUUCUAUCACAAGACCAUCAUUAAUUAAUGAUAGAUUGAAAAUUAUGUCAUAAGUUUAUCAUAAUUUUAUGAUAUACCUAGAAUCUGUCAUAAGUUGUUUGUCAUCUAUUAGCAAUUUUCUUGUAGUAUUCAAAAUGAAUAACUUUAUUCUACCAUCUCUCAAAUAAUAAAAACAUCAACAGCACAUCAUCGUCAUCAAUAAUAAUAAUAAUAAUAAUAAUAAUAAUAAUAACAACAACAACAACAACAACAAUAAUAAUAAUUUAACUUUGUAGGAUGGAGCUCUCGCAAAUCUUCAAGACACAAAAUGUGCUUGGCCCCGUUGUUGUUAUUAUAAUUUCAAAAUGACUUGAAUUAUAUAAAAUUUGGGAAUAAGACAUAGCAAAAUUGAUGGUACAUAUGUUGCAAUAUACUUGUUCAUGUAGCGACACAUUAAAGUAAAGCAAAACAAUAUACUUGUUCACUCAUUAUGUAGAUUUUCAAUAGAAGUAAUGCAAAUUUCACAAGGGCAAUGGCCUUAUUUCGAAUGUUGCACUUGUGGAAUGACAUGAACCUUCGAUACGUCACAAAUGUAUCAUGAAAGUGUGAUAAAUUUGUGACAUAUAUAUAUAUGUUCAGAGUUUAUAGCAUAUUCAUGACUUAUAAUUUAACUAACAUAAAUAAAUGAUAGAUAUAAGUGAUGCUCAAGUUUUGUGGAUUUAUAAUAUCUUAAAAUGAUGACUAUUUAAACGACAAGUGUUGAAUAAACCCCUCUCUCGCCGCAACCUAAAAUCAAUGAACUUUGAGCCAUUCUCAACAACAUUGUGUAGAACCCUAGCCCUAACCCUCACUUCCACCACCGAUAAAGCUAAGAAAGUUUUCCGUAUAUCAGAACCAUGGCGAAUUGCCUUCAGCUCGUAGGACCCAUAAUAAAUCUUGUAGUCCCUCGCUUUCACUUUGCUAAUUUUUUGUAUUAUUCCAUCUCUUUCACUUUAAUAACCCAAAAUCUUUCUCUGUUUCAAUUGAAAGAAGACCCUAGCUUAAAUUAAGUUGAAAUUUACGUAUCAAAGCUCUCGCUCAGCUUCCCUCCUUCAAUUGAAACAAAACGAAGCCAUAAGACCCCAAUAUGCCACGCCCUUUUGUCUCAGGCCAACAUUCAUUUAAACCCUACCUUUUGGUUCAAUGCCAUUUAAUGCGAUUGCAGAUGCCGUUUCAACUCAUUAUUUAGUUAACGCCAUUCAGUUCUUUGCGGUAAGCCUUAACCCUAAUAACUAAUCAACUGUGGUAGCACGUUGCUGACUGGGGUGGGAAUACAUUAAUUGAAUAUAUGAAUUGGGUGAUGUCAGUGAUUCAUCCCCCUAUUUGCCGUGAAUUGAGAUUUGUGUAUAAUGUUUGUAAGAUUGUUAAAAAUUUCAUGUUCCAGUCGAAUUUCUUGCUUGUGGAAGAUAAAACAAAAGUUUAAUCUAUAUAUAUAUAUAUAUAUAUAUAUAUAUAUAUUAUCUUCUUUAUAGUCAGGCUCUGGCUUUGCUGCUAUGCUUAGAGCAGUUCAUGGUUUCAAGAUUAAAUUAGGUUUAUUUGACGACAUCGAUAUCUUAUCUAGCUCUGCUUGAAAAUGAAAAUGUUUUACUAGCAAUCAUAGACUUUGUUUAUUCAGUUGAUAUUUUAAUUAUACGUAUAAGAAUGAAGGUUUAUUUGGGAAAAAAAGAAAUAAAGAAAUAGGCUCUGUUGAAGCUAAUUAAUACUUCAUUCUUUCUAUACGUGCGACCUGUGGUGGAAACAUGAUAUGAGAAUGUGUUACUGGUGAGGUUGCUGCUUGAGAUGAGAAUGAUGAGAAUGCCUUCUAUUCGGAAAUCCUUGGUAGGUAUUAUAUAAUUAUAUUUGAUGGAAUAUUAAAUAGCUAAAGAACCUGUGAUAAUGUCUUUGUUCAAUGGUUACUGUAGUAGUGUUUGUUGGUCUUUUUCUGGUUGGCGUUUGGAUGUUAAUGUCAUCAUCAGUUGUACUGGUGUGGGAUCCAGGAUGUUGUCCUCUUAAGAGCCUAUAAGCAAAGUGAAACAGAGAGGAUCUGAGAUUUUUCUGGGCCUUUCGUAGAAAAUCAAGGUGAUGAAUGACAGGAUUCAACAAAUGGGGAUGGGGAUGAUGUUCCUGUUGAAAAGUUAGAGAAUAGAGUGGAGGAUAAUCACGAAGAGAUGAAUAUGUAUGAGGGUGAUGGUGAGACGAGUGAAUCUAAGAAUAUGGUUAAUCAAAACCAGGAAGAGAAUUUAGUGAAGGAGAGUUUUGAUGAGAAUACUGAGUCUGAAGAGGAAUCUAAGGCGGUGUCUAAAAAUUACAAUGUUAGAAAAAGGGAAGAUAAGGAAUCUAAAAGUGAAGGUGGAGAUUCAAAUUCAGAAGCUGGAGAAACAGAAGGCGGCGAAUUGAAUAAAAUUGAGCAAAUUGAAUCAGAGAAUAGCUUGGAUGAAAAUAAAUGGAUGAGGCUAAUCAGAUUGAAAAGGAGAAGGAUUCUCAAGAUCAAGAUAAUGACACUGAGAGCCGUUGAAAGGAUCAGGCUUCAACUGAGAUUUUUCCUUUUGGUGACUAGUCAGAAAUUCUGAAGGAAACUAAUGCUCAGAAUGGGGCUUGCUCAACUCAACCUAUUGAGUCAUAGAAUCAGAAAAUAUCACAACAAUCUUCUAUAUCUAAGGACCAGUAUGGUCAUCGUUGGAAAGUGUGUAAUGCCACUGCUAGGCCAGAUUGCAUCCCUUACCUGGACAAUUUGCAAGCAAUUAGAAUGCUUUCCAGCACAAAAGCAUUAUGAACAUCGAGAGAGGUAUUGCCCUGAAGAAACUUGUACCUGUAUUGCUCCUUUACCGGAAGGAUACAAACACUCAAUUAAGUGGCCCCAAAGCAGGGAUAGGGUAUGAUCUUAUAUUAUGCAUUAUAAAAUAUAUACUUGACUACUUUUAAUUCACUUGGGCUAAGAUUUGUUCUCAUGCUGUGUGGGAUAGAUUUGGUAUUAUAAUUUUCCCCACACAAAGCUUGCAGAAGUUAAGGGUUAGCAAAAUGGGGUUAAAGUUACUGGUGAAUACCACAUUUUUCCAGGUGGCAGAAUUGAAUUUGAGAAUGGUGCUCUUCAUUACAUUGACUUCAUUCUGAAGGUGAGCAUUUUUCAUUUAUCAUUUUAUGUCUGUUGUUAGCUUCAAUUAAUAUGUGGCUUAUUCUUUUCUUUGUAUGAACCAUGGGCGGUCCAUUUCAUUUUAUAAGCUAUUUCUUGGGUUUUAGCAAGACAAAUAAUAAGAUUUGUGCUGUUUUUGUUUUAUGCGUCUAUAUAAAUUGUGUGCGCGCAUAUCAUACUAGGGGAGUAUUGCUUUAAUGCUAUAUACAGUCAAGGACACACGGUGGGUCACAUUCUGACUCGUUUCAAUGCUUCUUUUAUAAAUAUUUACUUGUAUAUAUUUUGUAGUACUUUUAGAGAUGUACUCUGCACUGGAUUUUUUAAGUGCUUUUAAUGUAGCCUACUGUCUUUGUCUUUAUCUCUCUUUUUGUGAAACUGAAAGGUUCAUAUAAUUUUUUAGAAACCAGUAAUCUUACAAAAAAUUUUAACCUGUUAAUUAAUGCGGUUUCAUUAUCUUGAAAAAUUUUCAAGCGUGCUUGCUUUUUUCUUUUCUUUCUUUUGAAAUAAUUGUUGAUAUUCCCCUUCUCUUCUAUCAAGUUUCUGAUUCUCUAAAGCCCACAUUAUUUUUGUCUUUCUUUAUACAGGCCUUUAUCAUUUAUUGGCCAGCACCCUUUCCUCGGUUUUAUAUAAGAAUGUAAUUUCGCCGGAAUCUGCCAAAAACCGUGUACUAUUGUCAACAACAAAUCAGAAUUCCAUCUCCACCUCCUGACAAACCAUGCGUCACCACCUGCUUAGGAAUCCGAAGCCUUUGCUGGUGUUGAUAGUAUGUUCUCUCUCUAUCUCUGUUUUUUCCUCAGUUGAGCAUUUAAAACAACAUCAUACUCAUCAUAUACCCUGUUUGGAUUCCUUGAAAUAAUAUUUUUUUUAAUUUUUAUUGUUAUUUUGAAUUGUUUUCUACAUAUUUUGAAUCAGAGUUGUUUGAGUAAAAUUUAAAUAUCAAUAUUACCGAUACGUGCCUAAUCUCAACUUCUUACCUUAAUAGCUUACUCACCUGUGCUUUUUUUUUCUCCCCCCUUUUAAGAAUUCAAAAGCUAUAUUAUGGAUUUUUGUUUUUGUUGUUUAUUGUCAUGAAGUAGGAGUGGGCAGAAAAUUGAAGAACUGUAUCAGAUUCCGUUUGAUAUUUGAUUCGGUUGUGCAAUAACCUAAAUUGGACAGUUUCAUUUCGGUUGGGAUGAAUGAAAACCGAAACCGAACCAAUAAUAAAAUUAACAAGCAAACCAAAUGAAAGUCCCAAAACAGUAACAAAACAAACACGUUGUGGUUUCUUAUCAAAUUUCACAGCACGACAUGGUCAUUCUCUUUGGUAAAAAAAUAGAAAAAAGAAUAAUGGGUCUCGAAAAUUUUUUAGAGCAUUUCUGUCGCUUACAUUUUUUUUCCAUCGAUUAAUGUUAGUUGUAGGUGAAUGAUUGUUGCAAAUGCAUGUUAGCUUGUGAUUGAUUGAAAAUGGCUUGUGAUUUGUUAUGCUGCCGUGUGACAGAUUGAAAAUGGCUCUGAAAUUUUUUUAUUUGUUUAAGGUAUUACUGCUGAUUAUUGAACAGAGAUUCAUGCUAGAUUUUGUUAAAUUGAAGAUGAGAUUUUUUUUAGGAGAUCUGCAAAACCUUCUCUACUAUAGAUUUGGCUUCUAGCAUACCUGGUUGGCUGGAAAUAAUUGUUUAUACAGUCAUUGCUGCCUAUAUUAAUCAGGAAUAUUGAUUAGCAAUGUACUGGGUUAGAGAUUGGUAUAAUUUUGGAAAAUUAGUUGUAGAUGCAACUAGGGGUGGCAAUAUGGGUCAGGAUUUGUUUAUUCGAUUCGAUUUGAUGCGAAUUAAAUGGGUUUGGGUUUGAAAAAAUUGAUUCGUUUAAUAAAUGGGUGAAUUCGAUUUGAUUCGCUAAUUAAACGAAUCGAAUGCGGGUUUGAAGAUUUUGAUUCGUUUAUUCGUUUAGGAUUCGUUUAAUAAACGGGUCAUAAACGAAUCGAAUAUAGGUCGAUUCGUUUAAAAUUUAUUUAUUAUUUGUUUAAUUAAAUUACUUUUUAUCCUUAAAUUUAUUUAAAAACUUUUUAAAAUAUCAAGGUUAAUAUUGUAAUUUUAAGCAUAACUCAUAAAGCCAAAAGAUCAACCCUAAUUUUACACUUCAUUUCCAUCUCCAAAUCCUUUUCUUUUUCUUUUUAAUUUUUGCAUCCAGCAAGUGCUACGUUUUGCCACUGCUCCAAAUCCUUGGAUUUGUGUGAGUGUGAUAAGUAAAAUUUUAUCUUGUUUAAUUAUUAUUUCCUUUAAAAUAUUACAAAUUUACUAUAUAUUUGAUAUUUUUGAAAUUUUACAAUGAUUAUUAUCAAUAUUGCAGUAUGUUAGAUUGUUAAUAACAUUUUAUUUACUUUUUGGUGUAGGAUUUUGUUUUCAAGGUGAAAAAGACAAAUGAAGAGAAUUAAAGAAAUUACCUUACUUUAUAAUUUGAAUUUGAAUUAUUAUUAUUUGUAUUAUUAGGGAUUUAUAAUUUGGUAUUUAGAUGACUGCAUAAUAUGGUUUGAGUUAUUUGUAUUUUGUUGUGGGAUGUUAAACUUGUGAUUUUUUUAUAUUUUAUUUUGCUUAAUUUUAUUUAUUAAUUAUAUUUUUCUAAACGAAUUGUAAACGAAUCCUGAUUCGGUUCGAUUCGUUAAGGAUAAACGAAUAAUAAACAAAUCCAGACUCGAUUCGAUUCGAUUCGUUUAUCAAUUAUUUUAAACGAAUUAAACGAAUCGAACCGAAUAUUCGUUUAAUAAACGAAUCGAAUCCGAAUCCUGAAAUUUCAAUUCGUUUAAUAAACGAAUCGAAUCCAAAUCCUCAUAAUUUUGACCCAAUUAGUUUACGAUUCGAUUCGUUUAUUCGUUUUGCCACCCCUAGAUGCAACCUGAUUAUGGUCUCAAAUAGUGUGAUCUGUCAAUUUUGUUUGCUCUGGCCUAAUAACCUUGAAUAUGAGCUAUGCCACUAUACAAAGUCUGACCUAAUCACACUUGUUAGCCAAUGUCCAAAAUUGCAGUGUCUUUAGAUAAGUCCUGUCUUUUUUGUUUGAGUUAUAAAUGAAAAUUGCAGUGUCUUUGGAAAAAUCACGCUGAAUGUUCAAGUUAUUGACGAGAGGAGACCCCCAGAUUCAAGGGCGGAGCUCCCUGUUAAGAAGCUUUACAUAUAUAGGAUUGUCGCCUGGCAGAGGAUUGAUAUGCCUGGUUUUGUUGUUUGGAAAUAUGGAUGAAGAUUUUGCAUUGAGGCUUUUUUGAUAGAUCAUUUGGCAAAUCAAGCUCCAUGUAUCUAUCUUCAGACUCUUGGAUAUUUAUAAAGCAGGUGCAUGCUCCAUAUGUUACUUAAUGUAUCACGAUUAUUUUUCUAUUGCUUAAUAUAUUUGCAGUCCUUGAUGAAGUUGAGGACAACUUAUGGAGGGUAUACAGAGGCUCAAGAGCUCGAUCGCCAUUCAUUUUACACUGGGCUGGGCUAUAGCAUACCAACUAGUGAUUAAUAAAGAGAAGGUAUGAAGGUCAUGUUGCUGGUGGUAGUAUCAAUCAGAAUUGUUAUUUUACUUAGUCAUACUUACCAUGUAUACUAAUCGUAGGCUUUUUUCAUUUUCAUGCAUUCGCAUCAUCUUCUGGUUAAGCUACAGAUGGUUGAUUUGUGUACUCAUUUGUAUCACUUGUAGCUCUUGAGGAAUAAAAUUUAAAAAUUAUGUUGCAUCUCUUGUACUAAAUAGUAAUUUUUGUUGGCUUUAUGUAUGGGAAAUGGUUUGUUGUCUUAUUUCUUUGAUGUGUAUGGUGUUACAUUGUCUAAAGUUAAGAAGUAUUUCUAUCACUUGUGUAAAAAACAACCUACUUUUUUCAUUCUUCUUAUAUUGAAUAAAAGAGGGACACCAAGAUUGAACGAAAUUUGAUUCAGAAAGCAUAGCAAUUAGGCCAGUGCAAAACAGCUUCCUUCUGAUUCUUUGAUAUUUGACUUAAAUCUUUUGUUUAUUUCAUUUAUCAAAGUCAUUUUGGAAAGUAACGGGGGUGAUUUGAUAUUUUAAUUGCAUUCACAUCCCUUGGCACCAAAACAAACAUGCUGGUACUAACCAAUAAUUUUUUAUUUUCAGUAUACAAAUUAUUUUUUUCUAAAUUAGGGGUAUUAAGAAAAGGUAUAUUAGCACCAGGGGAGGUAUUUGAGAAUACACAAAUAUAAUCUAUUAAACUAAGGUGGCAUUUGUUUUUUAAUUUAAUGACUUAAAGUGACUUAAUUAAUUAAGUUAAUUAGAGGUGUUUGUUUUAUAACUUAAUGAGAUUUUUUAGAUAAUUUAGACUUAAUAAAAUAAGUUAAUUUUUUUUGGCUUUUUUACUUAAUAGAGACAUUUGAAUUAAGUCAAUAACUUUCUAAUGUCAAAAAUAUCCUUGUUUUUAAUUUAUUCUUCAUGCCUAUUCCAAAAUUCACCCAUAGACAUUUAACUCCACAUAAUAAUCUCAUCAUUAUUUUUUUUAGCCGUCAUGAAAUCCCUCCUCACUUGAUAUCAACUCCUCGAGUAUUGAAGAUCAAAAUUACAUGCGAGAAUUUUGAGAUGAAAUGGCAAAUCAACUGUUUCAAGCAUUUUAUUAGUUUUUUUUUCUUAUAUUAUAUACGAUAAAAUUUGAAAUUUAUGAUAUUUUAUAUAUUAAAAUUUCAAAAUCAAUUAUGUAUUCACUUGAAUAUAAUUUUACUUAUAAACGUUAAAAUAUUGUGGUAUUUAAUAUAUUAUUUAUUUUGACAUUCAAAUUUAGUAAGGAUACAAAUGUAAAAGUACAUAUUUCAGUUUUUUAAGUUGAAAAAAACAUAAUUAUAUAAUUAUUUUUCAAGAUUCAAACGAAAAAACAAACAUAUUAUUCUGAUUCAGACAUUCAGAUCUAUUCAGAAUUCAGACUAAUUCAGGUCUAUUCAGAUUUUAAACAAAAAAUCAAACACCACCUAAGAAUAUGCCAAACUUCAGGGGAGGUUUCUGAUAAAUCUCUUUUUCUUUUUCCUCCAUUCACCAUAGGUUCAAUUUAGAAACUGUUGACCAAACGGAAGGUUUAGGUUGGUAAACGCACUAAGUGCCUGUUUGGUAUGGCUUAUUCAAGAGCCAUAAAUGCUUAUUUAAUCGCAUAAGCACUUUUUUAAAUUUUUAUGGUGUUUGGUUAUUUUUUUUAGUAGAGUUUUUUAGCUUAAAUAAGCUAAUUUACCUCUACUAGUAAAAGCCCAAAAUUUAAGCUUUUGGGAGUAGAGGUUAGAGAGCUUUUAAAAAAAUAUAUAUAAUAUAAAAAAAUAUCACACAUUUUAAUGGUUCAAAAGUGUUUUUUUUAUUGACAACCAAACACCUAAUGACUUUUUAUCCAAAAGCUCUAUGGUAUAAGCUCUACUGCUAUAAACUCUACUGUUAUAAGCUCUAUUUAAUAAGCUGUACAAACGGAGCCUAAGUGUUAAUGUCAACAACCCAAGGGGCUUCAUGGUCCUCUGGGCCGAAAUAAUUAUUAAUUCUCCUCUAGUGAAAAUCUUCAUCUUGGGACAAAUAAUUACAAAUUGACAUUAUAGCUGUGGAAAUUUGGAGGUGUAAUUACCGGAAAUUACAUCUAUUUCAAUUUGCUAAAAGUAAUGGUAUCAUUUCUUGUAUGGAAAAUGGAUGAUUAGAUUUUCUUUUUUGUUAUCCGACGAAGGAUAUUCAGUUGUUCUUUUUUGUUCAUAGGCAAGAGCAUGAGCAUAUGCAUAUUUAAUAUAUGCUUCUUGCAUUUUCUAAUUAAGUGCUCUCUUUCCUUGCCUUCUUAGUUUUGAAAGAAAGUUGUGAAGCAAAGCAAACCCAGUGAAAUACACAGAGCAACAGAACCAUCAGAGGAAAAACUAAAUAACAGAACUACAAUUGAACCAAACAAAAUCAAUAAACCGAGGCAACAGAUGCCCUGAAUCAGGCAUCCCUUUUUCUCCAAAGAAAAUAUUUUGCAUGGGUGGGAACCUAGUAAUUGUUGGGGAAAAAUUAGGUUUUUAAAUUUUUAUAAAACCUUUUGAAGAUCGCUCUCAUAUAAUAUAUAAGAAUUUGUAUUCUAGAAAUCGUACCUUGAAAAUUUGAGUUUGCUUUUUCCGCUGAAGUGAUUUAGGCUCCUAGAUCACGAUCCGCCACCACCACUCCUGUUAGAUCACGAUCCGUCACCACCACGCUUGUUAGAUCACGAACUGUCUCCAAUGAUUUUCCAGAUUAUGACUCAGGUUCGAUCUGCACUUGACGUGUGGGCGCCUUUAUCACUACCAAAGCAACUAGCACGAUAAAAUUUUCUCUCAACAAUAGAGAGAAAAAUCUUAUUCUCCGAUUUGUAUAAAGUGGCUUCUCUUAUUCUUUAGAGAAAAUAGCCUUUUAUAUCACCCUUUAGUGAAAACCUUAGGCUCCAAAUAAUGCCCUAAAUAAAUCACGUUACUUUCUUUUUCAAUAGGGGACCCACCUUGUAAAAUACAUAAGGCCCCUUAUACAAAAGCUAAUUAAAUGGAGCCUCCCACUAAAUGAUAUAUUUAGGCUUUUGACCCAAAUAGCUAGUUAUCUUACUUAUUAGUCCAGUAGUGGUGCAGUCAAUUAAAUGAGCUAACCCGGGGAUCAUUUGGGAACAUACAAUAGUGGCUACAAUAAUUAGGCCUGUAAUUAAACUAGCCCAAAUAUUUAAUUCCAAAUCUACUCCACUAAAAGAUUGGAACUGACUUCCAUAAUUGUAUGCUCGAAUAAUAAUUCGUCCCAAGCCACAUUGAUUUCUUUACUGCACAAUCCUUUGUACCACAUCGUUAAUUAAAUUGAUAUCUCAACUGUCCAAUCAAUUUAAUAACAUCUUAUUCCUUGAUCCUUACUGGUUUUCUAAUGAUCAUUUCAACAUACUAAAUAUGUUGACACACUCUGGCCAGAGAAUUCUAUGAUCAAGUGCCGAAAACCCAUCAAGAGAUGUAGAAACUGUUGACCAAACGGAAGGUUUAGGUUGGUAAACGCACUAAGUGCCUGUUUGGUAUGGCUUAUUCAAGAGCCAUAAAUGCUUAUUUAAUCGCAUAAGCACUUUUUUUAAAUUUUUAUGGUGUUUGGUUAUUUUUUUAGUAGAGUUUUUUAGCUUAAAUAAGCUAAUUUACCUCUACUAGUAAAAGCCCAAAAUUUAAGCUUUUGGGAGUAGAGGUUAGAGCUUUUAAAAAAUAUAUAUAAUAUAAAAAUAUCACACAUUUUUAAUGGUUCAAAAGUGUUUUUUUUAUUGACAACCAAACACCUAAUGACUUUAUCCAAAAGCUCUAUUGGUAUAAGCUCUACUGCUAUAAACUCUACUGUUAUAAGCUCUAUUUAAUAAGCUGUACCAAACGGAGCCUAAGUGUUAAUGUCAACAACCCAAGGGGCUUCAUGGUCCUCUGGGCCGAAAUAAUUAUUAAUCUCCUCUAGUGAAAAUCUUCAUCUUGGGACAAAUAAUUACAAAUUGACAUUAUAGCUGUGGAAAUUUGGAGGUGUAAUUACCGGAAAUUACAUCUAUUUCAAUUUGCUAAAAGUAAUGGUAUCAUUUCUUGUAUGGAAAAUGGAUGAUUAGAUUUUCUUUUUUGUUAUCCGACGAAGGAUAUUCAGUUGUUCUUUAUUUGUUCAUAGGCAAGAGCAUGAGCAUAUGCAUAUUUAAUAUAUGCUUCUUGCAUUUUCUAAUUAAGUGCUCUCUUUCCUUGCCUUCUUAGUUUUGAAAGAAAGUUGUGAAGCAAAGCAAACCCAGUGAAAUACACAGAGCAACAGAACCAUCAGAGGAAAAACUAAAUAACAGAACUACAAUUGAACCAAACAAAAUCAAAUAAACCGAGGCAACAGAUGCCCUGAAUCAGGCAUCCCUUUUUCUCCCAAAGAAAAUAUGUUUGCAUGGGUGGGAACCUAGUAAUUGUUGGGAAAAAUUAGGUUUUUAAAUUUUUAUAAAACCUUUUGAAGAUCGCUCUCAUAUAAUAUAUAAGAAUUUGUAUUCUAGAAAAUCGUACCUUGAAAAUUUGAGUUUGCUUUUCCGCUGAAGUGAUUUAGGCUCCUAGAUCACGAUCCGCCCACCACUCCUGUUAGAUCACGAUCCGUCACCACCACGCUUGUUAGAUCACGAACUGUCUCCAAUGAUUUUCCAGAUUAUGACUCAGGUUCGAUCUGCACUUGACGUGUGGGCGCCUUUAUCACUACCAAAGCAACUAGCACGAUAAAAUUUUUCUCUCAACAAUAGAGAGAAAAAUCUUAUUCUCCGAUUUGUAUAAAGUGGCUUCUCUUAUUCUUUAGAGAAAAUAAGCCUUUUAUAUCACCCUUUAGUGAAAACCUUAGGCUCCAAAUAAUGCCCUAAAUAAAACUCACGUUACUUUCUUUUUCAAUAGGGGACCCACCUUGUAAAAUAACAUAAGGCCCCUUAUACAAAAGCUAAUUAAAUGGAGCCUCCCACUAAAUGAUAUAUUUAGGCUUUUGACCCAAAUAGCUAGUUAUCUUACUUAUUAGUCCAGUAGUGGUGCAGUCAAUUAAAUGAGCUAACCCGGGGAUCAUUUGGGAACAUACAAUAGUGGCUACAAUAAUUAGGCCUGUAAUUAAACUAGCCCAAAUAUUUAAUUCCAAAUCUACUCCACUAAAAGAUUGGAACUGACUUCCAUAAUUGUAUGCUCGAAUAAUAAUUCGUCCCAAGCCACAUUGAUUUCUUUACUGCACAAUCCUUUGUACCACACGUUAAUUAAAUUGAUAUCUCAACUGUCCAAUCAAUUUAAUAACAUCUUAUUCCUUGAUCCUUACUGGUUUUCUCUAAUGAUCAUUUUCAACAUACUAAAUAUGUUGACACACUCUGGCCAGAGAAUUCUAUGAUCAAGUGCCGAAAACCCAUCAAGAGAUGUGUUGUACAAAUUCUAUAUUGUUAAUCCAUAACUCCAAUACUCAUAAUUGCUCCCACCAAGAUACCGGGUACUCUGACCACAAUGAUGUGUCGUGCCCAUUGGUAACUCAAAUGGAAUACAAUUACAAUCAUGAAAUCAUAAUUAACUCAAGAUUAAGAUUACAGUAAAAUCAACGCCUAUGAGAUUUAAUAAGUCUGACAGUUAUUACAAAGUUAAUUAAAUCUCAUAUGUGAUCCUGUUCAAUGUAGUCGUACUACAUCAAUAAAUUCAUACAUGAUUAAGACAAAUCAUUCAAUGAAUUUAUUACAGUCUAUACCUAAAUAAAGUGCCCAACUUUAUUUAUCAACUGCGAACUAAAUUUAUUUAAUCAUAAGAUAACUUGUAUUUAUGUCUUCUGUGAAUCCACAUGGUGAUCACAUAAAUACAUAUAAUAUGAUUAAAUGAACUUUUAAUACAAGUAUUAAUGCAAUUAAGAUAUUUGAAUAAAAUACCUCAUUUAUUUAUUAAUCAGAAAAAUUGUUUAUUACAAUUAAAUAAACACAUAUGCUUUAAAAGAGCAUAUUUUCCAACAAUCUCCCACUAGCUCUCAAAGCAUAUCUAGCAUAUUGCUCAUGCUCUAGGGCUCUAAGUGCAGGUUAUAAAGGUUUCCCACUAAUGGCCAUUGUAAUAAGAUCUGCCAUUUAGCAUCUAAUGCCAUUUGGGGUACUGUCAAGUGACCCUUCUGUCCACAUUUGUAACACUUGCCUUUUGGCUUGCCACUUCUUUUAAUGGACAGUUUGCCGAUCCCAACUCUUGCUUGCUCAUUCUUGUCUUUCGACUUAAGCCUUGAAGAGAAUCCUUUUUCAGGAAGUUUUCUGCUAUUAUAAAAUUCUUCUAUAGCAUGUAGUUCGUGCAUUAAUUCAAUUAAGGUCAUAUCUUUAUUGUUAAGAUAUAGCUGACCUUAAACUCUUUGAAUGUAUCAGGUAAAGAUUCAAUCACCAUGUUAAUCUUUGAUUUAUCAUUGAUUUGAACACCAUGAAUCUCUACCUCAUUCAAAUAGUCCAUCAUUUUGAGGACAUGAUCACGAACUUUUGUGCCCUCUUCCAUCUUAGUAUCCAUAAUACGUUUUAAUGCUGCUUCUCUGGCAAAAUGGGUAUUUUGCCCAAACAUCUGAUGAAGACUAGCCAUUAUUUCAGUGGCUGUUUCCAUGCUCCGAUGUUUCUUAUGCAGUUCCAUAGAAAUCGAAGCCAAUAUAUAGCGCUUAGCCAUUUUGUUAGCUUCGCACCAUUUCUCAUAAGGCUCCCUCUGAUUUCUAUAAUCGUAUAACGAUGGUUCAGGAGGGCAAGGCUGGGUCAACACAUAUUUGCUUCCUUUAGCAGUGAGAUAUUAAAUAGAUUGCGUUUCCAAUCUAAAUAAUUUUCGCCAGUGAGUUCAUUUUUAACAAGGAUAAAUAAUAAUGGGUUGAUGGAAGACAUUUUCUGAAAAAAAUAAAAUACACAUGCAUAAAUACUUUGAAACAAUAUUCACAAUAAAUGACAAAAAUGCAAAAAACCAUAAAUGCAUUUUAAUUUAUUGUAACGAUAAUCUAGUACCGCUUCGACAAGCUAUUCGUUGGGGAAGUCAUGUCUACACUUACUAGACCCAAUUAUCCAUUGGAUUAUUUCAUUUCACAUGAUAAAUAAUUAUCGUUAUCCCUUUGGACCUAAAUUUGUUAACAGAGCUUCGUUGGGAAGGUUAAUAACAAACUUUUAGUUGAGUGUAUAACCAUUGUUUCAAUCUACGUAUUUUUCAUAUCAAUAGUCACCGUUGGGGUGAACAAUCGAUUGAAAAAUAUUUCAAUUUUAUCUUUGAAGAAGUUCAUCAAAUAAAAUAUCUAAUAUAUAUACCCUCGAAGGAGCAUCACCGUAUCAUGAAGUCGAGGUAUAUAUAUAAUUUUAUUAUUGAACUAACAAUGGAGCCCGUGGGAAAAUUAUCUUGAAUUUUCCCUCUCCCACUCAAUAUUUUAAAAUUGGUUUUUCCUUUUUAAAACAUACAUAUUGUUAAUUGCAUGCUUCCUAUAAUAUUAUCUAGAUGAUAUCAAAUUAUUAAGCAUACGCAAAUUUCAAACAAUAUAAUGAAAUUCAUUAUUAAUGAAUGACAUGUAUCAUUAUGCAUAGAGUGGCACUACCUAUUCUAUAUGACAUGUUAUCAUGGCAUGUAAUCAUCCAAAACAUAACAUAUAGAAAAAAUAAUUAAAUAAUCUUAAUUCAUGGCUUUCCUAAUAAUGAAAAAUACAUUAACCCUAAGCCUAAUCUUCAUUGGGCUUCUUGUCAAUAUCCAUCUUCCAUAGCUUGUCUUUGUUGAUGGACUAGGGGAAAUUGAGCUUUUAAAUUUAUAAUUGGUCCAAUUUUAAUUUGGAAAGAAAAUAAAUAAUUAAAAUUAAAAUUUAUUAAAAUAAAACUUUUGGACCAAAAAUAAAUUUAAUAUAUUCAAUUUUAUCUAUGCAUUUUAAUCCAUUAAGCCCAAUUGAAAUUGGGCCUAAAACUAGGAUUCAUUAAGCCCAAAACUAUUUUUGGAUUUAAACGCAAAAAAUUAAAAAUGUUUCUGCCCAACUGAAAAAAUAUGAAACUAUAGGGACCUCCACGAUAAAAACCAUGAAACCCUAAAAUCACAUUUUCUUUUCCUCCUCUUCCCUAGCCGCCACCAGCACAAAAACCCAGCCGUUGUUUACUGUUUCCACACCGGACAGCCGUCAUCAACGCCGGAAAGACGCCAACCAAAACGCUCCGCGCCUUCAGCCCACGUUCACGCUGUUGCUUGGGUGCUGCAGCUGCUGCUCGCGCGCUGCGGUUGCUGCUGUGCAGCGCGCGCUGCAGCUGCUGCGUGUGUAGCUCGCGCUGCUAGCAGCGUGGCUGCUGGCCGCUGCGCGUGCAGCGCGCGCUGCUGGCAGCAUGUGCUACUGGCCGCGCGCUGCUCGCACAGCAGCUUGUGCUGCUGGCCGCUCGCUGCUGCGUGUGCUGGUUCGUUGCUGCAGUUUCCGGCCUCGAUUGUUUGCGCUCGUUUUCCAGUGAUGAUGCUUCGGUGAUUUACAAAUUUUCAACGCAAAUUUUUGCUUACAAAAUUUCAAUUACAGUAAAAUAAAUCAAGAGAGAAUUAUGGUGAUAAAAAACCACCCCUCUUGUUACAGAUCCAAACGAAAAAUACAAUAGAAAAUCUAACAAUGAAUUAACUGCGUUUACUUUUUGGAUUGGAGUGGGAAUCCUGAGGAAUGGGAAUCCUUGGAUUAGGAGUGUGGAGUGGGAGUGGGAGUAGGGUGUUUACUUAGACUAAAUGAAAGUAUGGAUUGUCAAUUAGAAUUCCAAUUAUUUGUUUACUUUGUCUUGGAUUGGGAGUAAAUUGUUUUAAAUUACAAUUUUAUCCUUAUGUACAGAAUUAUAAUUUGUAAUUAAAAAUUAAUAAAAAAUAUAUUUGGAAAAUAAAUAAAUAUUUUAUUAUAUUUAUAAAUUAUUAAUAAUUACUAAUAUUCUUAAUUAUGUAAAUCAUAAUUUUUUAUUAAUUUUAAUUUAAAUUAUGUGAAUAAAAAUUAUUAAUAAUAGCAACACAAAUGGAAUAUUAUUAUUGAUAAUAUAGUACAAAAUUAAUAUUUUUAGAAUAAAAUAUUUAUUAUUAUUAAUAAAUAAAUAAUUAAUUAAUAUUUAUUAAAAUUAAUGUUUUUAUUAUUAAUUUAAAUAUAAUAUUAUUUAUUUUUAUUUAUUAAUUUUAUAAAAAAAAAUAUGAAUAUAUAUUUUUUAAUAAAUAUGAUAUUAUUUAUUUUAUGAAAUUUAUUUAUUUAUUAAAUAUUAUUUAUUUAUUAAAAUAUUAUUUAUUUAUUUUAAUUUUAUAAGGAUAAAAUGGGAAGAGGGGGAGUGGAUUCCCACUCCCUCCCCCAAUGGGAGUGGGAAUCCCACUCCCCACUCCAAAUUUAGGUGGGACCCGGAUUCCCACUCCCACUCUCCCUAUUUUUAAAGUAAGUAAACACUGGAGUGGGAGGAAUCCACACUCCACACUCCCACUCCAGAAAGUAAACACUACCUUAAGACAAACCAUAAACAUGCUUUAUUCAUAUAUUAAACAAAUAAUAUAUAUCUGAAUAAAUUGUGCCACUCUAAUACAUAAAUUUCAAGAUUAAUUUCAUACGAAAUUCUUAUUUAUUAAUAUGAGAUGGCUCUGAUACCAAUUGUUAGGGAAAAAUUAGGUUUUUAAAUUUUUAUAAAACCUUUUGAAGAUCGCUCUCAUAUAAUAUAUAAGAAUUUGUAUUCUAGAAAUCGUACCUUGAAAAUCUGAGUUUGCUUUUUCCGCUGAAGUGAUUUAGGCUCCUAGAUCACGAUCUGCCACCACCACUCCUGUUAGAUCACGAUCCGUCACCACCACGCUUGUUAGAUCACGAACUGUCUCCAAUGAUUCCAGGUUAUGACUCAGGUUCGAUCUGCACUUGACGUGUGGGCGCCUUUAUCACUACCAAAGCAACUAGCACGAGAAAAUUUUUCUCUCAACAAUAGAGAAAAAAAUCUUAUUCUCCGAUUUGUAUAAAAUGGUUUCUCUUAUUCUUUAGAGAAAAUAAGCCUUUUAUAUCACCCUUUAGUGAAAACCUUAGGCUCCAAAUAAUGCCCUAAAUAAACUCACGUUACUUUCUUUUUCAAUAGGGGACCCACCUUGUAAAAUAACAUAAGGCCCCUUAUACAAAAGCUAAUUAAAUGGAGCCUCCCACUAAAUGAUAUAUUUAGGCUUUUGACCCAAAUAGCUAGUUAUCUUACUUAGUCCAGUAGUGGUGCAGUCAAUUAAAUGAGCUAACCCGGGGAUCAUUUGGGAACAUACAAUAGUGGCUACAAUAAUUAGGCCUGUAAUUAAACUAGCCCAAAUAUUUAAUUCCAAAUCUACUCCACUAAAAGAUUGGAACUGACUUCCAUAAUUGUAUGCUCGAAUAAUAAUUCGUCCCAAGCCACAUUGAUUUCUUUACUGCACAAUCCUUUGUACCACAUCGUUAAUUAAAUUGACAUCUCAACUGUCCAAUCAAUUUAAUAACAUCUUAUUCCUUGAUCCUUACUGGUUUUCUCUAAUGAUCAUUUUCAACAUACUAAAUAUGUUGACACACUCUGGCCAGAGAAUUCUAUGAUCAAGUGCCGAAAACCCAUCAAGAGAUGUGUUGUACAAAUUCUAUAUUGUUAAUCCAUAACUCCAAUAUAUAAAGUACUAGAUGUUUUACUGAGAAAAUGACUAGAUCAUUUACCAAAUUUCUUGCGCAUAUAUACGUAUGUAUACAGAAAUGGGAAUCAAUGAUUAUAAGACCUUGCAAUGAGACAAUAAUACAUCAUCAAAUCUAAAAAUACACAAGAAAUUCGGGACAUAUAUAUAACAAAGACCUCUCAUUGAGUCAUACAUAUUGAGAAUAAAAUGUCAAAAUGCAUACAAAGAGCUUAUACAGAAAAUGAAUUUACACAUAUUUAGAAUAAAUUGUCUUUGAACUUUUGAUGGUCAAAUAAAGGAAACAGACAGGAUAUAACACACACUAUCAUAGAUGUAGCGACACGGUGAAGUAAAUCAUGAAGAUGGAAACGGAAACCCUUCACAAUAUAAAAUUUGAAUAGAGGGGGGAAAAAAGGCUUCAUUUGGAAUGUUGCACAGAAGAAGAGUGACUUGAAUCUCCAUCAGUAUCCAGACAUUCUACAACACAGUGCUGAGAAUUUUAACAAGAAUAACAGACAAAAUAUUGUGCUUCUAUACUUGUCACAAAACUAGACCAAAUUAGUUCCCUUUUGGUUUGUGAAAACUUGAUAUUUUUGAAAAUUCUAUCCAAUGCUUUUAAACAAUAUUUCCAUAAUAUAGUUGUUCAUAGCUAACCUUUGAUGGUUUAAGCAUUUGUUGUAGGCAUGACGGGCUGAUUAGAUUAUUAUUUUUUUUAUCCGAUGAAUGAUAUUCAGCUGUUCUUAAUUAUGUGUUAAUAGGCAAGAGCAUUUUCUUAAGUACUUUCGUUGCCUUCCAAGUUUCCAAUGAACAAACAGAGCACAAACAAAUUUAACGAAACAAACAGAGCAUUUUCUUCAGUGUGCUUUCUUGAGACAUUUUGAUUUAGUCUCAUUAUGAUUAAAAAAGGAAGCUCGCUUCUCGAGACAUUUUGCUAUAGUCUCAUUAUGGUUAUAAAGAAGCGAUGGUCUAGGAGACAUAUUGUUUUCGUCUCAUUUUGCUAGACAUCUGGACUUUAUGGAAAUGAGCAUGUUGAUCACAUUGUCAUGUUAUUUCCAUAAUUAUACUUGUAUACUACUACAUGGUCACGUGUUUAUAAGUGUCUUGUUAUAUGGAGCAUCCUGUCGGUGCACAUAUGAUUUGAUAUUUAUGGCACAUUUUGGACUUGUUUAUGUUCUGGGUGAUUGCUUGUAUUUGACCUUUUGUUAUAGUCACAUAUUGAUUAAUUCGGUUGUUUUCAAAAUAUUAUUUUAUUUUAAAUUUAUCAUUGGAGUGAUUUCUGUCGUCCAAGUGGGAGAUUGUUAGAUUUAUUUCUCAUAUUAUGUGGACUGACAUAAAUCAUUCUAAUUGUUUUCUAUAUUUUACCGAAUUAAUACGUGACUAUUGUCAAAUAUUAUGGAGCAAUUUUGACAUACCUUGUACAGUAGUAUAUUAUGGACAAGUAUAUCCUUAAUUGUGUUAUUUUCGCCCAUAAUGGGAUGGGCAAUUUUGUACUAACACAUGAGGGGUCCCUGCGCUCAACCACUGUAUUUAAGUAACUUCAGCCCAUUGGAAGUUAACUGUUCAAGAAAUCUGUGGCAUGAGUGCAGUGCAUCUCUCUCUCCGUUUGUCUCCCGUGUGUGUGCACAGUAAAUUUUGAAGCAAGCCGAUCCUUGAGCUAAGGAAAAGAAAGCGGAAUUCAGAAGCUAAACCGAAGCAGCAGCAACUCUGUUGAAGCUCCAUAACAAGCUGCAAGCUUGGAUUCAUGGGAGAUCGUGGUAAAUUUCGAAAUUUACUACAAUAUGUGUUUAAUUUGGAAAUGCACGAUUAAAGGGCAUAAAGUAUGUUUUUGUUUCAUCAAUUGGUAUCAGAGCCCAUGGUUAUGCGUUUCCUUGUAAACCAUAGUUGUUUUGUUGAAGAAAUCUCACUCAUGGAAUUUUUUUUUUAUUUUCGGAUUUUUCGAAUUCUUCGAAUUUGGACAUAUUUCCUCAAACGGUUGUUAAAUAAUGCAUGAGUGAUGAUUUUGGAGCAAAGAUAUAAUUUUUUCGUGUUUUUUGGUGGCCAAAAUCGGGUUGGUAUGGAUGUGGAUGCUGUAAAUGUACUGUACAAUACUGUAGCAACAGCCCGAGGUUGAAGAUGAUGGGACAAUUUCAUUUGGAUCCCUAAAUUUUGUGAAUUGUCACUAUGGCCCAAAAUCUUUGCAAACUUUUCGAAAAGGUCCUUGACCGAGGGUCAACUAUGUAAAAGAUAAGUUGGUCCCUUGAAUUUUGGGAAAUUAUAGUAUGGCCCAACAGUUUAUUUUAUUUUAUUUACAGUUUGGGCCAAAAGUUUUAAUAGUUAAAACAGUAAAUAAUUCUGAAAAUUUUUCAUUUUAGUCCAAAAUCCUUUCAAUUUUGGCGAUUUUUCAGAAUUUAAAUUUUAAAAUAAUCCAUCAGUUAUUGAAUCUUAUGGGCAUAUCAUUUAUAUAUUUUAUUGAGGCAUGUAGAUAUUUUAUUUGAUUUAAUAUCUUGUUAAUUUCAUUUGACAAAAUUUAUUUAGCCUCAAUUUUGUUAAUAUACGAAAUAUAUAUAUGAUGCAAAACUACAAUUUAGAGUGAUUGUGUAUCUACUUAUCGUAGGACCAAUCAUGAUAAAUUAUUUGGUGGUUUGCAAUUGAUUGUCCAUUUACAAUUAUGAAUUAUGGAUUAUGUGAUGGAUUGUUAUUGUUUGACCAAGAUCCAUACGGGUGAUGAUACUGCCCUGUCGGCAAAUCACUACUUGGUACUUGGUAGGAUGCUUGGGAAGAUAAAGAGAUUUGUUGAGUAUUUUCUACUGAGUGGCUUAAUUACCCUGUCGGUAAUAGGUCAAUGUUGGUGUUAUAUUCAACUUGUCUGCUUUAUCUUUAGGUUAGUGCAUUCCUAUAUUGUUAAAGGAUGCCUAACAUAUUGUGUUGCUAUUGGAGAAACUUAGAAUGAGGAGCAAUUGAUUAUAGCAUGAUUUUAAUUUUUGCAUGCUUGAUAUUCUUUUGUUAUUGCUUCCUCAGCUCUAGAUAUUCUCUCCUUUCUCCAAGUAGCCUCCCUCAAGAAUUUAACUGGGACAAAUUUUGAGGACUGGCGUGAGUCCAUUUUGUUUUAUUUGUCUACACUGAAUAGAGACUUGGCAUUAAGAGUUGAUGAACCAGCCAAGCCCACAGAUAAGAGCACUGCUGCUGAAAAAGCAGAGUGGGCAGCUUGGGAUGAAUCCAAUAGACACUGUCUGGAUACAAUGAAAUACACCAUUGAUAGAACCACUAGAGAUAGCAUCCCUGCAUGUGAUAAGGCCAAAGAUUACUUGGCAGCUGUGGGAAGAACCUUUAAGAAGGUAGAUAAGGCAGAAAAGGGUAACUAUCUGAGGCUGCUUGCUAAUACCCAGUAUGAUGGUGUUUUCUGGGGUCAGAGAACACAUCCUUAAGAUGACUAGUUACCAUAAGAAGCUGAAGGACAUGGAUGUCACUUUGCCUGAUGACUACCUGGUCUUCCAAAUCCUUGAAUCUCUUCCACCACAAUUUGGCAAUUUGAGAAGCCAAUACAAUACUCAGAGAGACACUUGGAAUAUCACUGAGUUGACUGCUUAUGUGGUUCAGGAAGAGGAAUCAUUGAAGAAGGGGAAAUCUCACACUGUCAUGGUGGCAACUACUCAAGAGAGUGGAAGUGUGAAGAAAGGCUCUUCAAAGGGCAGCAAUAAGUUUUUUAAGAAGAAAAAGUUUGGCAAGAAAACUUCACGUGGUACUUCUUCUACCACUUCUGGUUCCACUUCUGAGAGCUUUAAGGGAAAGUGCCACUUUUGUAAGAAACCUGGGCACAAGAGAGCUGACUGCAGGGGAUUCAAAGCAUGGUUGGAAAAGAAAGGUAUUCCUGUAGCCUUUGUAGGCUUUGAAUCUAAUCUUAUUGAUGUUCCUUCUGAUACUUGGUGGUUGGAUACUGGUGCAACCAUUAAUAUAACGAAUUCCUUACAGGAAUUCAGAAGCAGGAGGGAGCCCAAUGAAGGGGAGUUGAUAGUUCACAUGGGCAAUGGAGUGACAGCCAAAGUUGAAAGCAUAGGAGUUGUCAGACUACAUCUAGCCACAGGCCAUGUUUUGGAUCUAUUAGAUACAGCUUAUAUUCCUUCUAUUAGGAGAAACUUGAUAUCUGUAUCUAUUUUGGAUAGAUGUGGCUAUACUUUUCAUUUUGGUGAUAGAAAAGUUUACUUAUUCCGCAAUUCAGAGUUAGUUGGUUCUGGCACUCUAUAUGAUGGCUUGUAUAUGAUUGAUUUAUUUUCUCGUGCUGUUGAAUCAUCAUCCAAUGCUCAUGUUAUGCAUGUUGUUAGCUCUAAUCGUGUUAGGGUUGAUGAAAAUUCCUCUAUGUUGUGGCAUAAACGGUUAGGUCACAUUUCUAAACAGAGGAUGAGAGGCUUAUUAAAGAUAUUCUACAUAAGUUGGAUUUCUCUGAUUUUGGCACUUGUGUUGAUUGUGUCAAAGGCAAACUUACUGCCAAAACCAGAAAAGAGAGAACUCAGAGGAGUCAACAGGUGCUGGAGUUGGUACAUACAGACAUUUGUGGGCCAUUUACUCCUAUUGCCAUUGGAGGUUAUAAGUACUUCAUCACGUUCAACGAUGACUUUUCUCGUUAUGGUCAUGUUGAACUUCUUGCUGAAAAGUCUAAAUCCUUAUCUGUGUUUCAAGCCUUUAAGGCUAAUGUUGAGCUCCAAAAGGGCAAGCAAAUUAAAGCAGUAAGGUCAGACAGAGGUGGUGAGUACUAUGGGCGAUAUGAUGAAACUGGGCGUAAUCCUGGACCUUUUGCUAAAUUUCUUCAGGAAUGUGGAAUAGAAGCCCAGUAUACAAUGCUCGGGACUCCUGAACAUAAUGGAAUUGCAGAAAGGAGAAAUCGUACCCUUCUUGACAUGGUGCGGUGUAUGCUGAGUAACUCCACCUUACCAGAUUUUCUGUGGGGUGAAGCCUUAAGAACUGCAGCUUACAUUUUGAAUCAGGUACCUAGUAAAUCGGUGCCCAAAAGUCCUUAGUUGUGGUCAGGAAAGAGACCGAGUCUUCGUCAUUUUCAUGUAUGGGAUGCAGAGCAGAAGUGAGGCCCUAUAAUCCACAAUCAAGGAAACUUGAUCCGAAAACAAUUAGUGGUCAUUUUAUUGGCUAUUGUAUCGGCUCAAGGGUUUCUAGAUUUUAUUGACCUUCCCACACUACUAGAAUCAUUGAGUCUGAUCGUGCCAUUUAUUUUGAGGAUGAUCACAAUGGUGGGAGUUCUGAGCCUCGCAGUCUGACAUUGAGAGAAGAACGUGUGGUUUUGCCUAUUCCAUCUUUUCCGACUUCUGCGAUGGGAUUACCACAUAUUGAUGAUUCUUCUGUUGAUCCUAAACUUCAUCAUAAUAUGGAGCCUAUGAUUGUAGAGGAUGAUGGUACUGAUGUGCCAUUGAGGAGAUCAGAGAGGAUCAGGAGACCUGCAAUUUCUGAUGAUUAUGUUGUUUACUUGCAGGAGCAUGAUUUUGAUGCUGACUCUUCAUCUGAUCCUAUUACCUUUCAAGAGGCCAUCAGUUGUUCAGAAUCAUCAUCUUGGAUACAUGCGAUGCAUGAUGAGAUGGCAUCUAUGUAUCAUAAUGAGGUUUGGGAUUUAGUUGAGUUACCAGAUGGAUGCAGACCAAUUGGUUGCAAAUGGGUUUUCAAAACCAAAAGAGAUGCCAGAGGUCAGGUAGAGAGGUAUAAGGCCAGGCUUUGUGGCUAAGGGUUUCAGUCAAAGAGAAGGCAUUGAUUACACUGAAACCUACUCUCCUGUUUCUACCAAGACUCUUUUCGUAUUAUCAUGGCAUUGGUAGCUCAUUUCAAUUUAGAAUUGCAUCAGAUGGAUGUGAAGACAGCUUUUCUUAAUGGGAGCUUGUCUGAAGAUGUAUACAUGGUGCAACCUGAUGGUUUUGUUGAGUCUGGUAUAGAAAACAUGGUGUGUAAGCUUAAAAGGUCCAUUUAUGGACUUAAGCAAGCAUCCAGACAGUGGUAUUUGAAAUUUCACGAUAUUGUCACCUCUUAUGGGUUCCAGGAGAAUGCCGUUGAUCAGUGUAUAUACUUGAGAGUCAGUGGGAGCAAGUAUAUCAUUUUGGUGCUUUAUGUGGAUGAUAUCUUGCUCGCUGCUAAUGACAGUAAUUUGUUACUUGAGACAAAGCAAAUGUUGUCAUGCAGCUUUGAUAUGAAGGAUCUUGGUGAAGCCCAUUAUGUAUUAGGGAUAGAGAUUCUUCAUGAUAGAUCUAGAGGAAUUCUAGGUUUGUCUCAAAAGACUUACAUUGAUCGCAUUUUGAAAAGGUUCAAUUUGCAGUCUUGUGCUCCUGGGAAAGCUCCAAUUUCGAAAGGUGACAAAAUUUCCAAGUCUCAAUGUCCCGAUAAUGAUGUAGACAAAGCUAGAAUACAAACAGUCCCGUAUGCAUCCGUUGUGGGUAGCUUGAUGUAUGCUCAAGUCUGUACUCGCCCUGAUAUUGCUUUCCAGUGGGAGUACUUGGAAGAUACCUGAGCAAUCCUGGAUUUGAACACUGGAAGGCUGCAAAGAAAGUACUCAGAUAUUUGCGAGCCACUAAAGAUUUUGUAUUGACAUAUCAGCAAUCUGACUUUUGAAUAUAGUUGGAUAUUCUGAUGCUGAUUUCGCAGGGUGCUUGGAAGACAAGAAAUCCACAUCUGGUUACAUCUUUAUGAUGGCAGAGGAGCUAUAUCGGAAAGUGUCAAGCAGACACUUAUAGCUUCUUCAACAAUGGAAGCAGAAUAUGUAGCAUGCUUUGAGGCUACACGUCAUGCUUUAUGGAUGCAAAAUUUUAUCACAGGGCUAGAUUGUAUAGUGGCCGUACCGAGGCCAUUAAAGAUAUACUGUGAUAAUUCUGCUGCUGUUUCUUUUUUCACAAUACAGGGAGUUCCUCACGUUCCAAGCACAUUGAUAUUAAAUACUUGUUUGUGAGAGAGAAAAUUGCUCUAUCUUGUGUAUCAGUAGAGUAUAUCCCUACAGAACUCAUGUUAGCCGAUCCACUUAUUAAAGCUUUAGCUCCAAAAGUAUUAGGGAGCAUGUAACGCAUAUGGAUUAUUUGAAUCCACUUAUAUAUGCUGAGUCAGUGGGAGUUCUGGUUGUAUUAUGAGUUGCAACUUAAAUGAGCUUAUGUAUUACUCAUUUUGUUAUCAUGCAUGCAUGUUGUUAUGUGAUAUUGAUAUGCCAUAUAUUGUGUACACAUUUGGCUGCGUAUGGCAUUAUGUAUAGAAUGAGGAUACGAUGGUCCGAGACAUUUUGCUCAGUCUCAAUAUGGACAUUAAAGACUGAAGCAUUAUGAUUUUCUUCAGUGUGCUUUCUUGAGACAUUUUGAUUUAGUCUCAUUAUGAUUAAAAAGGAAGCUCGCUUCUCGAGACAUUUUGCUAUAGUCUCAUUAUGGUUAUAAAGAAGCGAUGGUCUAGGAGACAUAUUGUUUUCGUCUCAUUUUGCUAGACAUCUGGACUUUAUGGAAAUGAGCAUGUUGAUCACAUUGUCAUGUUAUUUCCAUAAUUAUACUUGUAUACUACUACAUGGUCACGUGUUUAUAAGUGUCUUGUUAUAUGGAGCAUCCUGUCGGUGCACAUAUGAUUUGAUAUUUAUGGCACAUUUGGACUUGUUUAUGUUCUGGGUGAUUGCUUGUAUUUGACCUUUUGUUAUAGUCACAUAUUGAUUAAUUCGGUUGUUUUCAAAAUAUUAUUUUAUUUUAAAUUUAUCAUUGGAGUGAUUUCUGUCGUCCAAGUGGAGAUUGUUAGAUUUAUUCUCAUAUUAUGUGGACUGACAUAAAUCAUUCUAAUUGUUUUCUAUAUUUUACCGAAUUAAUACGUGACUAUUGUCAAAUAUAUGGAGCAAUUUUGACAUACCUUGUACAGUAGUAUAUUAUGGACAAGUAUAUCCUUAAUUGUGUUAUUUUCGCCCAUAAUGGGAUGGGCAAUUUUGUACUAACACAUGAGGGGUCCCUGCGCUCAACCUGUAUUUAAGUAACUUCAGCCCAUUGGAAGUUAACUGUUCAAGAAAUCUGUGGCAUGAGUGCAGUGCAUCUCUCUCUCCCGUUUGUCUCCCGUGUGUGUGCACAGUAAAUUUUGAAGCAAGCCGAUCCUUGAGCUAAGGAAAAGAAAGCGGAAUUCAGAAGCUAAACCGAAGCAGCAGCAACUCUGUUGAAGCUCCAUAACAAGCUGCAAGCUUGGAUUCAUGGGAGAUCGUGGUAAAUUUCGAAAUUUACUACAAUAUGUGUUUAAUUUGGAAAUGCACGAUUAAAGGGCAUAAAGUAUGUUUUUGUUUCAUCAAUUGGUAUCAGAGCCCAUGGUUAUGCGUUUCCUUGUAAACCAUAGUUGUUUUGUUGAAGAAAUCUCACUCAUGGAAUUUUUUUUUUUUUCGGAUUUUUCGAAUCUUCGAAUUUGGACAUAUUUCCUCAAACGGUUGUUAAAUAAUGCAUGAGUGAUNUAUUCUAUAUGACAUGUUAUCAUGGCAUGUAAUCAUCCAAAACAUAACAUAUAGAAAAAAUAAUUAAAUAAUCUUAAUUCAUGGCUUUCCUAAUAAUGAAAAAUACAUUAACCCUAAGCCUAAUCUUCAUUGGGCUUCUUGUCAAUAUCCAUCUUCCAUAGCUUGUCUUUGUUGAUGGACUAGGGGAAAUUGAGCUUUUAAAUUUAUAAUUGGUCCAAUUUUAAUUUGGAAAGAAAAUAAAUAAUUAAAAUUAAAAUUUAUUAAAAUAAAACUUUUGGACCAAAAAUAAAUUUAAUAUAUUCAAUUUUAUCUAUGCAUUUUAAUCCAUUAAGCCCAAUUGAAAUUGGGCCUAAAACUAGGAUUCAUUAAGCCCAAAACUAUUUUUGGAUUUAAACGCAAAAAAUUAAAAAUGUUUCUGCCCAACUGAAAAAAUAUGAAACUAUAGGGACCUCCACGAUAAAAACCAUGAAACCCUAAAAUCACAUUUUUCUUUUCCUCCUCUUCCCUAGCCGCCACCAGCACAAAAACCCAGCCGUUGUUUACUGUUUCCACACCGGACAGCCGUCAUCAACGCCGGAAAGACGCCAACCAAAACGCUCCGCGCCUUCAGCCCACGUUCACGCUGUUGCUUGGGUGCUGCAGCUGCUGCUCGCGCGCUGCGGUUGCUGCUUGUGCAGCGCGCGCUGCAGCUGCUGCGUGUGUAGCUCGCGCUGCUAGCAGCGUGGCUGCUGGCCGCUGCGCGUGCAGCGCGCGCUGCUGGCAGCAUGUGCUACUGGCCGCGCGCUGCUCGCACAGCAGCUUGUGCUGCUGGCCGCUCGCUGCUGCGUGUGCUGGUUCGUUGCUGCAGUUUCCGGCCUCGAUUGUUUGCGCUCGUUUUCCAGUGAUGAUGCUUCGGUGAUUUACAAAUUUUCAACGCAAAUUUUUGCUUACAAAAUUUCAAUUACAGUAAAAUAAAUCAAGAGAGAAUUAUGGUGAUAAAAAACCACCCCUCUUGUUACAGAUCCAAACGAAAAAUACAAUAGAAAAUCUAACAAUGAAUUAACUGCGUUUACUUUUGGAUUGGAGUGGGAAUCCUGAGGAAUGGGAAUCCUUGGAUUAGGAGUGUGGAGUGGGAGUGGGAGUAGGGGUUUACUUAGACUAAAUGAAAGUAUGGAUUGUCAAUUAGAAUUCCAAUUAUUUGUUUACUUUGUCUUGGAUUGGGAAGUAAAAUUGUUUUAAAUUACAAUUUUAUCCUUAUGUACAGAAUUAUAAUUUGUAAUUAAAAAUUAAUAAAAAAUAUAUUUGGAAAAUAAAAAUAAAUAUUUUUAUUAUAUUAUAAAUUAUUAAUAAUUUACUAAUAUUCUUAAUUAUGUAAAUCAUAAUUUUUUAUUAAUUUUAAUUUAAAUUAUGUGAAUAAAAAUUAUUAAUAAUAGCAACACAAAUGGAAUAUUAUUAUUGAUAAUAUAGUACAAAAUUAAUAUUUUUAGAAUAAAUAUUUAUAUUAUUAAAUAAAUAAAUAAUUAAUUAAUAUUUAUUAAAAUUAAUGUUUUUAUAUUAUUAAUUUAAAUAUAAUAUUAUUUAUUUUUAUUUUAUUAAUUUUAAUAAAAUAAAUAUGAUAUAAUUAUUAUUUUUAAUAAAUAUGAUAUUAUUUAUUUUAUGAAAUAUUAUUUAUUUUAUUAAAUAUUAUUUAUUUUAUUAAUAUUAUUUAUUUAUUUUAAUUUUAUAAGGAUAAAAUGGGAAGAGGGGGGAGUGGAUUCCCACUCCCACCUCCCCCAAUGGGAGUGGGAAUCCCACUCCCCACUCCAAAUUUAGGUGGGACCCACGGAUUCCCACUCCCACUCUCCCUAUUUUAAAGUAAGUAAACACUGGAGUGGGAGGGAAUCCACACUCCACACUCCCACUCCAGAAAGUAAACACUACCUUAAGACAAACCAUAAACAUGCUUUAUUCAUAUAUUAAACAAAUAAUAUAUAUCUGAAUAAAUUGUGCCACUCUAAUACAUAAAUUUCAAGAUUAAUUUCAUACGAAAAUUCUUAUUUAUUAAUAUGAGAUGGCUCUGAUACCAAUUGUUAGGGAAAAAUUAGGUUUUUAAAUUUUUAUAAAACCUUUUGAAGAUCGCUCUCAUAUAAUAUAUUAAGAAUUUGUAUUCUAGAAAUCGUACCUUGAAAAUCUGAGUUUGCUUUUUCCGCUGAAGUUGAUUUAGGCUCCUAGAUCACGAUCUGCCACCACCACUCCUGUUAGAUCACGAUCCGUCACCACCACGCUUGUUAGAUCACGAACUGUCUCCAAUGAUCUUCCAGGUUAUGACUCAGGUUCGAUCUGCACUUGACGUGUGGGCGCCUUUAUCACUACCAAAGCAACUAGCACGAGAAAAUUUUUCUCUCAAACAAUAGAGAAAAAAAUCUUAUUCUCCGAUUUGUAUAAAAUGGUUUCUCUUAUUCUUUAGAGAAAAUAAGCCUUUUAUAUCACCCUUUAGUGAAAACCUUAGGCUCCAAAUAAUGCCCUAAAUAAAACUCACGUUACUUUCUUUUUCAAUAGGGGACCCACCUUGUAAAAUAACAUAAGGCCCCUUAUACAAAGCUAAUUAAAUGGAGCCUCCCACUAAAUGAUAUAUUUAGCUUUUGAACCCAAAUAGCUAGUUAUCUUACUUAUUAGUCCAGUAGUGGUGCAGUCAAUUAAAUGAGCUAACCCGGGGAUCAUUUGGGAACAUACAAUAGUGGCUACAAUAAUUAGGCCUGUAAUUAAACUAGCCCAAAUAUUUAAUUCCAAAUCUACUCCACUAAAAGAUUGGAACUGACUUCCAUAAUUGUAUGCUCGAAUAAUAAUUCGUCCCAAGCCACAUUGAUUUCUUUACUGCACAAUCCUUUGUACCACAUCGUUAAUUUAAAUUGACAUCUCAACUGUCCAAUCAAUUUAAUAACAUCUUAUUCCUUGAUCCUUACUGGUUUUCUCUAAUGAUCAUUUUCAACAUACUAAAUAUGUUGACACACUCUGGCCAGAGAAUUCUAUGAUCAAGUGCCGAAAACCCAUCAAGAGAUGUGUUGUACAAAUUCUAUAUUGUUAAUCCAUAACUCCAAUAUAUAAAGUACUAGAUGUUUACUGAGAAAAUGACUAGAUCAUUUACCAAAUUUCUUGCGCAUAUAUACGUAUGUAUACAAGAAAUGGGAAUCAAUGAUUAUAAGACCUUGCAAUGAGACAAUAAUACAUCAUCAAAUCUAAAAAUACACAAGAAAUUCGGACAUAUAUAUAACAAAAGACCUCUCAUUGAGUCAUACAUAUUGAGAAUAAAAUGUCAAAAUGCAUACAAAGAGCUUAUACAGAAAAUGAAUUUACACAUAUUUAGAAUAAAUUGUCUUUGAACUUUUGAUGGUCAAAUAAAGGAAAACAGACAGGAUAUAACACACACUAUCAUAGAUGUAGCGACACGGUGAAGUAAAAUCACAUGAAGAUGGAAACGGAAACCCUUCACAAUAUAAAAUUUGAAUAGAGGGGGGAAAAAAAGGCUUCAUUUGGAAUGUUGCACAGAAGAAAGAGUGACUUGAAUCUCCAUCAGUAUCCAGACAUUCUACAAACACAGUGCUGAGAAUUUUAACAAGAAUAACAGACAAAAUAUUGUGCUUCUAUACUUGUCACAAAACUAGACCAAAUUAGUUCCCUUUUUGGUUUGUGAAAAACUUGAUAUUUUUGAAAAUUCUAUCCAAUGCUUUUAAACAAUAUUUCCAUAAUAAUAGUUGUUCAUAGCUAACCUUUGAUGGUUUAAGCAUUUGUUGUAGCAUGACGGGCUGAUUAGAUUAUUAUUUUUUUUUAUCCGAUGAAUUGAUAUUCAGCUGUUCUUAAUUAUGUGUUAAUAGGCAAGAGCAUUUUCUUAAGUACUUUCGUUGCCUUCCAAGUUUCCAAUGAACAAACAGAGCACAAACAAAUUUAACGAAACAAACAGAAGCAUUUUCUUCAGUGUGCUUUCUUGAGACAUUUUGAUUUAGUCUCAUUAUGAUUAAAAAGGAAGCUCGCUUCUCGAGACAUUUUGCUAUAGUCUCAUUAUGGUUAUAAAGAAGCGAUGGUCUAGGAGACAUAUUGUUUUCGUCUCAUUUUGCUAGACAUCUGGACUUUAUGGAAAUGAGCAUGUUGAUCACAUUGUCAUGUUAUUUCCAUAAUUAUACUUGUAUACUACUACAUGGUCACGUGUUUAUAAGUGUCUUGUUAUAUGGAGCAUCCUGUCGGUGCACAUAUGAUUUGAUAUUUAUGGCACAUUUUGGACUUGUUUAUGUUCUGGGUGAUUGCUUUGUAUUUGACCUUUUGUUAUAGUCACAUAUUGAUUAAUUCGGUUGUUUUCAAAAUAUUAUUUUAUUUUAAAUUUAUCAUUGGAGUGAUUUCUGUCGUCCAAGUGGGAGAUUGUUAGAUUUAUUUCUCAUAUUAUGUGGACUGACAUAAAUCAUUCUAAUUGUUUUCUAUAUUUUACCGAAUUAAUACGUGACUAUUGUCAAAUAUUAUGGAGCAAUUUGACAUACCUUGUACAGUAGUAUAUUAUGGACAAGUAUAUCCUUAAUUGUGUUAUUUUCGCCCAUAAUGGGAUGGGCAAUUUUGUACUAACACAUGAGGGGUCCCUGCGCUCAACCACUGUAUUUAAGUAACUUCAGCCCAUUGGAAGUUAACUGUUCAAGAAAUCUGUGGCAUGAGUGCAGUGCAUCUCUCUCUCCCGUUUGUCUCCCGUGUGUGUGCACAGUAAAUUUUGAAGCAAGCCGAUCCUUGAGCUAAGGAAAAGAAAGCGGAAUUCAGAAGCUAAACCGAAGCAGCAGCAACUCUGUUGAAGCUCCAUAACAAGCUGCAAGCUUGGAUUCAUGGGAGAUCGUGGUAAAUUUCGAAAUUUACUACAAUAUGUGUUUAAUUUGGAAAUGCACGAUUAAAGGGCAUAAAGUAUGUUUUUGUUUCAUCAAUUGGUAUCAGAGCCCAUGGUUAUGCGUUUCCUUGUAAACCAUAGUUGUUUUGUUUGAAGAAAUCUCACUCAUGGAAUUUUUUUUUUUAUUUUCGGAUUUUUCGAAUUCUUCGAAUUUGGACAUAUUUCCUCAAACGGUUGUUAAAUAAUGCAUGAGUGAUGAUUUUGGAGCAAAGAUAUAAUUUUUUUCGUGUUUUUUGGUGGCCAAAAUCGGGUUGGUAUGGAUGUGGAUGCUGUAAAUGUACUGUACAAUACUGUAGCAACAGCCCGAGGUUGAAGAUGAUGGGACAAUUUCAUUUGGAUCCCUAAAUUUUGUGAAUUGUCACUAUGGCCCAAAAUCUUUGCAAACUUUUCGAAAAGGUCCUUGACCGAGGGUCAACUAUGUAAAAGAUAAGUUGGUCCCUUGAAUUUUGGGAAAUUAUAGUAUGGCCCAACAGUUUAUUUUAUUUUAUUUACAGUUUGGGCCAAAAGUUUUAAUAGUUAAAACAGUAAACAUAAUUCUGAAAAUUUUUCAUUUUAGUCCAAAAUCCUUUCAAUUUUGGCGAUUUUUCAGAAUUUUUAAAUUUUAAAAUAAUCCAUCAGUUAUUGAAUCUUAUGGGCAUAUCAUUUAUAUAUUUUAUUGAGGCAUGUAGAUAUUUUAUUUGAUUUAAUAUCUUGUUAAUUUCAUUUGACAAAAUUUAUUUAGCCUCAAUUUUGUUAAUAUACGAAAUAUAUAUAUGAUGCAAAACUACAAUUUAGAGUGAUUGUGUAUCUACUUAUCGUAGGACCAAUCAUGAUAAAUUAUUUGGUGGUUUGCAAUUGAUUGUCCAUUUACAAUUAUGAAUUAUGGAUUAUGUGAUGGAUUGUUAUUGUUUUGACCAAGAUCCAUACGGGUGAUGAUACUGCCCUGUCGGCAAAUCACUACUUGGUACUUGGUAGGAUGCUUGGGAAGAUAAAGAGAUUUGUUGAGUAUUUUCUACUGAGUGGCUUAAUUACCCUGUCGGUAAUAGGUCAAUGUUGGUGUUAUAUUCAACUUGUCUGCUUUAUCUUUAGGUUAGUGCAUUCCUAUAUUGUUAAAGGAUGCCUAACAUAUUGUGUUGCUAUUGGAGAAACUUAGAAUGAGGAGCAAUUGAUUAUAGCAUGAUUUUAAUUUUUGCAUGCUUGAUAAUUCUUUUGUUAUUGCUUCCUCAGCUCUAGAUAUUCUCUCCUUUCUCCAAGUAGCCUCCCUCAAGAAUUUAACUGGGACAAAUUUUGAGGACUGGCGUGAGUCCAUUUUGUUUUAUUUGUCUACACUGAAUAGAGACUUGGCAUUAAGAGUUGAUGAACCAGCCAAGCCCACAGAUAAGAGCACUGCUGCUGAAAAAGCAGAGUGGGCAGCUUGGGAUGAAUCCAAUAGACACUGUCUGGAUACAAUGAAAUACACCAUUGAUAGAACCACUAGAGAUAGCAUCCCUGCAUGUGAUAAGGCCAAAGAUUACUUGGCAGCUGUGGGAAGAACCUUUAAGAAGGUAGAUAAGGCAGAAAAGGGUAACUAUCUGAGGCUGCUUGCUAAUACCCAGUAUGAUGGUGUUUCUGGGGUCAGAGAACACAUCCUUAAGAUGACUAGUUACCAUAAGAAGCUGAAGGACAUGGAUGUCACUUUGCCUGAUGACUACCUGGUCUUCCAAAUCCUUGAAUCUCUUCCACCACAAUUUGGCAAUUUGAGAAGCCAAUACAAUACUCAGAGAGACACUUGGAAUAUCACUGAGUUGACUGCUUAUGUGGUUCAGGAAGAGGAAUCAUUGAAGAAGGGGAAAUCUCACACUGUCAUGGUGGCAACUACUCAAGAGAGUGGAAGUGUGAAGAAAGGCUCUUCAAAGGGCAGCAAUAAGUUUUUUAAGAAGAAAAAGUUUGGCAAGAAAACUUCACGUGGUACUUCUUCUACCACUUCUGGUUCCACUUCUGAGAGCUUUAAGGGAAAGUGCCACUUUUGUAAGAAACCUGGGCACAAGAGAGCUGACUGCAGGGGAUUCAAAGCAUGGUUGGAAAAGAAAGGUAUUCCUGUAGCCUUUGUAGGCUUUGAAUCUAAUCUUAUUGAUGUUCCUUCUGAUACUUGGUGGUUGGAUACUGGUGCAACCAUUAAUAUAACGAAUUCCUUACAGGAAUUCAGAAGCAGGAGGGAGCCCAAUGAAGGGGAGUUGAUAGUUCACAUGGGCAAUGGAGUGACAGCCAAAGUUGAAAGCAUAGGAGUUGUCAGACUACAUCUAGCCACAGGCCAUGUUUUGGAUCUAUUAGAUACAGCUUAUAUUCCUUCUAUUAGGAGAAACUUGAUAUCUGUAUCUAUUUUGGAUAGAUGUGGCUAUACUUUUCAUUUUGGUGAUAGAAAAGUUUACUUAUUCCGCAAUUCAGAGUUAGUUGGUUCUGGCACUCUAUAUGAUGGCUUGUAUAUGAUUGAUUUAUUUUCUCGUGCUGUUGAAUCAUCAUCCAAUGCUCAUGUUAUGCAUGUUGUUAGCUCUAAUCGUGUUAGGGUUGAUGAAAAUUCCUCUAUGUUGUGGCAUAAACGGUUAGGUCACAUUUCUAAACAGAGGAUGGAGAGGCUUAUUAAAGAUAGCAUUCUACAUAAGUUGGAUUUCUCUGAUUUUGGCACUUGUGUUGAUUGUGUCAAAGGCAAACUUACUGCCAAAACCAGAAAAGAGAGAACUCAGAGGAGUCAACAGGUGCUGGAGUUGGUACAUACAGACAUUUGUGGGCCAUUUACUCCUAUUGCCAUUGGAGGUUAUAAGUACUUCAUCACGUUCAACGAUGACUUUUCUCGUUAUGGUCAUGUUGAACUUCUUGCUGAAAAGUCUAAAUCCUUAUCUGUGUUUCAAGCCUUUAAGGCUAAUGUUGAGCUCCAAAAGGGCAAGCAAAUUAAAGCAGUAAGGUCAGACAGAGGUGGUGAGUACUAUGGGCGAUAUGAUGAAACUGGGCGUAAUCCUGGACCUUUUGCUAAAUUUCUUCAGGAAUGUGGAAUAGAAGCCCAGUAUACAAUGCUCGGGACUCCUGAACAUAAUGGAAUUGCAGAAAGGAGAAAUCGUACCCUUCUUGACAUGGUGCGGUGUAUGCUGAGUAACUCCACCUUACCAGAUUUUCUGUGGGGUGAAGCCUUAAGAACUGCAGCUUACAUUUUGAAUCAGGUACCUAGUAAAUCGGUGCCCAAAAGUCCUUAUGAGUUGUGGUCAGGAAAGAGACCGAGUCUUCGUCAUUUUCAUGUAUGGGGAUGCAGAGCAGAAGUGAGGCCCUAUAAUCCACAAUCAAGGAAACUUGAUCCGAAAACAAUUAGUGGUCAUUUUAUUGGCUAUUGUAUCGGCUCAAGGGGUUCUAGAUUUUAUUGACCUUCCCACACUACUAGAAUCAUUGAGUCUGAUCGUGCCAUUUAUUUUGAGGAUGAUCACAAUGGUGGGAGUUCUGAGCCUCGCAGUCUGACAUUGAGAGAAGAACGUGUGGUUUUGCCUAUUCCAUCUUUUCCGACUUCUGCGAUGGGAUUACCACAUAUUGAUGAUUCUUCUGUUGAUCCUAAACUUCAUCAUAAUAUGGAGCCUAUGAUUGUAGAGGAUGAUGGUACUGAUGUGCCAUUGAGGAGAUCAGAGAGGAUCAGGAGACCUGCAAUUUCUGAUGAUUAUGUUGUUUACUUGCAGGAGCAUGAUUUUGAUGCUGACUCUUCAUCUGAUCCUAUUACCUUUCAAGAGGCCAUCAGUUGUUCAGAAUCAUCAUCUUGGAUACAUGCGAUGCAUGAUGAGAUGGCAUCUAUGUAUCAUAAUGAGGUUUGGGAUUUAGUUGAGUUACCAGAUGGAUGCAGACCAAUUGGUUGCAAAUGGGUUUUCAAAACCAAAAGAGAUGCCAGAGGUCAGGUAGAGAGGUAUAAGGCCAGGCUUGUGGCUAAGGGUUUCAGUCAAAGAGAAGGCAUUGAUUACACUGAAACCUACUCUCCUGUUUCUACCAAAGACUCUUUUCGUAUUAUCAUGGCAUUGGUAGCUCAUUUCAAUUUAGAAUUGCAUCAGAUGGAUGUGAAGACAGCUUUUCUUAAUGGGAGCUUGUCUGAAGAUGUAUACAUGGUGCAACCUGAUGGUUUUGUUGAGUCUGGUAUAGAAAACAUGGUGUGUAAGCUUAAAAGGUCCAUUUAUGGACUUAAGCAAGCAUCCAGACAGUGGUAUUUGAAAUUUCACGAUAUUGUCACCUCUUAUGGGUUCCAGGAGAAUGCCGUUGAUCAGUGUAUAUACUUGAGAGUCAGUGGGAGCAAGUAUAUCAUUUUGGUGCUUUAUGUGGAUGAUAUCUUGCUCGCUGCUAAUGACAGUAAUUUGUUACUUGAGACAAAGCAAAUGUUGUCAUGCAGCUUUGAUAUGAAGGAUCUUGGUGAAGCCCAUUAUGUAUUAGGGAUAGAGAUUCUUCAUGAUAGAUCUAGAGGAAUUCUAGGUUUGUCUCAAAAGACUUACAUUGAUCGCAUUUUGAAAAGGUUCAAUUUGCAGUCUUGUGCUCCUGGGAAAGCUCCAAUUUCGAAAGGUGACAAAAUUUCCAAGUCUCAAUGUCCCGAUAAUGAUGUAGACAAAGCUAGAAUACAAACAGUCCCGUAUGCAUCCGUUGUGGGUAGCUUGAUGUAUGCUCAAGUCUGUACUCGCCCUGAUAUUGCUUUUCCAGUGGGAGUACUUGGAAGAUACCUGAGCAAUCCUGGAUUUGAACACUGGAAGGCUGCAAAGAAAGUACUCAGAUAUUUGCGAGCCACUAAAGAUUUUGUAUUGACAUAUCAGCAAUCUGACUAUUUGAAUAUAGUUGGAUAUUCUGAUGCUGAUUUCGCAGGGUGCUUGGAAGACAAGAAAUCCACAUCUGGUUACAUCUUUAUGAUGGCAGGAGGAGCUAUAUCAUGGAAAAGUGUCAAGCAGACACUUAUAGCUUCUUCAACAAUGGAAGCAGAAUAUGUAGCAUGCUUUGAGGCUACACGUCAUGCUUUAUGGAUGCAAAAUUUUAUCACAGGGCUAGAUUGUAUAGUGGCCGUACCGAGGCCAUUAAAGAUAUACUGUGAUAAUUCUGCUGCUGUUUCUUUUUCUCACAAUACAGGGAGUUCCUCACGUUCCAAGCACAUUGAUAUUAAAUACUUGUUUGUGAGAGAGAAAAUUGCUCUAUCUUGUGUAUCAGUAGAGUAUAUCCCUACAGAACUCAUGUUAGCCGAUCCACUUAUUAAAGCUUUAGCUCCAAAAGUAUUUAGGGAGCAUGUAACGCAUAUGGGAUUAUUUGAAUCCACUUAUAUAUGCUGAGUCAGUGGGAGUUCUGGUUUGUAUUAUGAGUUGCAACUUAAAUGAGCUUAUGUAUUACUCAUUUUGUUAUCAUGCAUGCAUGUUGUUAUGUGAUAUUGAUAUGCCAUAUAUUGUGUACACAUUUGGCUGCGUAUGGCAUUAUGUAUAGAAUGAGGAUACGAUGGUCCGAGACAUUUUGCUCAGUCUCAAUAUGGACAUUAAAGACUGAAGCAUUAUGAUUUUCUUCAGUGUGCUUUCUUGAGACAUUUUGAUUUAGUCUCAUUAUGAUUAAAAAGGAAGCUCGCUUCUCGAGACAUUUUGCUAUAGUCUCAUUAUGGUUAUAAAGAAGCGAUGGUCUAGGAGACAUAUUGUUUUCGUCUCAUUUUGCUAGACAUCUGGACUUUAUGGAAAUGAGCAUGUUGAUCACAUUGUCAUGUUAUUUCCAUAAUUAUACUUGUAUACUACUACAUGGUCACGUGUUUAUAAGUGUCUUGUUAUAUGGAGCAUCCUGUCGGUGCACAUAUGAUUUGAUAUUUAUGGCACAUUUUGGACUUGUUUAUGUUCUGGGUGAUUGCUUGUAUUUGACCUUUUGUUAUAGUCACAUAUUGAUUAAUUCGGUUGUUUUCAAAAUAUUAUUUUAUUUUAAAUUUAUCAUUGGAGUGAUUUCUGUCGUCCAAGUGGGAGAUUGUUAGAUUUAUUUCUCAUAUUAUGUGGACUGACAUAAAUCAUUCUAAUUGUUUUCUAUAUUUUACCGAAUUAAUACGUGACUAUUGUCAAAUAUUAUGGAGCAAUUUUGACAUACCUUGUACAGUAGUAUAUUAUGGACAAGUAUAUCCUUAAUUGUGUUAUUUUCGCCCAUAAUGGGAUGGGCAAUUUUGUACUAACACAUGAGGGGUCCCUGCGCUCAACCACUGUAUUUAAGUAACUUCAGCCCAUUGGAAGUUAACUGUUCAAGAAAUCUGUGGCAUGAGUGCAGUGCAUCUCUCUCUCCCGUUUGUCUCCCGUGUGUGUGCACAGUAAAUUUUGAAGCAAGCCGAUCCUUGAGCUAAGGAAAAGAAAGCGGAAUUCAGAAGCUAAACCGAAGCAGCAGCAACUCUGUUGAAGCUCCAUAACAAGCUGCAAGCUUGGAUUCAUGGGAGAUCGUGGUAAAUUUCGAAAUUUACUACAAUAUGUGUUUAAUUUGGAAAUGCACGAUUAAAGGGCAUAAAGUAUGUUUUUGUUUCAUCAAUUGGUAUCAGAGCCCAUGGUUAUGCGUUUCCUUGUAAACCAUAGUUGUUUUGUUGAAGAAAUCUCACUCAUGGAAUUUUUUUUUUUAUUUUCGGAUUUUUCGAAUUCUUCGAAUUUGGACAUAUUUCCUCAAACGGUUGUUAAAUAAUGCAUGAGUGAUGAUUUUGGAGCAAAGAUAUAAUUUUUUCGUGUUUUUUGGUGGCCAAAAUCGGGUUGGUAUGGAUGUGGAUGCUGUAAAUGUACUGUACAAUACUGUAGCAACAGCCCGAGGUUGAAGAUGAUGGGACAAUUUCAUUUGGAUCCCUAAAUUUUGUGAAUUGUCACUAUGGCCCAAAAUCUUUGCAAACUUUUCGAAAAGGUCCUUGACCGAGGGUCAACUAUGUAAAAGAUAAGUUGGUCCCUUGAAUUUUGGGAAAUUAUAGUAUGGCCCAACAGUUUAUUUUAUUUUAUUUACAGUUUGGGCCAAAAGUUUUAAUAGUUAAAACAGUAAACAUAAUUCUGAAAAUUUUUCAUUUUAGUCCAAAAUCCUUUCAAUUUUGGCGAUUUUUCAGAAUUUUAAAUUUUAAAAUAAUCCAUCAGUUAUUGAAUCUUAUGGGCAUAUCAUUUAUAUAUUUUAUUGAGGCAUGUAGAUAUUUUAUUUGAUUUAAUAUCUUGUUAAUUUCAUUUGACAAAAUUUAUUUAGCCUCAAUUUUGUUAAUAUACGAAAUAUAUAUAUGAUGCAAAACUACAAUUUAGAGUGAUUGUGUAUCUACUUAUCGUAGGACCAAUCAUGAUAAAUUAUUUGGUGGUUUGCAAUUGAUUGUCCAUUUACAAUUAUGAAUUAUGGAUUAUGUGAUGGAUUGUUAUUGUUUUGACCAAGAUCCAUACGGGUGAUGAUACUGCCCUGUCGGCAAAUCACUACUUGGUACUUGGUAGGAUGCUUGGGAAGAUAAAGAGAUUUGUUGAGUAUUUUCUACUGAGUGGCUUAAUUACCCUGUCGGUAAUAGGUCAAUGUUGGUGUUAUAUUCAACUUGUCUGCUUUAUCUUUAGGUUAGUGCAUUCCUAUAUUGUUAAAGGAUGCCUAACAUAUUGUGUUGCUAUUGGAGAAACUUAGAAUGAGGAGCAAUUGAUUAUAGCAUGAUUUUAAUUUUUGCAUGCUUGAUAAUUCUUUUGUUAUUGCUUCCUCAGCUCUAGAUAUUCUCUCCUUUCUCCAAGUAGCCUCCCUCAAGAAUUUAACUGGGACAAAUUUUGAGGACUGGCGUGAGUCCAUUUUGUUUUAUUUGUCUACACUGAAUAGAGACUUGGCAUUAAGAGUUGAUGAACCAGCCAAGCCCACAGAUAAGAGCACUGCUGCUGAAAAAGCAGAGUGGGCAGCUUGGGAUGAAUCCAAUAGACACUGUCUGGAUACAAUGAAAUACACCAUUGAUAGAACCACUAGAGAUAGCAUCCCUGCAUGUGAUAAGGCCAAAGAUUACUUGGCAGCUGUGGGAAGAACCUUUAAGAAGGUAGAUAAGGCAGAAAAGGGUAACUAUCUGAGGCUGCUUGCUAAUACCCAGUAUGAUGGUGUUUCUGGGGUCAGAGAACACAUCCUUAAGAUGACUAGUUACCAUAAGAAGCUGAAGGACAUGGAUGUCACUUUGCCUGAUGACUACCUGGUCUUCCAAAUCCUUGAAUCUCUUCCACCACAAUUUGGCAAUUUGAGAAGCCAAUACAAUACUCAGAGAGACACUUGGAAUAUCACUGAGUUGACUGCUUAUGUGGUUCAGGAAGAGGAAUCAUUGAAGAAGGGGAAAUCUCACACUGUCAUGGUGGCAACUACUCAAGAGAGUGGAAGUGUGAAGAAAGGCUCUUCAAAGGGCAGCAAUAAGUUUUUUAAGAAGAAAAAGUUUGGCAAGAAAACUUCACGUGGUACUUCUUCUACCACUUCUGGUUCCACUUCUGAGAGCUUUAAGGGAAAGUGCCACUUUUGUAAGAAACCUGGGCACAAGAGAGCUGACUGCAGGGGAUUCAAAGCAUGGUUGGAAAAGAAAGGUAUUCCUGUAGCCUUUGUAGGCUUUGAAUCUAAUCUUAUUGAUGUUCCUUCUGAUACUUGGUGGUUGGAUACUGGUGCAACCAUUAAUAUAACGAAUUCCUUACAGGAAUUCAGAAGCAGGAGGGAGCCCAAUGAAGGGGAGUUGAUAGUUCACAUGGGCAAUGGAGUGACAGCCAAAGUUGAAAGCAUAGGAGUUGUCAGACUACAUCUAGCCACAGGCCAUGUUUUGGAUCUAUUAGAUACAGCUUAUAUUCCUUCUAUUAGGAGAAACUUGAUAUCUGUAUCUAUUUUGGAUAGAUGUGGCUAUACUUUUCAUUUUGGUGAUAGAAAAGUUUACUUAUUCCGCAAUUCAGAGUUAGUUGGUUCUGGCACUCUAUAUGAUGGCUUGUAUAUGAUUGAUUUAUUUUCUCGUGCUGUUGAAUCAUCAUCCAAUGCUCAUGUUAUGCAUGUUGUUAGCUCUAAUCGUGUUAGGGUUGAUGAAAAUUCCUCUAUGUUGUGGCAUAAACGGUUAGGUCACAUUUCUAAACAGAGGAUGGAGAGGCUUAUUAAAGAUAGCAUUCUACAUAAGUUGGAUUUCUCUGAUUUUGGCACUUGUGUUGAUUGUGUCAAAGGCAAACUUACUGCCAAAACCAGAAAAGAGAGAACUCAGAGGAGUCAACAGGUGCUGGAGUUGGUACAUACAGACAUUUGUGGGCCAUUUACUCCUAUUGCCAUUGGAGGUUAUAAGUACUUCAUCACGUUCAACGAUGACUUUUCUCGUUAUGGUCAUGUUGAACUUCUUGCUGAAAAGUCUAAAUCCUUAUCUGUGUUUCAAGCCUUUAAGGCUAAUGUUGAGCUCCAAAAGGGCAAGCAAAUUAAAGCAGUAAGGUCAGACAGAGGUGGUGAGUACUAUGGGCGAUAUGAUGAAACUGGGCGUAAUCCUGGACCUUUUGCUAAAUUUCUUCAGGAAUGUGGAAUAGAAGCCCAGUAUACAAUGCUCGGGACUCCUGAACAUAAUGGAAUUGCAGAAAGGAGAAAUCGUACCCUUCUUGACAUGGUGCGGUGUAUGCUGAGUAACUCCACCUUACCAGAUUUUCUGUGGGGUGAAGCCUUAAGAACUGCAGCUUACAUUUUGAAUCAGGUACCUAGUAAAUCGGUGCCCAAAAGUCCUUAUGAGUUGUGGUCAGGAAAGAGACCGAGUCUUCGUCAUUUUCAUGUAUGGGGAUGCAGAGCAGAAGUGAGGCCCUAUAAUCCACAAUCAAGGAAACUUGAUCCGAAAACAAUUAGUGGUCAUUUUAUUGGCUAUUGUAUCGGCUCAAGGGGUUCUAGAUUUUAUUGACCUUCCCACACUACUAGAAUCAUUGAGUCUGAUCGUGCCAUUUAUUUUGAGGAUGAUCACAAUGGUGGGAGUUCUGAGCCUCGCAGUCUGACAUUGAGAGAAGAACGUGUGGUUUUGCCUAUUCCAUCUUUUCCGACUUCUGCGAUGGGAUUACCACAUAUUGAUGAUUCUUCUGUUGAUCCUAAACUUCAUCAUAAUAUGGAGCCUAUGAUUGUAGAGGAUGAUGGUACUGAUGUGCCAUUGAGGAGAUCAGAGAGGAUCAGGAGACCUGCAAUUUCUGAUGAUUAUGUUGUUUACUUGCAGGAGCAUGAUUUUGAUGCUGACUCUUCAUCUGAUCCUAUUACCUUUCAAGAGGCCAUCAGUUGUUCAGAAUCAUCAUCUUGGAUACAUGCGAUGCAUGAUGAGAUGGCAUCUAUGUAUCAUAAUGAGGUUUGGGAUUUAGUUGAGUUACCAGAUGGAUGCAGACCAAUUGGUUGCAAAUGGGUUUUCAAAACCAAAAGAGAUGCCAGAGGUCAGGUAGAGAGGUAUAAGGCCAGGCUUGUGGCUAAGGGUUUCAGUCAAAGAGAAGGCAUUGAUUACACUGAAACCUACUCUCCUGUUUCUACCAAAGACUCUUUUCGUAUUAUCAUGGCAUUGGUAGCUCAUUUCAAUUUAGAAUUGCAUCAGAUGGAUGUGAAGACAGCUUUUCUUAAUGGGAGCUUGUCUGAAGAUGUAUACAUGGUGCAACCUGAUGGUUUUGUUGAGUCUGGUAUAGAAAACAUGGUGUGUAAGCUUAAAAGGUCCAUUUAUGGACUUAAGCAAGCAUCCAGACAGUGGUAUUUGAAAUUUCACGAUAUUGUCACCUCUUAUGGGUUCCAGGAGAAUGCCGUUGAUCAGUGUAUAUACUUGAGAGUCAGUGGGAGCAAGUAUAUCAUUUUGGUGCUUUAUGUGGAUGAUAUCUUGCUCGCUGCUAAUGACAGUAAUUUGUUACUUGAGACAAAGCAAAUGUUGUCAUGCAGCUUUGAUAUGAAGGAUCUUGGUGAAGCCCAUUAUGUAUUAGGGAUAGAGAUUCUUCAUGAUAGAUCUAGAGGAAUUCUAGGUUUGUCUCAAAAGACUUACAUUGAUCGCAUUUUGAAAAGGUUCAAUUUGCAGUCUUGUGCUCCUGGGAAAGCUCCAAUUUCGAAAGGUGACAAAAUUUCCAAGUCUCAAUGUCCCGAUAAUGAUGUAGACAAAGCUAGAAUACAAACAGUCCCGUAUGCAUCCGUUGUGGGUAGCUUGAUGUAUGCUCAAGUCUGUACUCGCCCUGAUAUUGCUUUUCCAGUGGGAGUACUUGGAAGAUACCUGAGCAAUCCUGGAUUUGAACACUGGAAGGCUGCAAAGAAAGUACUCAGAUAUUUGCGAGCCACUAAAGAUUUUGUAUUGACAUAUCAGCAAUCUGACUAUUUGAAUAUAGUUGGAUAUUCUGAUGCUGAUUUCGCAGGGUGCUUGGAAGACAAGAAAUCCACAUCUGGUUACAUCUUUAUGAUGGCAGGAGGAGCUAUAUCAUGGAAAAGUGUCAAGCAGACACUUAUAGCUUCUUCAACAAUGGAAGCAGAAUAUGUAGCAUGCUUUGAGGCUACACGUCAUGCUUUAUGGAUGCAAAAUUUUAUCACAGGGCUAGAUUGUAUAGUGGCCGUACCGAGGCCAUUAAAGAUAUACUGUGAUAAUUCUGCUGCUGUUUCUUUUUCUCACAAUACAGGGAGUUCCUCACGUUCCAAGCACAUUGAUAUUAAAUACUUGUUUGUGAGAGAGAAAAUUGCUCUAUCUUGUGUAUCAGUAGAGUAUAUCCCUACAGAACUCAUGUUAGCCGAUCCACUUAUUAAAGCUUUAGCUCCAAAAGUAUUUAGGGAGCAUGUAACGCAUAUGGGAUUAUUUGAAUCCACUUAUAUAUGCUGAGUCAGUGGGAGUUCUGGUUUGUAUUAUGAGUUGCAACUUAAAUGAGCUUAUGUAUUACUCAUUUUGUUAUCAUGCAUGCAUGUUGUUAUGUGAUAUUGAUAUGCCAUAUAUUGUGUACACAUUUGGCUGCGUAUGGCAUUAUGUAUAGAAUGAGGAUACGAUGGUCCGAGACAUUUUGCUCAGUCUCAAUAUGGACAUUAAAGACUGAAGCAUUAUGAUUUUCUUCAGUGUGCUUUCUUGAGACAUUUUGAUUUAGUCUCAUUAUGAUUAAAAAGGAAGCUCGCUUCUCGAGACAUUUUGCUAUAGUCUCAUUAUGGUUAUAAAGAAGCGAUGGUCUAGGAGACAUAUUGUUUUCGUCUCAUUUUGCUAGACAUCUGGACUUUAUGGAAAUGAGCAUGUUGAUCACAUUGUCAUGUUAUUUCCAUAAUUAUACUUGUAUACUACUACAUGGUCACGUGUUUAUAAGUGUCUUGUUAUAUGGAGCAUCCUGUCGGUGCACAUAUGAUUUGAUAUUUAUGGCACAUUUUGGACUUGUUUAUGUUCUGGGUGAUUGCUUGUAUUUGACCUUUUGUUAUAGUCACAUAUUGAUUAAUUCGGUUGUUUUCAAAAUAUUAUUUUAUUUUAAAUUUAUCAUUGGAGUGAUUUCUGUCGUCCAAGUGGGAGAUUGUUAGAUUUAUUUCUCAUAUUAUGUGGACUGACAUAAAUCAUUCUAAUUGUUUUCUAUAUUUUACCGAAUUAAUACGUGACUAUUGUCAAAUAUUAUGGAGCAAUUUUGACAUACCUUGUACAGUAGUAUAUUAUGGACAAGUAUAUCCUUAAUUGUGUUAUUUUCGCCCAUAAUGGGAUGGGCAAUUUUGUACUAACACAUGAGGGGUCCCUGCGCUCAACCACUGUAUUUAAGUAACUUCAGCCCAUUGGAAGUUAACUGUUCAAGAAAUCUGUGGCAUGAGUGCAGUGCAUCUCUCUCUCCCGUUUGUCUCCCGUGUGUGUGCACAGUAAAUUUUGAAGCAAGCCGAUCCUUGAGCUAAGGAAAAGAAAGCGGAAUUCAGAAGCUAAACCGAAGCAGCAGCAACUCUGUUGAAGCUCCAUAACAAGCUGCAAGCUUGGAUUCAUGGGAGAUCGUGGUAAAUUUCGAAAUUUACUACAAUAUGUGUUUAAUUUGGAAAUGCACGAUUAAAGGGCAUAAAGUGUGUUUUUGUUUCAUCAGGGAACUCUCAAAACAAAAUACUCAAAUUAAAUUAAAUUAGACCAAAAGACGCUCAAUGACGCAAAAUCUGCCCAUAAAAGCCUGAACGAAUCAUGAAAAGUGCAUUCCAUAUUGACAGUAAACCAAGUGACCCAUUCUAAACAAUUGAGAUGAAAUUGUGAAACAACCCACGAGAUCAAAUAAAUAAAAUAAGAAUUAAUUACCAGCUGGGACUUUCUUCUUCAAAUUCGUAACUCCAAGUCAUAAGAAGCCAAUGAAAUUAGUCGUAAUCCACAGAGUAUGACGACGACCCCGCCAACAGCUGAAAAUAAAAUUCUUAUUCAUCAAUUUAAACUAACUUUAUAACAAAUAUCUUAUCGAUAUUUUAUUUAAAAAGAAAAAGCAAAUUUUGUAAAAUUUUUCCAUGGGAGAUAGAGAGUAACACGUAUAUCCGUACCUUCUCAGCAUGUAAUUGUUGUAUGGUCGUGUUAAGAUCAUUACUAGCCCAACGCCGUUGAUUCGAUGUCUCUCCAUACCAGACGUUUACUCUUGGAGGCGUGCUUGAUUCUCCUCUAGUGAAAAUCUUCAAUUUGGGACAACCAAUCACAGAUAGAUCUUGCAAAGAUGGGAAUUUGAAGGUGUAAUUGGCAGAGCAGAAACUUGUGAGGCUGUCUAAAUCACGCAGUUCCAACCUCUUCAAUUUGCGGAAAACAAUCUCUUCUUUUUCAACCCCGUCUUUGUCAUUUAUUACCACCUCUGUCAUUGCUCUGCAUCCGUAUACACAAAGUGAUACGAGUCGCACUAGAGUUUUUGCUGUGGAGGAUGUUACUAAGUGUAUCAAUUUCUUGCAAUCGAAAGCUACAAGUUUUGUUAGGUUCCCAAAAGAUACCGAUGAUGUUGGCAAUAGAAUUAACAGACUUUGACAAUGAUAUACUCUUAGAAUUUCAAGAUACUGAAAAAUGGGGCCAAAUUUGGAGUCUUGUUUGCACAGCUGCUUCAGAUGAUAGUGCCGGUACAGCUCUAAUUCUUUUAUCAUUGCCAACUUCCCCACAUGUUUCUCUAAGCAUCCUUCCAUCGAAAAUACCUCU
RNAcentral lists this long non-coding RNA (135174 nucleotides) under Citrus maxima (pomelo). RNAcentral's name for it is "long non-coding RNA (CMAX_LNC001309)". The stretch from base 51217 to 51323 matches the Rfam family "Plant small nucleolar RNA R71". Lineage: Eukaryota; Viridiplantae; Streptophyta; Magnoliopsida; Sapindales; Rutaceae. The record is from RNAcentral.